AUAGACUGGUGAACCUCAACUAAGCUUCUACAACCUUGAAGAAUUAGCCUCUCAAGAUUUGGCACAUUUGUGAAGUCAGGGGUUUCCUCAAGGUAUUGACAAUAACUUAAAUUGAUGACUUCCAACUUUUCCAGCGUCUGUUAAAACAUUUAGGAAAGCAUGCAUUACUUAAUAAGACAUCUCACUCAAAACCCAAACAUUUAAAAGAAACAAAUACAUGUAAAUGAUUGUACAUACCUGGGUUCCUUCCCAAAGUCGGUCAAUGAGACUAAAUUGCAUGUCAAGUUCAACAAGAUUUUUGAAUUGAAAGUUGGAUAGCAAAGACUUGAGAGGGAAUCCAAACCAGGAGAGAUACCUCAAGUUAAGUAACUUAAAGGGCCCAAUCAAGUGGUGUUUGCAGUAAUCAUGUUUAGAAAUGGAGUCCUUAUGACUGAUCUUGAUAAGUCUUAGUUGAUUCAUGCUAACAAAAGCUUCAGCAUUUAAGCAUACCCAGUCUGAGUACGAGAAAUCCACGAUUAUGCUUUCAACUGAUUUUGUAGCCUGUGUAAAUCAAAGUAAGGGAAAAUACAGAGAACCUUAGUUUAGAUUAUGAAACUAAUACUUGUUUCUUAAGGAGCCGUUUGAUAAUCAUUUUGUUUUUAGUUUAAUUGUUUUCAAUUUUCAAUUAUUAAAACAAUAAACACUAAAGGUUGUACCCAGUGCACAAGGCUCCCGCUUUACGCAGGGUCUGGGAGAGAUGAAUGUUGGCUAGCCUUACCCCCAUUUAUGGAGAGGCUGCUUCCAAGUCUCGAACCCGAGACCUACCGCUCAUGGGCGAAGGCACUUGUCAUCACACCAAGUGCGACCUCUUAUUAAAACAAUAAACACUAAAAAUUAAAAAUUAAAAACAAAAAUACUUAUCAAACGGACCUAAGAAAUUGAUUUUGAUCAAAAGUUGAAACUUUUUAUUGACAAUAAGAAAAAGAUUUCUCACCGUAUUUUGAGAUAGCACGUGAUGAACAUCUUCAUAACUACACAACCUACUUCGUCUCCCAGGCUCUUUGAUACAUUCUUGGCGGACGAUUUCCCGACCCAUUUCCUCUAAUGAAUCAUGCAUCUCCAGUUCCCCCUCCCCUGAGACAGUUAUGAGAGCUCGAUCGAUUAGAACUCUUAUUCCAGUAUAAGGAUGGAAACCACAAACUUCCAGAAUUCGGGUUGCACAGUCUUUCUUCAUCCCUUUAAAGAAACAUGCAAUGUCCAGAAAGAUGUCCUUCUCCUUGUCAUCUAGUCCAUCGAAGCUUGAUUUAAGCACAUCAUGAAUUCCCCUUCGUGGGAUUUUCCUUAUUUUUUCUAACUCAUCUUCCCACUCGCGUAUAGUUUUGUUACCAAGAAAAGCUCCCAAGACUUUGUGUGCUAAAGGCAGGCCUUGAGCAUAUUCUACGACAUGAUUCGAGAGAUCAUCAUAAUCUCUGGUAGGUUGGUUUUUUCUGAAGGCGUGCCGCCUAAAGAGUUUCAGAGCUCCAGAAUCACUCAAAAUCUUGGGAUUAUAUAUCACAUCAGCUAUGCUUAGUAAUUGCGAAUCUCUAGUUGUUAUAAUAAUUCUGCUUCCACAACCAAAGGAAUGUGGCUCUUCAAGUAAAGCUUCAAUUUGUUCUAAUUCGUCCACAUCAUCAACAACAAUAAGAACUUUUCUCUGACCAAGGCUUUUUAACAUCACCUGAAAACCAUUUUUUGAUAUGUCAGAACUCCCCACCUUGUUGUUCGAGAUAUUCGAUAGAAGUUGUGCCUGCAUAUGUAGUUUGCCAUGCUUCAUGAAACCUUCCUUGAAAUUUUCAAGAAAGCAACAAGCUUCAAAUCGAUUAGCGAUUUUAUCAUAAACAGCUCUAGCGAUGGUUGUUUUGCCUAAACCACCCAUACCCCAUAUUCCAACAACGCGAACAUUAUUCGUUUCACCUCCGGGAGGAUAUAAUAAUAAAUGCAUUUCAUGCAUGUGAGAAUCCAUGUCAACCAAGCCAUUAUCUUUGCUUGAUGUUGAUGAGAUGUCGAUCAAUUUCCUAUAAACAUCUUCUACAAUUUCCUCAAUAAGCACCGCAUCAUUUCUGUCAAAUUUAAAAAACAAUAUAAUAACACCACCAAAUGAUAAUUAAUGGGUCUUUUUCAUCUGUUAGUUUUCAAAAAAAUAGAAAUUAAAACUAAAAACUAAAUAUUUAUCAAAUUACCCCUAAACGUUACAAAAAUCCCAAAAAUUACUAGGAAACUAAAACAAAUUAGAAUUUACUCAUAGUUUCGCGAAUCCCAGCCGGCUAAACUGGUGGCAGUUGUAAGAGCGGAUCUCCAGCUCCGAACCUCCUCUAUUUCGGCGUUAGAAUCGAUAUCGUGCUGAGCAAAAGCUUCCGCGAAACUUUUCUUGAGUUUACGAACAUCAGACGGAUCAACUUCAUAGAAAAUGGGGAGUACAAUCUGGUUAUUGGUACCUUGCAUUCCAGGAUUUGCACGAGUUCCUUCAAGCACCAAGUGGAAGAAGCAUAGUUUUGAGAGAAAACUACAAUCGAAAGCCUCGACUCUUGAAUCGCUGUCAGGAGCUCGGAAAGGUGGUCGCCUUUUCUGAACUUUUCGGCAUCAAUGAAGGCGUUGAUUGGUUUCUUAGCCAGAGCGUUGUAGAGAUGGCUGACGAAGCCCCUGCGAGUGUCUUCCCCUCUGAAAUUGAUGAACACAUCGUAUUUCCAACCAAAGCCAGAAGAAGAAAAAGAAGAAGAAGAAGAAGCAACCAUUUAUCGAUCGCACCUGGUCACCGAUGAUCGAGCAGUUAUGACUAAGAGAAUUGUAAGUACAUAAAUACUCAAUGAGUCAAUGCAAAAGGGAAAAAGCGAAAAGGAAAUGGUUGUGAUAUCCAUACUUUAUUUUACUUUUUUAUACAUUUUUGAUAAUUUAUUUUUGUUAAUUUUUUUUAAUUCAUCUAGUUUUACAUUUAAAAAUUAAAAAAAUUUAUGAGAAGUUGAAAUGUGUGAAUAUCACGUCCAAAGGAAAAUUAUGCUUUUAUGUGUUUUCAGAUCUUCUUCAGGGAAAUUUCGAUGGGAAUGGAAUCUGCAUGCUUUUGAUUUUUAACCCAAGAAAAUGCCAAGAAAGGGGUCAAAGUAGUAAAUUUAAUCUACACUUGCCUACCCAACCACCUCUUAAUUUAAUAUAUUUAAUCGAGAAAAGUAGGUUAGAGGAAGGAUGGUAUCUCCUUUUCCUCUCUCAGUCUUCCAGCAUGCCAUUUAAUCAUGAUUAAGGCUAAAGCUUAAUUAUAGAUCUUGAUUGGAUUAUUAGUUUCCGUUGUAAUAUGGUGGUUAGAAGAUUAAAAAAAUUAUGAUUUAUGCUUUCAUAUGCUAACAAUUAAUGAAGAAUUAACAAAAUUUUAAAUUUUAAAUCUAAAUCCUAACAUAUUUUACCAUAGAAGCUUAAAUCUUAAUUUACUUAUCACAUGGAUUAUUUUAUAACUACCUUACUAUUAAUUCAAUUAAACCUAUUAUUUCUACGAAAACUAAAGAAAAGUUAAAAAAAAACUUUAGUUUUAAUGAAAAAAGAAAAAUGAAUGUGUAGUAAAUAAUACCAGAAAAAAAUAAAAAAAAUAAUUUUUUAUUAAAAAUAAACAGUAUAAAAAAUGUUGCAUUAAUACUCUCAUUAUUUAUUUACAAAUACGUGACUAAAUCACAAAGUGUUAGAAUGAAAGGGAGCGCUCAAAACGAUGAAAAGCAGGAGCACAGAAAGCUAUCUCCGUUUCUUUGUUGAGCGGACAACUGUUUAUUUGUCGUUCUUUUGGCAGAUAGCUCCUAAUGGCCCAUUUCCACAGCUGGUUAUAGGAUUCUGUUGCUAUAUAAGAAGUGUUUUGUUGUAAUUCAAUAUCGAUGGAAAUUCAACAGGAUCUUUUUCAAAAUUUUGUGAGGAUUUUGGGGUGUUCGUGAAUCUUGUUCAUCGUAUAUUGUGUAGUUGUUUUUUAUCGAAUAUUAUUUUUGUUUAAUUUUAAAUAAAGUAAUUUAAAAUAAUUUUUUACUGCAAGAUGUAUGAUGAACGUAUAUGAUUCACAGAUCUCCAAAAUCCUCACAAAGAAAAUCCAAAAAUGAUCUGAAUUCAAUGGAGAUAAGUUAAUUUUGAAUCAAAUAACAUUAGGAAAGAAAAAUAACAUUAGACGCCAGUCGGGCGAAGGAUUGGAGCCUAGUGCCUAGGCAGCUAGGCGAAGCCUGGGCGAUUAGGCGGCUAGGCGGCCUAGACGGUUUUAAAUAAUUUAUUGUAUAUUUGUAUAAAAUUAUUAUUAGCACUUCAAAAAUCUCAUUUUAUACUCCAAAUUUUCUAUAUUAAAAAAGAAAAAUACACUUAUGAUGAGUGUAGAAUGAGAUUUUUGAAAUGCCAAUACACUUCUCUAUUUUUAUUAUAUAAAUCAGUUGGACUUAAAAAAGAAAAUAAAGAAAAUAAAACAUUGUUCAAAAACUAAAACUCUAUAAAUAUAAAAAGUCAGGUCUUGAUUUAUCAUUACAAUUGAUAAAUAAAGGAGUGUGCUAUCUACACAACUUUUUUUACUUCUCACUCCUAAAUAAAAAAAUGAUGUGUGGAUAUCACAUCCCUAAAUAAAAUAUAUAAAUAUAGAUAGUUGGAGGAUAUCCAAGAGACAUUCUUUGGAGGAUUUUAGAGAAGAAAGGAGUACGAGUAUAUAUCCAAGCUAUAAAGGAUAUGUAUGAAGGAGCAAAGACUGCCGUAAGAACUCAUGAAGGACAAACCGAAAGCUUUCCCAUAACUGUAGGAUUACAUCAAGGCUCAUCCUUAAGUCCUUACCUUUUUGCGUUGGUAAUGGAUAAGUUAACAGGACAUAUUCAAGAUGAUAUUCCUUGGUGUAUGCUUUUCGCAGACGAUAUAGUGUUGAUAGAUGAAACUCAGGAAGGGGUAAAUGCAAAGCUUAACCUUUGAAGAGAAGUGUUGGAAUCUAAAGGUCUUCGCCUAAGCCGAUCAAAGACAGAAUAUAUGGAGUGCAAGUUCAGUACAAAUGAAGGCCAAAACGAGUUAGGGGUGAGGAUCGGAGAUCAAGAAAUACCAAAGAGCAACCGUUUUCGUUACCUAUGAUCUAUCUUGCAAAAGAACGGAGAAUUAGAUGGAGAUCUCAAUCAUAGAAUGCAAGCUGGAUGGGUGAAGUGGAAGAGUGCAUCCGGCGUGUUGUGUGACCGCCGUAUGCCACUGAAGCUCAAGGGAAAAUUUUAUAGGACGGCAAUAAGGCCGGUGAUGCUGUAUGGCACAGAAUGUUGGGCAGUGAAGCAUCAACACGUACACAAAAUGGGUGUAGCGAAGAUGAGGAUGCUUCGUUGGAUGUGUGGGCACACGAGAAAGGAUAAGAUUAGGAAUGAGGAUCCGGGGUAAAGUAGGAGUAGCCGAAAUUGAAGGAAAGAUGAGAGAAAAUCGGUUACGGUGGUUUGGACAUGUGCAAAGAAGGCCUACUGACGCUCCGAUUAGAAUAUGCGACUAUGGGACAGAGGUUCAGGGCCGAAGGGGUAGAGGAAGACCUAGGAAAACUUUGGAAGAGACUUUAGGAAAAGACUUAGAGUACUUGGAUCUAACGAAGGACAUGACACAGGACCGAGCACAAUGGCGUUCUAAGAUUCAUAUAGCCGAUCCCACUCAGUGACUUGGAUUUUCCAAGUCUCCAACCGAGAAGUUUUCCUCACUCGGGAAAUUAAGGGAACACUACCUCAACCUACAUGCUCCACUCACAAAGCUUCAACAAAAGAAAAUUCAAAGAACUUAGCGAAGAAUGAUUUGGUGUAUUUAACACAAACGUUGAAAUGAAGGAAAGCUUAUUUAUUGAUAUUCCCGAUAAGCUACAAAUAUGUACAUAUACAUAAGGUUGCUUAGGAGAAGUCUCAGCAGCCGGUAGAGCCCCAGAAAGAGAAGGCACCAGAGGGGGAUCAUUCGGAGCCUCAGAACUGGACAGAACCCUAGAAGGAUGAGGCAUCAAAGGUUGAUCAUUUGGAGCUUCAUUACGCGGUACAGCCCCAGAAGAUGAAGGCAAUAAAUGCCUUUGGAACAAACCCACAAAUCUCUGAUGAUCAAGUAAAACCUGACCAUCAGAUUCCUUCAUCUGGUCAAGCUUCCUCUUCAUGUUUGUAGCAUAGUCAUGUGCGAGCCGGUGCAACUGUUUAUUCUCAUGCUUGAGCCAUCUAAUCUCCUGUUUGAGACUCAUCACUUUAGCCGCCAAUGAUUCAACUUGGCGGGUUCAAGCAAAUAGGCGUUGGGCCGUAUUAGACACAGAACCUGCACACUGAACACUGAGAGCCAGCGAAUCCUUAACAGCUAACUCAUCAGACCGUUUGGAAAGUAGUUUGUUAUCUUUGGGAGUGAGAAGGUUCCUGGCCAUCACCGCAGCGGUCAUAUCAUUCUUCAUUACGAAAUCCCCAACGGUAAGAGGACCAGUAGGGGAGACGAAGGAUGUGCGCCAUAUGUUGUCUGGAGAAGGCGGGGCUGCCUCUUUAACAAGGUUCAAGUCAAAACGACGGUCGGAGGGGCCAGACAUUUUCAAAGGUGUUGAAGAGAGAAGAUGUCGGAUAAAUCAAGAUCUUAGAAGUGCAAGAAUGGAGCUUCUACUGGUGGAUUUCAAGUGUGCUUUAGAACUUAAUGACAGCCCCUAUAAAAAUCUGCACUCGACGGAGCUUCAGAAAUCGAAGAGGCGUUUGCUUUCUCAAAAGUUGGGCUGCUCAAAGACCACGAAGGCCAAUCUCAGAAAUCGAAGAGGCGCUCGCUUUCUCAAAAGCUGGGCUACUCAGAGACCACGAGGGCCGAUCUCAGAAAUCGAAGAGGCACCUACUUUUCCAGCCUUGUCAGCACCUGUCACACGCACACUCAGCUUUGCGGAAAUUAUGGGCAUUCUGUCGAAGACUUCUGGUGAAGUAAAAAGCACAUGAAUCUUACUGUUCAAUCACCCACUUCCCACACGCAACAAUAGCUCAUGGGUACCACAGAUAACUUUGCCAAAGUUGAGCACGUGAAGCUUGCAGCUCCUACUACAUCGCUCUGACCAAGAAGGGUAAAAGAAUAGCAAAGAAACAGCACUAACAAAGUUUAGACCCAUAAAUUUUGAAGGUCUAGCUACCAUAUUAUUACCCACAAGGGUAAAGGAACAGUACCACUGCUGGAUAAUUGGAAAGUCCCUGUGUGUCAACCUCUGUGCUUCGUGGCAAGGUAGACUAGCAAACAUGCCCAACCUUUACUCACAUUCGAGAAAACACUCCCAAUAAGAUUGCUUGCUCCAAAAUCGAAGAGGCACCGUCCUCCGAAUCUCGAGAGCCAGACUCCCAACAUGAAUACUUUCUCAAAAAAAUCGAAGAGAGGGUAAAGGAACAGUACCAUUGCUGGAUAAUUGGAAAGUCCCUGUGUGUCAACCUCUGUGCUUCGUGGCAAGGUAGACUAGCAAACAUGCCCAACCUUUACUCACAUUCGAGAAAACACUCCCAACAAGAUUGCUUGCUCCAAAAUCGAAGAGGCACCGCCCUCCGAAUCUCGAGAGCCAGACUCCCAACAUGAUUACUUUCUCAAAAAUCGAAGAGACACUGCUAUCCCGAAUCUCGAGAGCCAGACCCCCAGCAUGAUUGCUUUCUCAAAAAUCGAAGAGGCAUCGUUCUCCGAAUCAAUCGAAGAGGCGCUCGCUUUCUCAAAAGCUGGUGGGCUGCUCAGAGACCACGAGGGCCGAUCUCAGAAAUCGAAGAGGCACCUACUUUUCUAGCCUUGUCAGCACCUGUCACACGCACACUCAGCUUUGCAGAAAUUAUGGGCAUUCUGUCGAAGACUUCUGGUGAAGUAGAAAGCACAUGAAUCUUACUGUUCAAUCACCCACUUCCCCACACGCAACAAUAGCUCAUGGGUACCACAGAUAACUUUGCCAAAGUUCUCUGCCAAAGUUGAGCACGUGAAGCUUGCAGCUCCCACUACAUCGCUCUGACCAAGAAAGGUAAAAGAAUAGCAAAGAAACAGCACUAACAAAGUUUAGACACAUAAAUUUUGAAGGUCUAGCUACCAUAUUAUUACCCACAAGGGUAAAGGAACAGUACCACUGCUGGAUAAUUGGAAAGUCCCUGUGUGUCAACCUCUGUGCUUCGUGGCAAGGUAGACUAGCAAACAUGCCCAACCUUUACUCACAUUCGAGAAAAACACUCCCAACAAGAUUGCUUGCUCCAAAAUCGAAGAGGCACCGUCCUCCGAAUCUCGAGAGCCAGACUCCCAACAUGACUACUUUCUCAAAAAUCGAAAAGGGUAAAGGAACAGUACCAUUGCUGGAUAAUUGGAAAGUCCCUGUGUGUCAACCUUUGUGCUUCGUGGCAAGGUAGACUAGCAAACAUGCCCAACCUUUACUCACAUUCGAGAAAACACUCCCAACAAGAUUGCUUGCUCCAAAAUCGAAGAGGCACCGCCCUCCGAAUCUCGAGAGCCAGACUCCCAACAUGAUUACUUUCUCAAAAAUCGAAGAGACACCGCUCUCCGAAUCUCGAGAGCCAGACCCCCAGCAUGAUUGCUUUCUAAAAAAUCGAAGAGGCAUCAUUCUCCGAAUCUCGAGAGCCAGAUCAUCAAUAGGAUUGCUUGUUCGAAAACCGAAGAGGCACCACUUUCCCAACUUCAAGAGCCGGAUCUCCUUGGAUAAAGCUUGUCUAUAAUCUUCACACGGAACAUCAGCUUUCCAGAUACCACAGACCACUUUUUCAAAGUGCUCUGACAGAGUUAAAACAUGUGAAGCUGGCAGGUCCCACUACCGUGCUAUGACUAAGCAGGGUAAAGGAAUAGCAUUACUACUUGUUGUUAGGGAGACUCCUAUAUAUGUCGACCUCCAUCCCCAACGACAGGCAGACCUGCAAAAAUGCUCAACCCUUCCUCAUAUCUGAGAGGCCACUCCCAACGAAGCCUUUCAAAAUAUUCAGCUUUCUUCCCCCUCCCCGAUAAUACCUCUGCAAACAAGCUAUACUAGAGCAAGAAUAUCUCAUAUCAUCAGGGUUAAAAGCAAGAGUAUCCCAUAUCAUGCUUUUUCCCUGUCUUUUCCUUUGGCCUUGUUUUUACCUGCAAGACAAGGAGAAAGAGAGCAAUCAGUCAGCACUUGGAAUCAAGCUUCCAGCCAGGAACUGACUGCCUGGAACCCCUUACCUGAUUACUUACCUGGCAUUGCUCUCGAGUACUCAUCUUCAACAUCUUAUGUUUCCAGGGAAGAUUACCGCAUCUGCCUUGAGGAACAGAUAGGGCAAGUGCGAAGGAUACAAGGAAGCAUGUGGAGACAAGCGUAACAGCACACGUGCCGAUACAUCCAUUACUCUGUCAAAAGCAAAAGUAUCCCAUAUCAGCAGGGUCGAACGUACUCUAGAUUUGAUGGACUUGUUUUGACCCUCAAAUUCUUCAGUCGGCCUUAUACUCUGGAGGAAACCAGAAAACCCUCCAGCUCAGUUCAAGAAUAAGCCUGUGGAAAGUUACUUCUUCAAAAGCAAAAGUAUCUCAUAUCAUCUCUUCUCAUUUUUCUUCUCUUUAUCCUUCAUGCUGCCUGCAAGAUGGGGAGAAGGUGAACAAUCAGCCGGAGCUCUGAUUGCUUACCUUGUCUGUCACCUCUUUCAGCAGAUCCCCUAGCUCGGCGACUUGGGGGACUCCUACUACAUGGUUUGUAUCGCGCUUGACCAAGCCUGAAACUACAAGUAAGCUUCAAGUGAAAUUGAUACAUUACCUUGUGCAUCUCCACCAGUUAAAGAUACCACCCCUGGAUGGAGGAAGAGUACUUCCAGAGAAGAUGCCACAUCUACCUAUGAGACAGAUAAGGCAAGUCAAGACGAUACCACACUCCGAUACUUAGAAGUUUCGUGAUUACGAGAUCAUUCUCCCACAAUAUUUCCUAAUGUCAUUUGUACUAAAUCAUUCACUUGUACUCACUAAAGGAGAGCUUGAACCUAUGUACUUGUGUAAACCCUUCACAAUUAAUGAGAACUCCUCUAUUCCGUGGACGUAGCCAAUCUGGGUGAACCACGUACAUCUUGUGUUUGCUUUCCUAUCUCUAUCCAUUUAUAUACUUAUCCACACUAAUGACCGGAGCAAUCUAGCGAAGAUCACAAAAAGCAACCGUUUUCGCUACCUAGGAUCUAUCUUGCAAGAGAACGGAGAAUUAGAUGGAGAUCUCAACCAUAGAAUACAAGCUGGAUGGAUGAAGUGUAAGAGUGCAUCCGGCGUGUUGUGCGACCGUCGUAGGCCACUGAAGCUCAAGGCAAAAUUUUAUAGGACGGCAAUAAGGCCAGCGAUGUUGUAUGGCACAGAAUGUUGGGCGGUGAAGCAUCAACACGUACACAAAAUAGGUGUAGCGGAGAUGAGGAUGCUUCGUGGGAUGUGUGGGCACACGAGAAAGGAUAAGAUUGGGAAUGAGGAUAUCCGAGGUAAAGUAGGAGUAGCCGAAAUUGAAGUAAAGAUGAGAGAAAAUCGGUUCCGGUGAUUUGGACAUGUGCAAAGAAGGCCUACUGACGCUCCGGUUCGAAGAUGUGACUACGGAACAGAGGUUCAGGGCCGAAGGGGUAGAGGAAGACCUAGGAAAACUUUGGAAGAGACUCUAAGAAAAUACUUAGAGUACUUGGAUCUAACGGAGAACAUAACACAAAACCGAGCGCAAUGGCGUUCUAGGAUUCAUAUAGCCGACCCCACUUAGUUGGAAAAUGCUUUGUUGUUGUUGUUGUUGUUGUAUAGAUAGUUGGCGCUUUGUAGUGGGCGGUAAGUUCUAGUUUUACCAUUAAAAAAUAUACACUGUCAAACUAGUGUGGGUUCUAUCAAUUUUUUUAGUAUUUUAUUUAUUUUUUCACUCUGUCUCCGUGCCAUGGUCUUGAUAUUAUCACUCCUUUAAUAUUUUAUUCAUAUUUUAUUCUACUUGAUUUAUGAUGGUGUGUUUUUUUGACCAAGGUUUAUAAUGGUGUUUGUUCUAUAAGUCGGCAUAUUUGCCAACCGCAAUCGAUACUGUCGUUCUCAAACACAAAGCAAUAGUUUGCUACCGAAAACAACCAAAGUGUGACAAAGGGAACCGUCUUACACCUAACCUGUUUUUCCCUCAUCAAAUGAGCGCGUUGAUCUGCAGGUAUUUUCUGCCAUCUCAAAACCUGUUACAAAGAAAUAUAACGUUGAUGUCGAGCUGGAUAGCAUAUUAUACCAAUUAUGUGUACAAACCUAUUGAAAUAAAGUAGCUGUAGUUGCAUAUUACGACAGAUAUUAACGAAAACAAAAGAAGGCUCGCCUAUUCAAGAUCCUAAAUCCCGUGAUUCUUUUGUUUUUAGUUUCAGAAAUUUUCAGAGCACAAACUGGAAAGUACCAAGAUACUUACAUAUUGGGCAUAAUGAAAUGCAUCUUCAUCUUUCAAGCAAGAUUUGAGUGAGCGCAAACCGUCCUGAGAGUUACAUAAGUCAAUCAGUAAUAUAAAAACGUAUACGCAUCACAUCCAAACACAAGUAUUCAAACACCAACAACUUCUUCAUGCGGUGAGGCAUGUUAAAAAAUAGGGAAGAACAGUUAUUGAAUAGGAAGUUAAAGGACUAAAUUUAUGACCUUGUGUUUGUAGUUCUUGGCUCGUAUGCGUUCAUCUAUUACAAAACCAAUCUGUAACAGGUACAACAGAAAAUAUAAGCAGUAGUCAGAACAUUAAUCUUCGGCAUUCACAUUGCCACCAAUCCAAAGUUAAAAGUCUGAAGGCAAAACAGUAUGAUUCUUAUCUCUCAAACAAAAAUGAAACUAUACCCCGGUCUCAGACAUAAAUGAAAUAAGUUCUACUGCCUCAACUGAGUACUGUGAUUAUAUAUAAAUCCAAUUCACCUUGUCAAGUAAUCUCUUAGGAUCUUGAAAUGCUUCCUUCUUAGCCCAGUCAUUAAAUACAUGCGAGAAAAUUGAUCUCUCAUCCACACUGAAUCUAUUGCACAGUGACAGAAGAAUAAAGUUAAACAUGAACAUAACCAACCAAAAAUGCUAGUUAUAAUAGUACACCCAUAAUUGCAAGCAAAACCUUUUUAAGAAGCCAUUUCCAUGGUUUUCCUCCCCAAAUUCCAUCAAUUCUGCAGAGGCAACGUCAAAUUUACUAUGAUGGAGAUCAUUUUGCACUGUAAUAACUUCAGAAGGUAGGAGAUUUGGUUUCAGAUCAUCUGUUGACGGAGUAGUUUCUUUUGAAGUGUCAUGAUGCUUUGAUUGCAAGCCUUCUGUACUUACGUCAGCCUACAAAACAAAAAUUGCAUUCAUCCACACUAGACUUAAUAAGAUUAGAAACACUUCAGAUUCUUCAUUAUUUGUAUUUUUGACUAAACAGCAGAACAACUGAGGAUAAUGAACAGUAAUACACACCUGGACUUCUCGUAGAUGAUUUGGAAUUUCUUUCAGAAAUCGCGAAGGUUGAAGCAUCUGAAGGAGUCACCUUCUCAGUCAGAGCAACAACAACAAAUAAGGAGGACAGGAAUUCAAGCUAAAACGAACCUGCCAACUGGAAUCCAUCGUAACAUAAAGAAUGAAAAGCUUUUUUCGAGCACGAGUCAUUGCAACAUAUAAUAGGCGUCUCUCCUCCUAUGAUUAGAGUGGGAUUAUUGAGUUAUUGAUCAAAAGAAAAAAGAGUGGGAUUAUUGUGAAAAACAUGUCAAAGCUCUGCAUAUAACUGAAAAAUGUUGAACAAUUUACCACACACCUCAAUGGAGGUCCCAUUUUCUUUUGCAACCCCAUUGAAUUCAUGCAACAACGGGAUCUCAGAUUCAUUUACCUGUGUUAUUGGCAUGAGCAUUAAAGCAAGCUAAGAUGAUUUGAAGAGGUUGAUAUCGUCAUGAAUAUAGUAGAACAGAGAAUACCAAUUUCAAGCCAUCAAUUAGGUAUAGCAUUGGCAUGUUUAAUCCGUAAAAUCUAAUGACAGAACACCUCAACUCUACACAUAAAUAAAUAAACAACCUGAAAAAUAUUACAGCCACAUGUUAAGGCAAAUACCUUAAUUAUGAAAACUAUAUCCCACUCUAAACCUUUUGACUGCAAGAGAAUGAAAAAGAAAGACAGUAAGCCAAGAAUGUUUUGUAGAACUCCAAAGGAAGUCCAAUAGGGAAAUCAUCGCAAGUAUAAGAGUUAGCGAGGUUCGCAUAAGAGGAUAUCAAAAAGAUCUAGAACCUGAUGAAUAGUAGUCAAAGUGACAGAACUUUGGUUGUCAUGUCUUCGGGAGUGAAAAUUUUCACUCUCCUGCUCAGAUAUGUAGUCGAUGAAAGCUUUGAGUAAAUUAACGCAGCCUUUUUCUUCUGCUACGACUUCUCUCUCUCCCCUUUUCCCGCAACAAAAUGAGUUGAUAAGAAAUCAGAUACGUCGUCUAGUAGGUACUGAAGAACCUGCAAUGAGAAUAAUCGCAUCACAGCAACAGGGUUGGACCAAGAUUUAAGUGACAACAAUGAUUAACUAACUAAAAUAGAGAAAUUAUUCAUUUAAGACCUUGUUGACGGAAAAAAGGGUUUUCCAAGCAGCGGGUCAUUUAAGCUUAUUGUAUAAAUGACAAUCAUCACAAACGGCAAACUUACAGAUCUCACGUCAUUGUCUUCAUUCAGCAGUUUUCCUCCAUCUACAUCAACGACUGCACGUUGCUCAAGACGGUACUUCUAAAAAUUGAAAGUCAACAACAACAACAACAACAACAAAGCCUUUUCCCACUAAGUGGGGUCGGCUAUAUGAAUCCUAGAACGCCAUUGCGCUCGGUUUUGUGUCAUGUCCUCCGUUAGAUCCAAGUACUCUAAGUCUUUUCUUAGAGUCUCUUCCAAAGUUGUCCUAGGUCUUCCUCUACCCCUUCGGCCCUGAACCUCUGUCCCGUAGUCACAUCUUCGAACCGGAGCGUUAGUCGGCCUUCUUUGCACAUGUUCAAAAUCACCGGAGCCGAUUUUCUCUCAUAUUUCCUACAAUUUCGGCUACUCCUACUUUACCUCGGAUAUCCUCAUUCCCAAUCUUAUCCUUUCUCGUGUGCCCACACAUCCCACGAAGCAUCCUCAUCUCCGCUACACCCAUUUUGUGUACGUGUUGAUGCUUCACCACCCAACAUUCUGUGCCAUACAACAUCGCUAGCCUUAUUGCCGUCCUAUAAAAUUUUCCCUUGAGCUUCAGUGGCCUACGACGGUCACACAACACGCCGGAUGCACUCUUUCCAUCCAGCUCGUAUUCUAUGGUUGAGAUCUCCAUCUAAUUCUCCGUUCUCUUGCAAGAUAGAUCCUAGGUAGCGAAAACGAUCGCUUUUUGUGAUCUUCGCUAGAUUGCUCCGGUCAUUAGUGUGGAUAAGUAUAUAAAUGGAUAGAGAUAGGAAAGCAAACACAAGAUGUACGUGGUUCACCCAGAUUGGCUACGUCCACGGAAUAGAAGAGUUCUCAUUAAUUGUGAAGGGUUUACACAAGUACAUAGGUUCAAGCUUUCAUUUAGUGAGUACAAGUGAAUGAUUUAGUACAAAUGACAUUAGGAAAUAUUGUGGGAGAAUGAUCUCGUAAUCACGAAACUUCUAAGUAUCGGAGUGUGGUGUCGUCUUGACUUGCCUUAUCUGUCUCAUAGGUAGAUGUGGCAUCUUCUCUGGAAGUACUCUUCCUCAAACGAUAAAUUAUUACGAAGCAUUGAAUAUAAGCAUGAAACGAAGAAAAUGUUAUGGAAUGGUGAUCCUCAUCCUCAAAGAUGAUUAAAAGCAAUUUGAUUCAAAAAUGACAUAUCAACUCUGGAGAAAUGGAAGACAAACCUGUGGUACCAUAUUCGCAACUGAGGUUAUGACAGCUGAAAUCGAUUGUUCCUGUGUGCAUUGAUAAGUGAGACUACCAUAGAGAUUCACAACUAAAUAAAGACAGGUAUUCCACAGAACAACCUUUACCUCUUUGGAAACACAGAUCUAACAAAAACUAUAACAUUUUGGAUUAAUAUUGACGAAUCAAGAAUAAUGCAAGGGAGCAAGAGAUACUCUUCCUUCUAAUAACAAGGAGGCGUGAAAAGUAUACAGAGUUCCAACAAUUAGAGAACUAAAAUCAAACUAAAAAAAUCACCAAAGUAGACAGAAUCUCACUUCGCCAAAAAUUUGAAAAUAUAUCCUUUUUAUCCAUUGAGAUUCAUGAACUACUACUACUACUACAUCAUGCCAAUAAGCAAUGCGUAAGAGGUGCUACAAUUUACCGAAUAUAUUUACCCUGAGAACAAGUUUUGAAAUCAUCUCUAGUGUUAACAGCACCUUGCGUCCUUGGGUAAGCUGAGUCCUAUUAUCAAGUAAAGAGACCAAUCAGUACAUAUCCAAAAGAUCUUAAAUGCUUGUAAUACCAAAUAAGAAAGAAACAUGAGUAUAUCUUGAAUUAACCAUGUAAAAAUGUAAUGUUAAAGCAUCUUGUCAUACAGACCUCUUCAAGGUACCAGAAAUUUUUGCACUAAAGAUGUCACAAGCAGCUGAUAUGAAGCUGCAUUUUCUGUGAGUUGAAAUUUUGUCAAUAUAAUCGAUCACCUGAAGAGAGAGAGAGAGAAAAAGACAGUGAUAUCCAGAGAUGUGAGCCUAAAUGCUGAGUGUGUAAAAAAAGAAGAUUAAAUGGAUAGCAAGAAUAUACAACUUUAAUGCUGAAAAGAACAUUGAAUAUGAUGCUCAUUCAUCAUUCCCAUUGAACGUGUACCUUCUUCUUUUCCUCUUUCUCAAAAGCAAGUAGAGCCUUGAAGACUUGCCUAUAUGAUCCAUCAUCACAACCAGGCAAAGUUGUUUUAAUCAUAGCAACAAUGGCUCUAACUACCUGCCAUAAGAAACAUGCUACAUCAACAAGAUCACAGAGUGUACCAGAAACCGUAAUGUAGCAAAAUCUUGGAUAAAAUAGCUGACCAAAAGGGAAUGGAAAAGCAAGCACGAAAAACAAUGAAAAGGACCAGUGAUGCCAAAAUUCUGGUGGAAAAGGUGAAAAGCUUCUGCCUAUUACAAUUUUUGUAUGCAUUCUUUAUAACUUAAGUUCUACUAGCAAAAACCACCUUAUGCAAAAUAAUAUUGGAAAAAUUAGAUACAUACAACUGAGAAGAUAGGUUUUCAUAAUCUGGACAAGUGCUAACUACCUUCUUCCUAUAAACUGCCACUCCAUGAACAUUAAAUGGUAUUUUCCUUUCACGCAAGGCUGUCUGGAAGACUUUUCCUGAUACCUGUAGCAUAAAAUACAAAAGAAAAUGUGACCAAAAUGUCUUAUAUGAUUCACCUCAUUCACAUUAGCACUAAGGCAAGUAAGCUUGACCUGCCUCCGGUAAAGGAUUGCUAUAUUUCCAUAGGAGCACCCUGCUUCUGACCGUUUCGAUGCAGUCUCCAGGAUCUUGUCGACAACAAAGGCGCAUUGUGCAUCCUCAUUGUGACUUUCCUUGAUAAUUACCUACAUUUUGCCAGUAAAACCAGUGUCACUAACUAAAAGGACUGAAAAAUGACAUCAAAUUGUACUUGUUGGAGCAAGGAAAGAUUAAGUACCUUAGACCCAGAAGAAUUGUCCGUGUCAACAUUCUUUAGUUGGCAUCGCUUCUUAUUGUUUUUUAUAACAGAAGAUGCAGCUUCCACAAUAUAGCGUGUGGACCUAAAGUUUUUAUUAAGCCUAAUCUGAACCAUAAAGUUAUGUCAAAUCCCACAGAAACCCAUAAAAUAAAACUUACUUUCCUGUAAUUGUACAAUAUAUUUGUUCUAUACUAUAUAUAAUGAAAAAAGACACUGUGAAUGACAUAAGAUAACAUAGCAGUCAAGUGCGAAGCGAACCUCUUUGUAAUUUGAAAAAUCUUUACGAAAAGAAUCAAAUCCAGAAAUGUCCGCCCCAUUGAAACUGAAAAUGGACUGCAGCAGGAUAUAUGUUAUUUGAUUUAGAACAGAUAAGGGCUGGAUUAGAAUGAGCUGAGAGAGAGAGAGAGAGAGGGAGAGAGGGAGAGAGGGAGCAAUAACAUUGGAUUUCCAUAAUAAAUCAACAACAUGCCUGAUCAUCAUCACCAACAAUGGUUAUGUGGUUAUGAGAGGCGAGAAUCCGCAAAAGACUAUAUUGCAUAGCACUUGUGUCUUGAAACUCGUCUAUUACAAUAGCUUUCCAUGACUCCUGGCACUCCUUCAACACUAAUUAAGAGAACACCAUGUAUCAACAUUUAGCAUUACUUGUAAAACUAGAUAAAUCAAUGAAAUAUACUUAGAUGAUAGAGACCUUCAGGAAAAUCACUUAGCAGCUUCACAGAGCAGCUAAUUAAGUCGUGGUAGUCCAAAGCGUUGCACGAUUUCAAGAUAUCAUUGUAAUUCCUAAGAAUUUCACCCUGAUUCAGAUUGAGAGCUAAAACUCAUAAGCAAUAGUUUCAAAGAACUGAAAUGAUAUCUGAAAUUCUAGUUCUGAGCGUACUCCUGUCACAUCACCCAUUCUUCGGCAUUCAGCGGGAGUCUUUCCAGAAGCUUUUGCCUGAAACAUAAAUAAAUUUACUGCCUAAUGCCACAUAUUGUAAGACACACCAUUGUAUUGGUCAUUCUAGCUUGAUUGUAGCUAAUAUUUUUUAAAUCGAAUGAUUAGAGUUCUUAAUCCACAAUAAUCUGAACAUUAAAUUUGGUAUUCAAGACUAACCUGUGUCACAAACUUCAGCCAUUUCUUUGAUGCAUCCUUAAAAUGAUGUGGAGAUGUUACGCCGUCAGACUCUUCCCCAUCUAUAGCAACAUUAAGAUUCGUUUUACUCUUUUCAUCUUCUGAUAACCGCACAGCUUCAAUGAUUGCUCUUCUCUGUUGCCCAUGUCCAUAUAUCAAAAAUUCUGGUCUGCGCUUGAGUCUAAAACACAAGCCAACAUAACAGACUCAGCUAUACCACCAAAUGUAUGGUGUUCAAAAUCAAGGGAGGUGAAUCAAUAGCUUACUUCUCAGCAUGUGAUCGGCAAAGUUGCAAUGAAAAUGAAUGAAAUGUACUGAUUGUUAGUAGUUUUGCCGUUGCUUUCCCAGUCACAGAUCCAAUUCGAUCUCUCAUCUCGGAAGCUGCUGCUGUAGUGAAAGUCAUUGCUAGAAUGUUCGACGUGCUAAUGCCCUAAGAACACAAAAAAAAAAAAAAAACGAAUAAGAUUUCGAUCAUAAACAAGAAAUGUAGAGAAACACACAAUUACGAAAGAAAAAGUUAGAGGGAAAGUAGCAACACCUCAUUGAGCAGCAUUAGAACGCGCCCAACUAUCGUUGAAGUCUUUCCACUUCCAGGGCCGGCAACAAUCAUCAAAGGUACUGAAAUAUAGCUGCAAGCUGCCUCACGCUGCCUUUCGUUGAGAGAAAGCAAAUACUUCAAAUACUCAUCCGGCAUGUUAGGCAAUCCAUGGUUAACAGAAUCUGUUUGGUUUUCACUACUCAAAGGCGGCGCUGAUGGCACUAACGUGUUAUGACCCAAAUUAUUACUGAGGUUUUAUGCUUUAUUACUGUGAGGAAUUGUUAAUAUACCAGCUGGCAUUUAAAAGUGUAGAGGUUUUAUAAAAGGAGCCCCAGCUCCCCCAAAUGUAUCAGAUCAGAAUUUUACAAAAGAAAUCAAUAUUGGAGCUCUGCUCCUUCUUCUCUCCUUCCCUCUUCUUCCAUAGCUUUCUUGUGCCACUUACAGGUUGAUUAAGGGAAUUGAGAAUUAGAUCUUAUCAAUGGUAUCAUCCUUCUCGAAUCCUGGUUUCCCUCCUGUGCACACCCACCCACCUACGUUUUCUGCCAUGGUUGCUGCGCCCAAGGAUUCGCUUCGCGAGACCCUGGAUGCUCUAUUCGCACCCUACCUGGCUAAGAUCCGCCGUGCCCGUGAGUUGGCUCUCAGCGCUGAGGGAGACUCCACUCCAACCCUUAUGUUCGCUAUCAGUGAUGGGGGAGUUCCUGAUCCAGCCCCGAUGAUUGCCGAUGACGCUGCAGGAAUCGAUCUCGGUCAGAAAAUAAUUCCACGAGUCGCUGCAUCAACUAAUCAGAUUCUGCCGUUGCUCUCGUCAUCGCCGUUAUUGCGAGCACUAGCAAAUCCUCCUGUCAGGCCACCGUCGAACUCAAACGCUUCAUUGGCAAAUUCGCCCAGCCAGCCGCUACACUCAAAUGAUAUUGUAGCAGCCACAAUUCCAUUGCGGAAUGUUGAGAAAACCAGGCCCGUUGCGAUUGUGACCACAAUGCCGCUAUUUCCGAUUUCAGCAACCUUUAGCACUGAAUCAGCCCACGCUCACAAUCACAACCUCGUUUUGAGCACCAAGGAAGCUACAACAAUGGCGCAUGUUCUGGGUUUUCCUCUCAAGAAAGCAGGAGCUACUAAAUCUGUAGGUAUAUCUCAUACAAACACCACGAAGCGUCGACACGAGGUAUUGACAUCCUUGCUUUCCAAUUCUACAAAUCGGAAGGACAAAUGGUAUUGGGUUUUGCAGGUUAUUUUGGCAUAUUAUACUGGUGUUAUUGUGAUAAUGUAUGACGACUUCUUAACUGAUAAAUGUGGAUGGGGUAAUUGGUACCUUGUGGGACAAUUUGUGUUACACGCGCCCCUAAUUUAAAUCGUAUUUUUACUAAAUUUGAGUUUAUCUUGCUUUUAAAAUUAUUUUUGGGUUUUAAAUGGUGUGCCCAAGGCCCACCCCCUGUUUUGUCCCCCGUUCCCUUUCCCUUUCUUUUAUUUAUUUUCUUCUUUCUUCUUCUUCUUCUUCUUCUUUUCUGUUUCUUUUUCUUUCUUUUCCGUCUGUCCCUCUCGGCUCUCUCUGCGCCCUCUCUUCUCUGCACCGCAACAAGCACACGCACGCACCCAUUGCACCUGCGCGAGGAAGACCAUCAUCAUCUCGUCCUGCUCUCUCUCCCUCUCGUGUUUGCGAACCCAGAAAAUCGGAAAGGAUCUUCCGCGAGAUUUUUAUAUUUUCCGGUUAGGUAAGCCUCAAAUCCCUCUCUUUCGUCCUAGAAUCUUUUGAGAAUGGGUUCUAAUUGGUUUUAUUUCGUGAUUUUUGGAGGUUUUAGGAUGAAAACAAACUCGGGUGCAGGAACACCCAUUUCCGGCGAGGAACCCGCCACUUUCGAGUUAAUCUCCGGCCAAACCACGGCGAGUUGGCCGGCGUGCAAGGUAUCAAUCUCUUCGUCUCGUCGAUUACUACAACUUUCCUUUUUGUUUCACCCAAUUUCGUUGAGUAUUGAAGAAGUUAUACUCAUUUGAAUCUUACCCAGUUUCCGGCGAGUCCGACGGCUUUCGAGGCGUUUUCCGGUCAAACCACGGCGAAUUAGACGUCGUGUGAGGUACCAUUCUCUUCGUCUCUUCGAGGGCUACAACUUUCGUUUUUGUCUCGCUUGAUUUCGUUGAGUUUUAACAAAGUUAUAGCCAUUUAAAAUUGGGUGGUUUUCCGGCCGAAAUUCCAGCCUUCUUCUUCCUCGGGUCCGGCGACCCAUCAAACUUGGGCCCUUUGGGCCGUUUCUGUUAAGGGCUUUAAGCCCAAACCCUAAACCUUUGGGCUUUAGGACCAAACCCAAGAACCCAAACCCUAUGACCCAAACCCGGAUCCAAGCCCAGACCCGUUUGACCUGGUCCGACCCGGAUCCUGACCCGUUGACUUUGACCGGUCAACGUUGACUUUUCUAGUUGACUUUUCGGGUUUUCGUCCAAGACCUUCCUAGGCUAAUUUCGACGUCCUGGAUCCGUUUUUGAAGUUCGUUUUCCCAAAUUCAAUCGUUUGAGUAGAGUUUGACUAAAUGGAUCAUUUAUGUGCUUAGGUGAAUUUAAUGACGGCGGUUCCGUUAUUCCUAUUUGGUAUGGCGUUGCACCAACGGUGUACGGUGAGUGGACCCCUUCUAAAAUGCAUGUUUUAUAGUAGAAAUGCAUACAUAAAAAGUAUGAUUUGAUGAUUACCUUUUAUGAAACGUUUUGUGAGAUAACAUGCUUAUUGAGGCUACUUUAAAUUAUUACUAUUUUUCCUAUAACCCGUGUUCUUAUAGAAUAUCUGAUGGAUGACGAUAUGAUAUUAGAACAUGUUUAGAACACCUCUUUAUAGUAUAGAUGAUGGAUGACUUUAUACUAUGAAGUUGUUUUUCAAUAUAUAUGUUCAAUGGUUUUGUACUUACCUAGUGGUCAUUUCCGCUACGGGACGUAGGGAUAGAUUCCGGUCAUUCCCGGGCGACGGUUUGGUGUUGGCAUAGGGCCUGGAGUGUGUUUCCUCUGGCUAUUUAGCACAGGGACGGGGAGCCGGCAUGGGGCCUGAAGUGUAUUUUCCUCUGACUGUCUGCUCAGAGACGGGGAGCCGGCAUGGGGCCUGGGGGUUAUCGGACAAUUCACUAGUGAUUAUUAUAUAUAUAAAAGUUAUGAUUUGAGACACUGCACAUCAUGCUAGGUUUCGGAAAACCUAUGUUUAUCAUUAUAUAUGUGUUUUCAUAAAACUUGGGGGUUAGUACGUUGAUAACUGUUUUGUUAUAUUUAUAUCAAAUUGGUCCACUCAUGUUUGUUUUGCGCCCCCUUCAGGAUUUAGGAUCGAGGCGUACAAUCCCGGCAAUCCAGGCACUUCCGCAUCGGUAUCUUCAAGUCCUCUCGGUGUAGAACCCACUUCUGUGUUCAUUCAAUUUUUAUAUUAAUUCUUUUAAUGUUCUAGAUUAGAUGUGUGCUCUGAACACGUUCCUUAAAUGCAUAUUCUUUAUUUAUAUUUAUAAGUUUUAUCUAUCCUUUAUUUUCAGCAAUUGCACUCAAUAAAUGGCUUUCGUCGCCCUCGGGUGUCGGCCAGCACGUGACCAUCCUGAUAUCCUGAGGAUAUCGGGAUCGGGGCGUGUCAGAUUGGUAUCAGAGCGUGGUUUGUUCAGAGCAUACUUAGGAUCCUCUUCUAUUAUCGUAGAGUGUUGGUUUUGACAUCAUUUGGAUGUCCAGACUUCUAGAUUUGGUGCCAUUCGGCGCAGUCGUGCGAAUCUUCCUCUAUUUGAAUUGUCACAUUCGGGUUGAUAUACAAGAAUUUGUGUCGGGAUUGUGCCUCAUCGGUGACGUGUUUGAAUUGUUGGACGACUUUCAGCUUCAGAUUGAUACUCUACGACGUGCAUUCCCUGGGAAUGACGGGCAUAGUCGGUGUUACUUGGAAGCGACGGAUUUUAGAAAUCUCAGCUUAAGGAAGUCUGGUCAAGACCAGCUGUAAAUUCGAAAUGGCGAUGCCACUCUACAACAUGCGUUCCCUAGGAAUUGCGGGCGGAGUCGGCUUUGCAUCGAAAUCUUGGGAAGCGGAAAAAAAAUCUUGGCAGUACGAAUUGACUAAGACCAACUGGAGUUCUGAAGCGGUGUUGUACUCUGCAACAUGCGUUCCUUAGGAAUGGCGGGCAGAGUCGUAUCUCUUUAGAAAUUACUCGAAACUUUCGAAAUGCAGAUUGAAGAAGCGAGUAAGUGCUAGUGGUGACGACGGUUAGUAGGUGGUAGUUGGUGGGAGCAAAAUCAAUGUUCUCGAACUCAUUACCACUGAAGAAAUUUGGGUGAAUCUUUAUAACAGUUCUCUGUGAUUGUUUUAUCGAUUACCUUCUCGUUUAUUCCAACGACGAAGUCAAGUUCACUGACCUUUGAUCGUCAGCUUCACAUCAAAUCCCUCGAGAGUUGACUUCGUCUAGAGAUUAUACUUUUCUUGGGAAACUCCUCGGUAGCAGACGUUAUUCUCAUCAAUUUCGAAAUGGAGUUGCGAUUCUUGUUGUUGUUGUAGUUGAACUUGGAUAAUGAAGAUUCAGCCUUGUUUGGAUAAACAAAUUCCUUGAACUUCACCUGGGUUUGGUACUUGGUAGUAAACCCUAGUUCCUCAUCCGUGUACUUUUCAGUGAAGGUGAACUUAGUCCCUUGCUUGCAACCUAACUGUUCAGCCUUGUAAUUUUCAGCGUAAUGGCUUGAGACUCUAUCAUAUUCAUCAUUGUACGAAGAUCGAGCUUUACUCUGAACUUCUCUGGGCUCGUUAAGCUUUGAUUUGCUCAGAGGCAUCACUUUAAGGUAGCCAAUCGUGUCACUGCAUGCAUACACAAGCUGCUUUGUAUCUUUCUUCUUCGUUAUUCUGCUGAUUCAGAGGUUUUAUGUUUAAUUUCUGAAUUUUUAAAUGACUAUCGCGAAGUACCGUGAAUCUCGAAAUGUCUUUGGCCUCGUCAAAUCUUAUUAAUAGUUCUUGACUAUUCUUGAGAUUAGACUUGUUCCUUUUGGCUAAGAAACCAGUCGACCUUAUUGUGAUGAGUAGCCAAAUAAUCAUAAACAGUAACUUCUAUUUCUGCAUCUUCAUUUUCCUUCGUUUGUUUGUUUGUUUCUCAAUGUGAACUGGAUCAUGCCGGGACAUUACACGAAGGGUGUAAAAAAAAAAAAAAAAAAAAACGUUUGUUCUCGGCGUGGUUUCUAGUUCAAAUCCGGAUAUCUUGUACUCUAUAUUUAAUGGACUUGUUUUGAACCUUAAAUUCCUGAGUGUUCUUUUAGCCUUAUCGACAUGGUUUCUCUCUCAAUUAGUGAGAAAUUCAUGAUCGAUGGUUUCGGCGGAAGUGUGCGCCCAAUUCUUAUCGAUUUGGACAGGAAUGUUGGGAGCAUAAUCUUUUCACAAGCUUACUAGACUUACCAGAAAGAGUUCCACGUGGGUGUGAAGUUUGAGUUGUCUUUUGGUAAGAGACUGGUGAAGAUUGUGGUGCAGAUGAUUAGCAGAUUGUAUCACUAUCUUCACGCUGAAUUGAAUGGUCACCAUUCAUUAUCCUGCUGCAAUUCAUAAUCAUCAUAUCUUACUCUGGUAGACAUUUUUGAUGAUGUGUUCGCCUCAACGCAGCUUUCCACUACCUCUCACCAGGAUCCUUCGGUUCGAGAGCACGUGGGCGUGAGGUUGAGCGGUCUUUUAGUAAGAGUUGGUUGAAGGUUUUAGUUCAGAAGGUCAGCAUAUUGUAUCACCAUCUUACUAGAAUUCAUAGGCAUCACAUCGGUUAUUUUCCAACGAUAUGUGUUCGUGUCAAUGCAUACUUCGACUGCUUCACUUCUGAACCUUAUUCUUGUGAGUAUGUGGAUGUUGAAUCACUUAUAGCAGAUUUGUUUGGUGCACUCUGGAAUGGCACCACAACGUAGUUGAGAUAAGAAUCGGAAGAUCUUUGCACUUUUUGCGAAUGGUGUGUGCUCUCAUGGGGUGUUUAGGUUGAUUGCAUGAGAGUCAUUCUUUCCUCCAACAUUGAUCUUGUUUGACUAGAAAUCUGCAACUAAGCAAAAAUGGAGAGGUGGAUUGAGCACUACAACAGUUCCCAAGAGAUACUGCGUGUUGAGGAAGAUGACUUCUCGUUUUCUGCUUACCUAGUUCGAGCUUUUGGGUCUACUACUAACAUGGUGGCCACUUCUCUUGAAUCCCAAAGUACAGUUUCAAAUGGGUUCUUUGUUGGCAUAACUCUGGAGUAGUUGGUCACAUUUGGAAUAACUGAGGAAGAGGUUGUGCUUGGUACUAAAGGGAGUUAGUAUGACGAUAGUUAUUGGUUUUGUUCGAUUUGGGUAUGGCACUAUUUGCGACAUGGUACGAGAGUUGCUACACGCAACAUUGGUUGAUAGAGGAGACGUGCAAGCUUGUACUUGGAGGAUCGAAUUUUCGACGUGUGAAAUUGUGCACCCUCAGGAAAUUACUGCUUGUUUACUGAGACAACAAAUGUGUGGUCGAUAUCGCGGGCGGCCGACUGUGGUAUCGAUAAUUUAUUUGUUGGGUUCGUUAAGCAAGUGGGGCAGGAAUAUCCUUUUACGGCAGCCGUUAAAGAUUCACUAUUGUUAGAACUGGACCCAAAGACACAUCUAUUUUCGGAGUACGCGACGUUUCGAAUUCUUGGGCAAGACCCACUCUCAUUCUUCAGUUUUGGUUUUCAGUAUAAGUAUUUUAACCUCAUUUACUCUAGUUAAUUGUUUUGCCAUUACAAAUGUUUUUGGAAAAGUAUUUCCGUUUUCAGUUUUUAAGUGUAGCUCGAAUUUUCAACCUAUAUGUUGGUACAUAUCCAUUUUGACGUUAUCGUAUGUUAUGUUCUUACUUUUGACCUUAAUCUAUUUUAUGUUUUCGACUUUAUAUCUUUAUAAAGUAUGUUUUCUACUUUUACACUGAUGGGGAAGAAAGUAAGCUUGGAGGCAUGAUAGAGGAUUUUGCAACCCGCUCGCGACGGUGUGGUAUAUUCUCUUUGAUGCACCCACUCUGACUUGAUUUCUCUUUAUACAUAUAUUCUUCUUACUAUUUUCGUGUAUUUCAGUUUAGUAGGUGAUUUUAAAUUUCGGGGACGAAAUUCUUUUUAAGGGGGGUAGAUUGUUACACCCGCCCCUAAUUUAAAUCGUAUUUUCACUAAGUUUGAGUUUAUCUUGCUUUUAAAAUUGUUUUUGGGUCUUAAAUGGUGUGCCCAAGGGGCCCCACCCCCUGUUUUGUCCCCCGUUCCCUUUCCCUUUCUUUUAUUUAUUUUCUUCUUUCUUCUUCUUCUUCUUCUUCUUUUCUGUUUCUUUUUCUUUCUUUUCCGUCUGUCCCUCUCGGCUCUCUCUGCGCCCUCUCUUCUUUGCACCGCAACAAGCACACGCACGCACCCAUUGCACCUGCGCGAGGAAGACCAUCAUCAUCUCGUCCUGCUCUCUCUCCCUCUCGUGUUUGCGAACCCAGAAAAUCGGAAAGGAUCUCCCGCGAGAUUUUUAUAUUUUCCGGUUAGGUAAGCCUUAAAUCCCUCUCUUUCGUCCUAGAAUCUUUGAGAAUGGGUUCUAAUUGGUUUUAUUUCGUGAUUUUUGGAGGUUUUAGGAUGAAAACAAACUCGGGUGCAUGAACACCCAUUUCCGGCGAGGAACCCGCCACUUUCGAGUUAAUCUCCGGCCAAACCACGGCGAGUUGGCCGGCGUGCAAGGUAUCAAUCUCUUCGUCUCGUCGAUUACUACAACUUUCCUUUUUGUUUCACCCAAUUUCGUUGAGUAUUGAAGAAGUUAUACUCAUUUGAAUCUUACCCAGUUUCCGGCGAGUCCGACGGCUUUCGAGGCUUUUUCCGGUCAAACCACGGCGAAUUAGACGUCGUGUGAGGUACCAUUCUCUUCGUCUCUUCGAGGGCUACAACUUUCGUUUUUGUCUCGCUUGAUUUCGUUGAGUUUUGACAAAGUUAUAGCCAUUUAAAAUUGGGUGGUUUUCCGGCCGAAAUUCCGGCCUUCUUCUUCCUCGGGUCCGGCAACCCAUCAAACUUGGGCCCUUUGGGCCGUUUCUGUUAAGGGCUUUAAGCCCAAACCCUAAACCUUUGGGCUUUAGGACCAAACCCAAGAACCCAAACCCUAUGACCCAAACCCGGAUCCAAGCCCAGACCUGUUUGACCUGGUUCGACCCGGAUCCUGACCCGUUGACUUUGACCGGUCAACGUUGACUUUUCUAGUUGACUUUUCGGGUUUUCGUCCAAGACCUUCCUAGGCUAAUUUCGACGUCCUGGAUCCGUUUUUGAAGUUCGUUUUCCCAAAUUCAAUCGUUUGAGUAGAGUUUGACUAAAUGGAUCAUUUAUGUGCUUAGGUGAAUUUAAUGACGGCGGUUCCGUUAUUCCUAUUUGGUAUGGCGUUGCACCAACGGUGUACGGUGAGUGGACCCCUUCUAAAAUGCAUGUUUUAUAGUAGAAAUGCAUACAUAAAAAGUAUGAUUUGAUGAUUACCUUUUAUGAAACGUUUUGUGAGAUAACAUGCUUAUUGAGGCUACUUUAAAUUAUUACUAUUUUUCCUAUAACCCGUGUUCUUAUAGAAUAUCUGAUGGAUGACGAUAUGAUAUUAGAACAUGUUUAGAAUGUCACAGCCCGUCCCGGGAUUUCUAUAUCGGGGGCGUGAAUUGACGUAACUACCCUUGACGGACAUUCGGGUACGUGUGUGUGCGACAUUAUUGAAUUAAUUUUGUAAGUUUUGGGAUUUUAAUUUUGGAAUUUGGAAAUUUUUGUGGUUAGGGAAUUGGAUGGAUGGUGAGGAUUGUGUUGGACCACACAAUCACACACACACGCACUCCCUGUCUUCUCUCCCUCCCGUAGCUCUCUCUGUCCCUCUCCCUCACGAUCUCUCUCUUUCCCCUCACCCUAUACGUACGGCCUUCACCCAAAACCCUUCAAAACUCGACGGAUCGAGGCAAAUAAGGUAUGCAUCUUCAUCCUUUCGUCGUCCUGAGUUCAUUGGUGCUAGUUUUAGGAAGUGAAACCUUCGAUUUCACAUAGAUCCCGAACCUCCAUUUUUGAGGUACUGUUCAUGCGAACGUAAAAUGUUGUGUUUCAGGAGAUUUCAAGCUUGUGGUGAGCUUUAGGAGGUUCCUAAGGAAGCUCGGGGACGUUCGUUGGAGAGUUUUGGACGUCGGGAUCGUAGGUUUCAAGUUUGGCCGAAUCUUUGGUUUUUCCAAGGUGAGAUUUCGUAGUUUUUAGGCCCUAAAACAAGUCCAACGUGAUUGUACACUCUUAGGGCUUCAAUUUGGUAUAAAAUACGAAGAAAAUGGGUGAAAAACGAAGGAGAAUAGUGAGUUUGAAAAUCGGCCGGAGUUCGGCCGGAGUCCGGCCACCAGAGAACCAGUCCGGCGAGACCUGCGAAGAAGACGACACGUGCGCUGCACGUGCUGCGCGUGGCCAGCGCGUGGACCCGUGCCACGUGUGGCGCGUGGGGGCGCGUGGGGCUUCCAAAAAUUUUUCUAAAAAUUUCUCGACGCUCGUGACGUCGAGUAGGUCGAUGUGGUAUAUUAUUAUACCAAAAUUGAGCAUCGUAUGAGAAGUUAUUUCAAAUUAUUGGUGAUGUGCUUAAAAUUAAUGUUUUUAUAGUUGUUUCGCAUAUAGGUGAGACGUAUCCCGAGGACGACCGCAUCCAGGGACGCCACGGGGGUUACGACGACCCGUCGACUUAUCAGUGAGUGGGCAGUUUUGUUUUCGUAUUACCUAUAUACUACUGUUUUUCCCAGAAAAAUGUUUAUAUGAAAAUAUGUUUUGAAUAUGCCAUGCAUAGAAUUAUUUGAAAAUCAUGAAUUGGUUUAUGAACUAUAUGAUUGAAAUAUGAUGCAUACAUGUUGCAUGGUGCUGUGGAGGCACAGGUAAGUCAGGUGAGUUCAUUUAUUCAUUGAAUUGUUGUUGUUGAGAUGAGUUGAGCUCAUAAUCUGCACCCUAGGUGUUAGUGCUUAUAUUAUUCACCACACCGCACGCUCGUCUUGGAUCCAAGUAGGUGGAUGUCGUACAGACCAUGUGAGGGUUCCGACAUGCUAGUCGUACAGAUCACUAGGCGUGAUUCCGACUAGUGGGUGACCUUAGUUAUGCGCGCUGAUGAUAUGAUGAGAGAAGCACUAGAGCGUAUUUUUACACCUUUCAUCGUAUAGACUACCUUACGUAGUUCCGAGUGAUGUGCAGAGUAGGGCCGUAUAGGUCACUGUGGUGACUCCGGCUUAGUGGGAUUUUUGAGCUAUUGAAUUAAUCGUAUAGGACCAACUGCAGGGUCUCCGAUUGAUUCCUUAUUUCACCUGAUUUAUAUUUUUUAUUUAUGUCAUGGCAUGUUUUCUUGAAAAUGUUAAAGAUUUGAGAUUUAAAUGUUGAGAUUUUAUAUGGUUAUAUAUAUUUCUGGGAAAGUAUACAGGUUUUUACGGCGAGGGGAUAUAACUGUUUUAAUGAAAUGUUUUGGAAAACUAAUUUGUUUUACUGACCCACUCAUUUUGUUUUGCGCCCCUCCAGGUUCUAGUUUAGCGGUGGUUGGCUCACGAGGUCCUUUCCGGCUUUCUGACAGAUUUGGGACAUGUAGGACUCACCUGAGGGUGAUGUAUUCUUAUUUUAGUCCUACUUGACUGCAGUUAACCUAUGCUCUGAACUUAUGUGUUUACUUGUAAACUCGUCCGGUUAUGUCCGUAUGUGGUUAUGUUGAGUUUGGGUUGAAUUUCUGUUGUUAUUACGCUUCCGUGUCGUGCUUAUGGUUACGUCACGCCCACGUGACGGCCAGCACACCUGGAUCCUCCGGAUCAGGGUGUGUCAGUUUGGUAUCAGAGCUUAGGUUGCAGUCCUGUAAAAUUGUUAAUGUCUUAACGAUCUUUUUGAUGUUUUCUGUCAGAAUCAUGCCGCCUCGUAGAGAGCGUAGGGAGUCCCGCCGUACUCCUGAACCUAAUUUCCCAGAUAUUACUCAGUUAGGGGAAGCGAUGGCCCAGGCUUUACAGAAUGUGAUUCGUCCUCCCCCUCCUCCGAGGACACCUCUGGAGACCAUGUACAACUUGAAGUUAGAUCGGUUUAUGGGUAAUGAAAGUCAUGAGGGGGCAGAGAAAUGGCUUGAUCAUAUUGAGAAAACCUUUCAGGUGAUGCAGAGUCAGGGGAAUCUCCCUGCUAAUAGGUGGGUGGAGACCACCACUUGGUUUCUGGGUUGUGAACCAGCAGCAUGGUGGAUAAAUCAGGCUAGGUACAUGUCACCUGAGACGGCAGCCGACUGGAAAGUAUUCAAGGAGCAUUUUAUGAAGAGAUUUCGUUCCUCCUGAGUAUAUUGACCGUAAGAAGCAGGAAUUCACCAGGUUGAAACAGAGAAAUAUGUCGGCACAUGAAUAUUAUAGAAAGUUUACUGAUUUGUCUCGUUAUGACACUGAUAUAGCUGGUAAUCAGGGAGAGAUGCUUCGACGUUUCAAGUUGGGAUCUAAGAAGAAGUGGCGUACCUUUGCCAAUGCACUUCCCUGCGCUGAUUAUCAUGAGUAUUUCGAGAUUUUGGUUAGGAUGGAGGACUCUGAUAAUCUUCCUGACAGUGAGGAUGACGAGGACAAGAAUGAGGGUCAGAAGAAGAAUGAUAAGGGUAAGGGUAUUUCUAUUCCUGGACCUCGACAGACACAGAGUUUUUAAGAAGAGUGGAGCGAGUUCGAGUUCUUCUAGUGGGGGAUAUAGUUUUACUGGCCCGAGGAGAGGUGGUGGAAGAUUUUCUGGUGGACCCAGAUUUCAGGGUCAGAGGGAUGCUGGUGGAUCUGGCGCUCCAUGGUGCCGCCGUUGUAACUCCCGUCACCAUGGUGAGUGUAGGAGAGGUUCUGGUGCCUUGUUUUUACGUGUGGGACAGAUGGGACAUCGGGCUUCUCAGUGCCCCCAGGGUCAGCAGAGACCGCAGCAGACUAAUAUGCCACCUCCAGCACCAGUUCAGCAGAGUUUUGGGACCGGGUGGUUAUGGCCAGCCGAGUCGUGGUGGUGCCUACCACUAUCAGGGGGAUGCUGCUCCGUAUGCUUCCGGACCUUAUCAGUAUUCUCAGGAGCCUUAUCCUCAGGCAGGGUAUUCUCAGGAUUUUGGAGGUUAUUCUUCUUAUUCCUCUAUGCCAGCUGGUGGAUCGCAGUGGCAUCAGGGAGGCCAGCCCCGUCAGGGGGAAGUUGCUACUGGUGGUGCAGGAUCAUCCAGGCAGCCUAGUCAGCCAGGCCAGGGACGAGGUAAUCAGGGCAAUAGAGGCCGAGGUGGACGUCAGCAAGCUCAGGGGCGAGUUAAUCAUAUUGUCCCUGCAGGAGGCUCAGAACCAUCCAGACUUGAUAAUGGGUACGUUAAAUGUUCUUGGUCAUUUUGCUAAGGUUUUGAUUGAUUGUGGCGCUACGCACUCUGUGAUUUCUCAUACGUUUGCUCAAAUAACCCAACCUCACCCUUCACCUCUAGGAUUUGAUUUAGAGUUUGCCAUGCCUAGAGGAGAUAAAUGUAUUGUGGAUAGUGUGUAUCUGGGGUGUCCAGUGAUGGUUGAGGGCGUGAUUAUGUCCGCUGAUCUUAUUCCGUUAGAUAUUGUGGAUUUUGAUGUGAUUUUAGGGGCCGAUUGGUUACACCAUAAUCGUGCCCAUAUUGAUUGUUAUGGUAAAUCAGUUACUUUUUAUCGUCCUGGAUUACCCGAGGUUAUUUUUGUGGGCGAGAGAAGUGGGGUGAGACAUGGAGUUAUUUCUGCCAUAAGGGCGAGGAAAUUAUUAUCGAAGGGUUGUCAGGGAUAUUUGGCACAUGUGGUAUUAAAUGAUGUUGCUCCUACUAGUAUAGAAGAAGUUGGUGUGGUCAGACAUUAUCCGGAUGUUUUCCCUGAUGAUUUGCCGGGAUUGCCGCCAGACAGAGAGGUGGAAUUCUCUAUUGAUUUGCUUCCAGGUACGGACCCUAUAUCUCUGACUCCUUAUAGAAUGGCUCCUGCUGAGUUAAGGGAAUUAAAAAUCCAGUUGCAAGAAUUACUUGAUAAAGGUUUUAUUCAACCUAGUUCUUCACCUUGGGGUGCCCCAGUAUUAUUUGUGAAGAAGAAGGAUGGAACUCUUUCGAUUGUGUAUUGAUUAUAGACAAUUGAACCGGGUAACGAUUAAAAACCGUUAUCCAUUGCCCCGCAUUGAUGAUUUGUUUGAUCAGCUGAAAGGUGCGUGUGUAUUUUCUAAGAUUGAUUUGAGAUCCGGGUAUUAUCAAUUGAAGAUUAAAGAAGACGAUGUACCUAAGACGGCUUUCCGAACUCGGUACGGACAUUAUGAAUUUUCGGUUAUGCCGUUUGGGUUGACUAAUGCACCUGCAGCUUUUAUGAGAUUAAUGAAUGAGGUAUUCCAGAAAUAUCUUGAUAAAUUUGUUAUUGUUUUUAUUGAUGAUAUUCUGGUAUACUCUAAGUCCCAAGCAGAUCAUAUCCGACACCUUAAUUUGGUGUUAAGGAAAUUAAGGGAGCAUCAGUUGUAUGCCAAGUUCAGUAAAUGUCAGUUUUGGUUGACUGAAGUGGCAUUUUUGGGGCAUGUUGUAUCAGCUCAAGGUAUUCAAGUUGAUCCUCAAAAGAUUGCAGCAGUGGAGAAUUGGGAGCAACCUCGAACCGUCACGGAGGUACGAAGUUUUCUUGGCUUAGCAGGUUAUUAUCGACGGUUCGUUCAGGAUUUCUCUAUGAUUGCUUUACCGUUGACAAAGUUGACCAGGAAGGAUGUUAAAUUUGAGUGGGAUGAGAAUUGUGAGCGGAGUUUUCAACAAUUGAAGUAUUGCCUCACUCAUGCACCGGUGUUGGUACUUCCCGACGAUAGCGGUAAUUUUGAGAUAUAUAGUGAUGCUUCAUUAAAUGGUUUGGGAUGUGUUUUGAUGCAGCAUAAUAAGGUGAUUGCCUAUGCUUCUAGGCAGUUGAAAAAAUCAUGAAAGGAACUAUCCUACUCACGAUCUUGAAUUGGCAGCAAUUGUUUUUGCUUUGAAAAUUUGGAGGACAUUACUUUGUAUGGUGAGAAGUGUAAGAUCUUCACUGAUCACAAGAGUCUUCAGUAUUUGUUUACUCAGCAUGAUCUUAAUCUUCGUCAGCGAAGGUGGAUGGAAUUGUUAAGUGAUUAUGAUUGUUCUAUUGAAUACCAUCCAGGUCGUGCUAAUGUAGUAGCGGAUGCACUGAGUAGGAAACCUCAAGGUAGACUUAAUGCCCUUAUAUGCUAGUCGUGUUCCUCUUCUUGCUGAAUCUGAGGACAACUGGGGUAAGGUUGGAAAUUGAAAGACCGAGGAUGGAGCUUUUCUUGCUAGUUUUCAAGUCAGGCCAGUUUUGGUGGAGCGUAUACUUGCAGCUCAGAUGGUGAAUGAGGAAAGUUCAAGGAGUUGGUUCAGUUAAGAAGUGAAGGGAAAAAGAAAGACCUCAGAAUUCGGGAAUCAGACGGUAUGCUCAUGCAAGAAGACAGAAUGUAUGUUCCGAAUAAUGAGGAAUUGAAGAAGGAAAUUCUGGACGAAGCACAUUGUUCAGCUUAUGCGAUGCAUCCGGGAGGAACAAAAAUGUAUAUCAUACCAUUCGACCAUUUUAUUAUUGGCCGGGUAUGAAAAGAGAAAUUGCAGAAUAUGUGAGCAGGUGUAUUAUUUGCCAGCAAGUGAAAGCAGAAAGAAAGAAGCCAUUUGGGCGAAUGCAACCCCUUCCUGUUCCCCAGUGGAAAUGGGAAAAUAUAACCAAUGGAUUUCGUGUAUAAACUUCCUCGUACGCGAAAUGGAUUUGAUGGUAUUUGGGUGAUUGUGGAUCGACUCACCAAGUCGGCGCAUUUCAUUCCUGUGAGGGAGAAAUACCCUCUGAAUAAAUUGGCUAAGUUGUUUAUUUCGAAGAUUGUCAAGUAUCAUGGAGUCCCAGUAAAUAUUAUCUCCGAUCGAGACCCGAGGUUUACUUCUAAAUUUUGGGUGGCUUUUCAGGAAGCUCUGGGUACUCAAUUACUGUAUAGCACAGCUUAUCAUCCUCAAACUGAUGGGCAAUCAGAGAGGACCAUUCAGACGUUGGAAGGAUAUGUUGAGAUCUUCAGUACUGCAAUUUGGUGAUUCUUGGCAUGAUCGUCUGGACUUAAUGGAGUUUGCUUAUAAUAACAGUUUUUCACUCGAGCAUUGGUAUGUCCCCAUUCGAGGCACUUUAUGGUAGGGCGUGUCGAACGCCAUUAUGUUGGUCUGAGGUUGGUGAACGGGUAUUAGAAGGCCCUGAGAUCGUGGAUGAGACGACUCAAAAUGUUCAGAUAAUUAAGUCAAACCUGAAAGCAGCCCAGGAUCGACAGAAGAGUUUAGCGGAUCGGCAUACUACUGAUCGAGUGUAUGAUGUGGGUGAUUGGGUAUUUUUGAAAUUGUCGCCUUGGAGAGGUGUAGUACGAUUUGGGAAAAGAGGAAAGUUAAGCCCGAGAUAUAUUGGACCUUAUGUGAUCACUGAAAGAGUUGGUGAAGUUGCCUAUCGGUUGGAACUGCCUCCGGAGUUAUCUAAGGUCCAUAAUGUGUUCCACGUCUCUAUGCUUCGGCAUUAUAUUUCUGAUCCUUCUCAUGUGAUCCCUCCUCAACCGUUAGAGAUUAAUCCGGAAUUUGACGUAUGAUGAGGAACCGGUCACUAUCUUGGAUUGGAAAGAUAAGGUUCUAAGGAACAAGACGGUGAGUUUGGUAAAGGUGUUGUGGAUGAACCAUUCUGCAGAGGAAGCCACCUGGGAGACGGAAGAUCGGAUGAGAGAGAUGUACCCAAGGUUAUUUUAUGGGUACUAAGUGGUUAAUUUGGAUUGUGGGAAUUUCGGGGACGAAAUUCUAUAAGGAGGGGAGAUUGUCACAGCCCGUCCCCGGGAUUUCUAUAUCGGGAAUGUGAAUUGACAGUAACUACCCUUGAUUGGACAUUCGGGUACGUGUGUGUGCGACAUUAAAUUGAAAUUUUGUAAGUUUUGGGAUUUUAAUUUUGGAAUUUGGAAAUUUUUUGUGGUUAGGGAAUUGGAUGGAUGGUGAGGAUUGUGUUGGACCACACAAUCACACACACACGCACUCCCUGUCUUCUCUCCCUCCCGUAGCUCUCUCUGUCCCUCUCCCUCACGAUCUCUCUCUUUCACCCUCACCCUAUACGUACGGCCUUCACCCAAAACCCUUCAAAACUCGACGGAUCGAGGGGCAAAUAAGGUAUGCAUCUUCAUCCUUUCGUCGUCCUGAGUUCAUUGGUGCUAGUUUUAGGAAGUGAAACCUUCGAUUUCACAUAGAUCCCGAACCUCCAUUUUUGAGGUACUGUUCAUGCGAACGUAAAAUGUUGUGUUUCAGGAGAUUUCAAGCUUGUGGUGAGCUUUAGGAGGUUCUAAGGAAGCUCGGGGACGUUCGUUGGAGAGUUUUGGACGUCGGGAUCGUAGGUUUCAAGUUUGGCCGAAUCUUUGGUUUUUCCAAGGUGAGAUUUCGUAGUUUUUAGGCCCUAAAACAAGUCCAACGUGAUUGUACACUCUUAGGGCUUCAAUUUGGUAUAAAAUACGAAGAAAAUGGGUGAAAAAACGAAGGAGAAUAGUGAGUUUGAAAAUCGGCCGGAGUUCGGCCGGAGUCCGGCCACCGGAGAACCAGUCCGGCGAGGACCUGCGAAGAAGACGACACGUGCGCUGCACGUGCUGCGCGUGGCCAGCGCGUGGACCCGUGCCACGUGUGGCGCGUGGGGGCGCGUGGGGCUUCCAAAAAAUUUUUCUAAAAAUUUCUCGACGCUCGUGACGUCGAGUAGGUCGAUGUGGUAUAUUAUUAUACCAAAAAUUGAGCAUCGUAUGAGAAGUUAUUUCAAAUUAUUGGUGAUGUGCUUUAAAAUUAAUGUUUUUAUAGUUGUUUCGCAUAUAGGUGAGACGUAUCCCGAGGACGACCGCAUCCAGGGACGCCACGGGGGUUACGACCCGUCGACUUAUCAGUGAAUGGGCAGUUUUGUUUUCGUAUUACCUAUAUACUACUGUUUUUCCCAGAAAAAUGCAUUUAUAUGAAAAUAUGUUUUUGAAUAUGCCAUGCAUAGAAUUAUUUGAAAAUCAUGAAUUGGUUUCACAUGAACUAUAUGAUUGAAAUAUGAUGCAUACAUGUUGCAUGGUGCUGUGGAGGCACAGGUAAGUCAGGUGAGUUCAUUUAUUCAUUGAAUUGUUGUUGUUGAGAUGAGUUGAGCUCAUAAUCUGCACCCUAGGUGUUAGUGCUUAUAUUAUUCACCACACCGCACGCUCGUCUUGGAUCCAAGUAGGUGGAUGUCGUACAGACCAUGUGAGGGUUCCGACAUGCUAGUCGUACAGAUCACUAGGCGUGAUUCCGACUAGUGGGUGACCUUAGUUAUGCGCGCUGAUGAUAUGAUGAGAGAAGCACUAGAGCGUAUUUUUACACCUUUCAUCGUAUAGACUACCUUACGUAGUUCCGAGUGAUGUGCAGAGUAGGGCCGUAUAGGUCACUGUGGUGACUCCGGCUUAGUGGGAUUUGAGCUAUUGAAUUAAUCGUAUAGGACCAACUGCAGGGUCUCCGAUUGAUUCCUUAUUCACCUGAUUUAUAUUUUUUAUUUAUGUCAUGGCAUGUUUUCUUGAAAAUGUUAAAGAUUUGAGAUUUAAAUGUUGAGAUUUUAUAUGGUUAUAUAUAUUUCUGGGAAAGUAUACAGGUUUUUACGGCGAGGGGAUAUAACUGUUUUAAUGAAAUGUUUUGGAAAACUAAUUUGUUUUACUGACCCACUCAUUUUGUUUUGCGCCCCUCCAGGUUCUAGUUUAGCGGUGGUUGGCUCACGAGGUCCUUUCCGGCUUUCUGACAGAUUUGGGACAUGUAGGACUCACCUGAGGGUGAUGUAUUCUUAUUUUAGUCCUACUUGACUGCAGUUAACCUAUGCUCUGAACUUAUGUGUUUACUUGUAACUCGUCCGGUUAUGUCCGUAUGUGGUUAUGUUGAGUUUGGGUUGAAUUUCUGUUGUUAUUACGCUUCCGUGUCGUGCUUAUGGUUACGUCACGCCCACGUGACGGCCAGCACACCUGGAUCCUCCGGAUCAGGGUGUGUCAUAGAACACCUCUUUAUAGUAUAGAUGAUGGAUGACUUUAUACUAUGAAGUUGUUUUUCAAUAUAUAUGUUCAAUGGUUUUGUACUUACCUAGUGGUCCUUUCCGCUACGGGACGUAGGGAUAGAUUCCGGUCAUUCCCGGGCGACGGUUUGGUGUUGGCAUAGGGCCUGGAGUGUGUUUCCUCUGGCUAUUUAGCACAGGGACGGGGAGCCGGCAUGGGGCCUGAAGUGUAUUUUCCUCUGACUGUCUGCUCAGAGACGGGGAGCCGGCAUGGGGCCUGGGGGUUAUCGGACAAUUCACUAGUGAUUAUUAUAUAUAUAAAAGUUAUGAUUUGAGACACUGCACAUCAUGCUAGGUUUCGGAAAACCUAUGUUUAUCAUUAUAUAUGUGUUUUCAUAAAACUUGGGGGUUAGUACGUUGAUAACUGUUUUGUUAUAUUUAUAUCAAAUUGGUCCACUCAUGUUUGUUUUGCGCCCCCUUCAGGAUUUAGGAUCGAGGCGUACAAUCCCGGCAAUCCAGGCACUUCCGCAUCGGUAUCUUCAAGUCCUCUCGGUGUAGAACCCACUUCUGUGUUCAUUCAAUUUUUAUAUUAAUCCUUUUAAUGUUCUAGAUUAGAUGUGUGCUCUGAACACGUUCCUUAAAUGCAUAUUCUUUAUUCUCUUAUAUUUAUAAGUUUUAUCUAUCCUUUAUUUUCAGCAAUUGCACUCAAUAAAUGGCUUUCGUCGCCCUCGGGUGUCGGCCAGCACGUGACCAUCCUGAUAUCCUGAGGAUAUCGGGAUCGGGGCGUGUCAAUUUGUGAAGAAGAAUUUUUAUGCACUGCAACUGUUUGAUCGUCUGUCUAAGAGAGGGAGUGCAAAUGUACAUGUGCUUUAUGUGGCCUCUUUAGAUAUGCAUGAUUUAGAAGCUAGCCCUAAACUGGAUGGUAGUAGCAGCAAGCCAAGGGUUAAAGAAGUGUCUUCUGAAGAAAAAGAUAAUGUGUCUCACAUUGAGAUUAAGAUUACUGAAUACCAUAGCUCCGAUGAAAAGUGUGUUCUGAGGUAUCUUAAUCUUUCAGACAACGCCAUGGGCAACUAUGGUGUCAAUGCAUUUGAGUCACUUCUUAGUUCACAAAACAAUUUGAGAGAACUUUAUUUGAUGAAUAUGGCAAGGCUCAAUAUGUGUCAUAACAUGAGGGAGUGGCACUGCGAUGCUAUUAGGAAGAUCAAAUGGCUGAAUGAGAAUGAGAUUUCUGUUAUGAUCAAUACCGAAGGACAAGCAAACUAUGAAGGUUUUUUUUAUUGUAUCAAAUAUGGUGAGGAGCUCACUUUUAAGCUGUUGCUCUAUUUCCAAGCUGUCAAGGCAAAAAGUCUUGGGUUUACUAAACUUGGGUCACCAAAAGAGGCUAAGAAGGUUGUUGGGAACAUGAAUGAUGUUACUGCUAGUGCCAAACAGCUAAAGGAGAUGGAACAAGGCUUGACCAGUUUGAUAGUUUUGGGGAAUGGGCGAUUGUCUGAUCUUAUUGCACAGCUGCAGGAUAUAUUAGAGGGUGUAAAUGAAGCUGAUAUCUUGCCGGAGAAGUUUGAUAAUGCAGUUAUUAAAGCUCAGAUUCCACAAUUGGCUCGAGAAAUCAGGGAGUUAACCUCAUCUCGACCUGUAACCAUCUACAAUGAGAAUUCUUCCUCUAGUGGGAAUUAUGCUUCAUAUUUAGUUCCACUUGCUGCACUUGCUGCAAUGGGCUAUUGUUACAUGUGGUGGAGAGAUUGGUCAUUUUCAGAUGUGAUGUAUGUGACAAGGCAUAAUAUGGCAAAUGUUGUUGAAGCUCUAAUUAGAGAGGUAGCUAGCAAGAGCAAUGACUUUGCUGGGAACGGAACAACAAAUACAUUGAAGAUGAGUGAAUGCGCUAUGGGCACCUAUUUAGAUUUAGUAUGCUCUCUUAGUCACCUGGAAAGCAAUUUUGGUGGUGCCUUAGUUAUUGAUUUACAUGUUGAGUUCUCUUUGUUUUUCACUUGUAACCCUGACUGUCGGCUUUUAUGGGAUCCAGGAGAUGCAAUGGCUAAAACUGUUAAGAUGAUACUCUAUUUUAAAAAUGUCAAGGCAGAGUGGCUUAACAGGGUUACAAAAAUAACCAAGUUUGGUAGUUUUAUGGUACAAUUGGAUAGAAGUGUUGAAGCUUUGAAUAAGGGCAAAAAGCAAAAAACUAGAGAUGGUGGAUAUGGUGAUGAGAUAAAGAGAUUGCAUGAUUUAAGCGUGAACAAGGUUGUGGAUAUGGCGACUAGGUUCGAAAGUGCAUUGGUAGGACAUGUUAACAAUAUAAUUUGUAGUACUACUGUAAGAUUGGAGAGACUUCACUCCGAUGAUUGGUGGUGUUCUGCUAUAUCUCAACUGCUGAUGAUUGGUAAAUCCAUCGUAUCUAGUUCAAACAAAACUCAGGAAGCAAAUGUGGAUGCUGUUUUGGGAACCGGUGAUCCGAGUCUACUAGUUGAGAACACUUCAGUUGAGCAGCUUGGUUUCGUCAGAAAGGUGACAAUCUUUAAGGACUCCACUUCCAUUAUUGGUGAUGCAGCAUCAAAAGAUGGGUUGCAAGUCCAUGGUGUGUCUCCAUUUGACAUUAUGGGCAGAAAUCUUUUCUGGGAAAAGCAACUGCAAAGGCUGCAAAUGGGAGCUGUCACAAGAAAGUUCUUGGUGGUUAAUUUCAGUUCUGGUUUUGAUGAAUCUUCAUAUCUCUCUCGGGUUGAAAAUUUUGAGGAGAUGUCACAAGAAAAUUAUGGAGAGGCUACAGGAAACAAGAACUCACUCACUCAGUUCAAGCGAGCUGCCAUACCUGGAAGGAUUAUAAUGAUUUCAAAGUCAAGUUCUACAAUUCCAUUUUUAAGCCUUGAGGACAAGGCUAAUUUUCAAGGGGGAAGUAUUGUUAUGACCCAAAUUAUUACUGAGGUUUUAUGCUUUAUUACUGUGAGGAAUUGUUAAUAUGCCAGCUGGCAUUUAAAAGUGUAGAGGUUUUAUAAAAGGAGCCCCAGCUCCCCCAAAUGUAUCAGAUCAGAAUUUUACAAAAGAAAUCAAUAUUGGAGCUCUGCUCCUUCUUCUCUCAUUCCCUCUUCUUCCAUAGCUUUCUUGUGCCACUUGCAGGUUGAUUAAGGGAAUUGAGAAUUAGAUCUUAUCAUAACGUCACUACCACAACUCCCAAUAUCAUCACGCUGAAUGUCCACACUCGGUUUCUGCUCAAUUAAAGCGUCAAUUUCCUGCAAAAUACUCUCAUCGAAAUCAUCAUCGUUAAGAAUUCCAGAUGCAGAGAAAGAAUCAAAUGAAGUCAGAAACUGCGGUUGUCUGAUUGGAGUUGUGAAAGAAUCCGAUUUUGACACGCUUGAUUCGGUCCGGCUAACGCUUAAGCUCCCGGAACACGAAGCACUGCCAUAUUCACCACGCGCUGAAUUGUACCGGCUUGCGGAAAUCGGAAGCGGUGUUCUUUGAACUCUAUUGAGCUGAGUUGGCGUUUGGAUUCCAUUUCCGCCAAAAAACACAAUUGAAUUGAUUUAAAUUGAAGCAAGAAAACAGCCAAGUAGCCAAAAAAUAGUAAGAAGAUGAAACCUUUGAUUCCUGAACGACUUACUUGGUAUGAGGGAGGUGAUGAUCAGGUGAAACGGCGUCGUUGCAGGGGCGUUUGCGAUCAAUGAGGGCCUUGGCGGCUCUGAAAUUCCGAGAGAUGCGGUUUCUUUGUUCCGCCGUGAGCCCUCCGCCGUACGCCUGAACGUUUUCCUUGGACAUUGCUUCCAAGAUUCCAACGGAGGAUUUGGCCUGACGGCCUGACCAGGCUGAUAACAGUGUAAAACCUUAGGAGCUAAGGAAAAACUAAGAGAGAGAUUGUAGAGAGGGAAAGUUUUUUCUUUUUGGAAACCAGUAGAGAGGGAAAGUUUGUUAAACCUGAAUAAUAUUCUUUUCAUUCAACUUGUCUACAAUAAUUACCACUCGUGGUAUUUAUACAUUUGUAACACACCUCACUAACUAACUAAGACCACCACCAAUCAUACAUAAACACUUGUCAUAAUCCUAUGCACUCAUAGUAUCAUCACUUUAACAUUCCCCUCAAGCUCAUGUGGCAGAUUGCCAAGCAUGAGAUUGGAACAAUUACGAGCGAACUGGGGUGAACACAAGCCUUUGGUGAACAUGUCGGCAUAUUGAUCUGCAGAGGUAACAAACUACAAAAUAAUUGUCCUUUGAUGAACUCUUUCACGAACAAAGUGGCAAUCAAUCUCUAUAUGUUUGGCUUUAUAGUGCAAUACAGGAUUAGUGGCAAGAGCCAUUGUUGAAAUGUUAUCACAAUGCAAAACUAGAACAGAAGGAGAACCAACAUGCAAAUCUCGAAGAAGCUGUUGUAUCCAGAUAACCUUAGCAGUGGUUGUAGCCAUUGCUCUAUAUUUAGCUUCAGUGGAAGACCUACUCACUGUAUGCUGCUUUUUAGAACUCCAAGAGAUAGGAGUAUCUCCCAAAAAAAUGACAAAACCCGUGGUUGAACGACAAUCAUUGGGAUCCCCUACCCAAUCAGCAUCUGUAUAAGCUUUCAACUGAGAUGAACCUGAUUUAAAACAUAAUCCCAAAGAUAUAGUGCCUCUGCGAUAUCGUAGAAUACGUUUCACAGCAGCAAAUGAGUGGCUAAGGGUGAAUGCAUAAACUGACGUACUUGAUUGACAGAAAAAUAAAUAUAUGGUCUUGUAAAUGUUACGUAUUGCAGUGCCCCAACAAUACUUUUGUAAGUGGUAGGAUCAAAAACAGGUUCACUACCAUGAUUCAGAAGCUUCUGAUUAGGAUGACAAGGUGUGGAAAAAAGGUUUACAGUCUAGCAUAUGCAUCUUUUAAAGGAGUUCUUUGACAUACUUGGUCUGAUGAACAAAGAGUCCCUGACCCUGAUACUCAAUCUGUAAACCAAGAAAAUAAUGCAACACACCUAGAUCUUUCAUGCCAAACUCACUAGUUAACUAACUAAUAACCUUCUGAACCUUCACAGCAUCAUUACCAGUGAGAAUGAUAUCAUCAACAUAUAAUAAGAGAACAAUAAUUGAUGAACCAUCACACUUGACAAAUAAAGAAGGAUCUGCAUAUGAUGACUUGAACCCAAGCUUAGGCAAAUAACCUGAAAACCUGUCAUGCUAGGCUCUGGGAGCUUGCUUGAGACCAUAUAAAAACCUCUCUAGUUUGCACACAUAAUCUGGAUAGGUAGAAUCCACAAACCUUUGGGACUGAGACAUAUAAACUUCUUCAUCAAGAAAGCCAUGCAAAAAAGCAUUAUUGACAUCUAACUGUUUGAGUUUCCAAUUAUGAGAUGCAGCCAAGGAUAAAACCAAUCGAACUAUGGUUGGUUUGACCACAGGGCUAAAGGUUUCAUAAUAGCUAAUACCAACUUCUUGAGAAUACCCAUUAGCUACAAUUCUAGCCUUGUACCUAGCCACUGAACCAUCUGGAUUUCUCUUAAUCUUGUAAAUCCAUUUACAACCAACAAGAUUUUUGUCAGGUGCUAAGGGCACAAGCUUCCAAGUAUGAAGCAUCCAUCUCUUCUUUCAUGGCAUUUUGCCAUUGAACACACUUGACUGCACUAGAAAAAGACCGAGGUCCAAUAAAUGGAAAUGUGGAAGAAACACUAGGUGGAUGAAUGAAUGUGUUUGAAUGCACAACAGACACUGGUGAGGAAGAAUGACCAGAAGUAACUUGAGGAUUGAAACCCAAAGCAUUAGAGUCUAUAGGAAACUUGGAUUCAUAAAAAAUAACAUGUCUAGAUACUAAUAGUUUAUGAUCUUUGAGAGAGAAGCAAAUAUACCCUUUGUAUUGUGUAGCAUACCCCAGAAAAAUACACUUAGUAGUUUUAGGUUCAAGUUUAUUGCUUCUAUAGGGUUUCAAUGAAGGAUAGCAUAAACACCCAAAAAAUCUCAAAUGAUCAAGCUUAGGUGGAGAUUUAUAUAGCAUUUCAAAAGGAGACUGCAUAUGUAGGGUAGGUGUGGGCAUUUUGUUUAUAAGAAAAGUAGCAGUGGCACAGGCAUGGAACUAGAAUUUUGAAGGUAAUGAAACUUGUUGUAAAAAGGUAAUAGUUGUUUCGACAAUAUGUUGAUUUUUUCUCUCAGCCAACCCAUUAUGUUAUGGGGUAUAAGGACAAGAUUUUUUAUGAACAAUGCCUUUGGUAAGAAGAAAUUGCUUAAACUGAGUACUAACAUAUUCCCUACCCCCAUCACUCUGCAAAAUUUUUACAUGAGCAUCAAAAUAAUUCGAGACAGAAGCAAGAAAGUUGACAAAAACAGUGAACACUGCAACUUUAUUAUUUAAUGGAAAAAUCUAGGUAUAUCUUGUACAUUCAUCAAUAAAGGAAACAUAAUACUUGUAACCUUCUAUAGACAAACUAGGUGAGGGACCCCAAACAUCUAUGUGAAUUACUUCAAAUGGAGUAAGUGACUUCGAAGCAAUUACAGGAAAAAGGAGCUUGGUAAACUUGCCUUGCAAACAAGCAUUACAAGUAUGAGAUUGAGAGUUACAAGGAAAAGAUAUACAAGACUUAUUAAGUGCUGCAGUGACAGUGGAAUGUGUAGGAUGGCCUAAUUGACAAUGCCACAAUGUAGAAGAAAUCUUUUGACCCACAAAUGCAACUGGAUUAAAAACAGGAGAAAUAGACCUCUGUGGUUUGAUUAUGGGAAGUGGAUAGACAACAUUAUUACUCAGCCCUUGGAAUAGCACUCUCCCGGUGACCUUGUCCUGUAGACAGAGAGAAACAUCAUCCAUGAUACAACGACACUGAUUAUCUUUGCACAACUGAUUCAUAGAUAAUAAGUGUUGUGACAGUUUUGGAACAUGUAACACAGAGUUUAACUUGAAAUUAUGUGACUAAGUGAGAAGAGAAGAGGAACCAAUAUGUUUGACAGCUAAACCUUCACCACUAGCACUGGUCACAAUAUCAUUUGAUGGAUAAAUUUAUUGUCAUGUGCAAGUUUGACAAAUCUGAGGUCAUAUGGUUAGUUGCUCCCAAGUCAAGAAACCAGAAAUCUUGUUGAAGAGUUGAGGAUGAUGCACCAGCUCGUGCUUGCAUAGCAAGAGGAGGAUUUUGUGAGGAUAUAGUUAAUAGAUACAUAUGUGGUAUGACAAGAUACUGAAACUGUGAGCUAUUAGACUGUGGAAUCAUGCCUUGUGAAGGACCACAUGGAUUCUAGCUAGGUGCUUCACCAUAUGACCCAGUAGGCAUUGGAGUUGGCAUAGAUGAGGAUAAACCCUAAGAGAAAUGCUCUGAUGUGCCUGUGAAAUUUUUAUUCUGAUCAAAGCAAGUAGCAGCAACAUGACAACCUCUGUGACAAAUUUGACAUCCAUGUUGAAAACAAUUCAAUGCAGAAUGACCUUUGCGAUCACAUAUUUGCAGAAUGGCCUUUGCAACCCUAGAAAGAAGGAGCGAAGAAGACCAAAUGUGUACGUUUCUCUUUGGUUUUUUUUCCCUCCUAAUCGCGCUGUUCGAAAUCACGGACCUCGGGCCUGGGCCUAGUGGGCCCAAUUAUGAGGCCCAUUAUCUCCGGUCUUCUCGUUCUACUUCUAGUUACCCAAAUUAAGAACGUACGCUUUUAGCGCGAGAGAGAAAUGGAGGCCCUGAUUGCCUCGUACGGAGACUCGUCGUCGGGCUCAGACUCCGAGUCGCCGGCUCCACCUCCACCACCACCUCCGGAGCUCAACAACCCUCAAGAACCGACCCCUGCGCUGCCUCCACCUCCUCUGUCACUUCUCGACAGCCCCAAUUCCUUCGGUAACCUCUGAUUCCCAUCAAUUUUCAUCUUUUAGCUUUCUGUUGUGAUGGCUUUUUCCGAGUUGCCCACCAAGUGUUUGAUGUUUUGCCUCCGAAGAAUUUCUGGACUUAUCGGCAAGCGCCCAGCCGAGCAGAGUUCGGAACUUUCCUCACGUCGAAGGGAACUACGCAGUACAUGUAUACAUCCCAGGUUAUCAAAAUUCUCGAAAUUUUCAGCUCCAUUAGCAAAUGCGAUCGCUUUGCACUUAGUUUUUGCUUGUUUAAUUGUGUGGUUCCAGUUUAUAUACCACCAGCACCAAGGAAAGAGAUGGCCUUGUUUUUGAACAAGCUAGCUUCUCUGCUGCCUGGUCUCCAUGCGGUUGACGUUGACUUCCCGCUUGACAUUCUGCGUAAGGACGAGCACAAGCUUGAACAAGUUGCUUUAGGCAGAGAGUUCCAUAUAAGUCUCGGAAGAACUGUUCCGAUGCGGGUGCACCAGAUUGAUUCCUUGGUGACAAUGCUGCGGCAGAAGCUUCAGAUUCAGAGGCGGUAUGGUUACAUUUACAUUCUCUUGUCUGCAUUGCGUGAAUUUAGUUCUGUUAUUUAACAUAAUUCUGUAAGCCUGUUUUCGUAUAAAUGCACGGUUGAAUCAGCUUUCAUUGUCUACAAGUCUGAAAUAUUUUAACUUCCAUUGAUUUCAGAUAACAAAGCAGAUUCAAGCUGUGAAUGAGGUGUAUAAGCUUCACAAUCUUCCUGAAUUUUACAAGGUUAGCUUUUUCGUGCUUUUCAAACUCGAAUCGGUUCCUGAAUGUAUGACAAUAUAUUGGAUCAAACGAUUUCUCAAAACACUAAUUCACUUGAUGGGGUCUUGGUGAUCACAGGAUCCACGCCCUCACAUCUCGGUAGCUUGAGCAUUGGGUGACAUCAGCAAUUCCCUGAACAAAGUGGUUGAAGAAGAAAGACGAAGAUCUACCAUCGGAGGAUCGUUACAGAAAUGUAUUUUUACCAGUAAAUUCAAUGGUAUCGAUAUCGAAUGUAGGAUUGGUAAUAAAACACACAAAAUAUGUAAAUUUUCUGAAGAAUAAUGUAGCCAUUUAACUGUAUUGUGAAAUUCCGAGAAUAUAUGGCUGAGCAUUGGAUGAGAAGACAUUUCUUCGUUGGUGUCGAACUUCUUGUCGAAGGUAUUGGCACCAGUGUAAACGUCAUCAUCCAUGUUGAUGGUAAUUACUUACCAGCUACUAAGGGUGUCGGAACAACCUUGCACGCACCCUCCUGUGCAUUACUUGGUAUUGUCUCGGAUUCUCCAAACUUGAAUGCUAAUGUAAACCCACUCUUGACCUUUCCGUCAUCUGCAAUUACCGGAAAGCCGGCUUGGAUGUUGCCGUUGACCUACCAAACUUAAAAUACCGACGAAAUGUUGGAGUACUUCAGUGUACUACUCGUUUUUGUAUGCGAGAGCUCCACCUCUAUCGUUGUAACAGCAUCUGAUGCGGACUAGUCCUUCAUUCCCGUUACUCUUUGCCAUCUCCACUUCAAACUUGGUGUGAUGGCUCCCGGCCUCCUCUCCGGUGAAAUUGAGUAACCCCGGAGCUGGCGUGCCAUCAAGAUUUCCGUUGUGUCUCUAUUUGCUGUUGUGGUUCGGUUCCACUAUAAACUUGGCAGAGUUAGCAUUUUCAUUCUGUUGUCUGUAUAUCUUGAUAUUACAAGUAUUUGUUGUGCAAAAUGCAUGCUAAGUUCAAGUUAUGUUUAUAUGUGUGUGUGUGUUGCCACUUUUCCAACGUUUUCUCCAAAAUUGUGACGAGCAACAAAGCAGUUUUGAUUCCGUGCACAACAACGAUACCUCGAAAGAAAUUGAUUCUUCCCCAGAAAGAUGUUUUAAAACAAAGUUGAACAAGGGAAGAAAACUUUUGAAUCGCAAUCAGAUGUCUGGUCAAAUUCUUUAACAGUUGAUGUAUACAGAAGUUCCUUGCUUAUGACACGACUUAUGAGAGGAUGUAUGUAUUGCAUUUGCAUCAAAAGAAAGAAAGAAGGUUGUAAGUGGUAAGGGAACGACUACCGAUGCCGCUCCACUUCUAAUCAAAGGGAUCGAUCCGAGGGUCGUGUUCACUUGCCAUCGCCAUUCCAGUGCAAAGGCAUGUCGGGCACAUUACCUGCCACAUUUACAGACGCAAUGUUAGAUAUAGCUGCCAUUUGGAAGUCAUCUCUCAAAAUUUUGCUACUAAAUUAAUCUUAAACUUCAUUUCCAGUGCAAUUUUUUUCUUCUGAAUUGUCUUUCACAUGCCCGACAAAUAGAAGUAUCACCAAACAUGUGAUAUAGAGCAUCUAAGCGGCAGGCACUAAAAGGAAUUUAGUAUGCAAUAAACAUUCAACGGACAUAAUUAUAUGUCUAACCUUUCCCGCUCCUGAGCAAUUUGAACAUCGUUCAGUUUUUGGCAGAGAUAGGGGUUGGUUUCCGCCAUCAGCUGUCGAUACUGGUUCAGUAAGAACAAGGGUUCCAGUGCUGGAGCAACGAGCACAAGCAAGAGAUCCUGCGUAAGUAUCAAAUACACAGGUAAGUUGACAUACGAAACCAAUCCGAACAUCUCCAUCGUAUAUAUUUAAAGCUACAGUACAUAAAACUAAAAGUCAGAAAUAUAGGACAUUAUCACACCAGUUCCAAGACAAUAUUUGCAUCGUUUAUGCUCCUGCUGUUUCACAUUGUUUAUUUCAACUACCAUCAAUGCUGAGAUCACUCCGACUGCUCCUCCAGAGAAUGACGCCACUAUGGGAUCAACUUGACUGCAGUUUGAAAGUAAAGGAGAUCAAUAAACGAAACUGGUAACAACAUAGUAUCAACAUUAUUUAGCUUCGUUUCAAGAAAGAUGACAUCCUAGGUUUUUCUAAUGUGUAAAAAUUGAGGAUCCUCGUAAAAUUUGACUAUAUCGGUUCCCAAAGCAUUUGAUUCCUACGUUACAGACGGAAAACAGCAACAAUCGAAUUUAAAGAUUCAUAACACGAUAGAUGGUACAAAAUUUCAAAACGAUAAUUACUAGAGAACAGGAGGGUUAAUAGCCUGAGAUAUGAGCAAUACCUCAACUGCAACGGCAGAUGCAUAUUUACUAUAAAGUCUUUAUAUGAUGUGCCUCCUAUUCCCAGCUUCAACUCCAACUGAAAGAUGUAAAGGUAAUUGUAGGCAAAGAGUUACAAACAUAACCGAAUCCAUGUUUUAUAAGCAACAACUACACUUAUUUUGAUAUGUUUCCUCAUUUUUUACUUGCAAAUUCCAAACCAUAUUGUCGGACCAGUAAAAGAAAAUAAUGUUUAUGAUAACUGUUAAAACUAAUUACAACAAGUUAAUGCAUAAAGAACUUACGGAGGGUGCUAUGAGGCCACCGAAAAGGAUAAACCCCGCAAUAAUUGAAUAACAAACAGCAUAAUACUGCUUAAGGUUGUCUGAACUCUGCAAGCAAUGAAUUCACCUUGUGAUUAAUACUUUGCACAAACACUAGUUUUCGCAAUUUUUUAUGAAUCGACAAAAGGCUACAACAAAAUAUGGCUAAAACAUGUCGGGGAUAUGAAAAUACAUGUCUUCACAGGGGCACCAGCUUACCAGGGGAGGCAAAAAUGGAAUGAACGAUGGAAAACUAGGAAGUUCGUUUUCUUGAUCUUCAUUUACCGCUCCAAGCUCUGCACGUUUAAUCCGCUGUUGUAUCCUCAGCCUGCGAACCUACGCAUAUCGAAGCUCAUUCUUAAAGAACACAUUUCUAAUGGCAAUUGGAGAGUAAUUUAAAACAUGCUACACUGAGAAAGUGGUAGCAACUAGCAAUUGCUCUCACCUCCUCCAUAUGCAAGAAAAUUUUGUUGCGACGACUCCGAAUAUUAUCUUGAAUUUCCUGCAGCUCCAUUGUGGCAAAAUCCUGCACUGUUUCAGGCCCCUCUAUGAUACAAAAUCUGCACCAUUAAGCAUGUAAAAAUUAAAAAUUACAAGCUACAAAGCAAUUUCCGUAUAGUUGUUGGGUUAAAUAACAUCAACAGCAAAUAAAUCACAUAGGUUUUUCACAUAAAGUUACAAACUUUCAAGGACUAAUAAGCUGUCUGCAAUCUCAUAAAUUUCACAGUGCAAAGUAACAAUCCAAAGCUUGGAACUUUAAAUUUCCACCUUCUGUUAAUUUUUUAGUGCACCUGGUGUCGUUAGAUUCGAGUAGUAUGUCACAUUAAAUUUUUUUUUUCUGUGCAUGCAUUUUUUUUUAAAAGAAAAUUUAUAUUGUUAAAGAGCGAGUUCGAAACUAUUACAUUAUGGAAGGACAUAGUACCGAAACUCCGACGAUCAAAAACAAAAUCAUGUACAACCACUCCAAGCAGUCAACAUGGCCAUCACAUAUUGAAUCCAAAAUGUUGACGCCCCAUUCGCUGCAUAUAAUGUACAGACGAGCGGCAGCUUCAACCAGUUCUGCCAUAUCCGGCUGGAUGAGAGCAGCUAAAGACAUGAUUGUUCCCUAAUAACAUGAAUAAAUUGAGUAAACACCAAAAGUAGCAGCAAGGGAAGGAGAUGUGAAGUAUAUGAAGAGGUGUAAGACCUGUGAAUGUCCAGCAACAAAGAUUUUGGAGCUUGUUGUCGAAUAAUGCAACGCGUCAUUUCUGGUAGAUCAAAUAGAGCCAAUUCCCGCCAACUCCAAUUCCAAAAUUUCUACAGUAAAGCAUAAAUCUUAUUCUCUCUUCUGAUAAAGAUGAGUGUCCCAGACUCCAACGUGUUCCACACACAUUCCCUACCCAUACAUCGAAACCUUCAUCUGCAAGGACGAAUCCCAGCGAUUCUUCUGGAGAAUUUAAGAAUCAUGCAUCACCUGGUUAAGAUCAAGAAAAGCCAGUAACCAAGUUCAAUUGAGUUAAAAUGUAUCCCAUGGAUGUUCAUCACUUUGCCCAAUUGUUCUUUUCAAGAAAGGAAAUUUCAACAGAACCUGAAAACUUCAGAUCAGGGGGCACCAAAUAGUGAGCUAUACAUUCAAAAUUUGAAAUAAUCAACUUAGUAGGACCAGUAUGUUGAAAAAAUAGGAAGGAGCUAUGAAAGUAAGACUUUUCACUAAUCAGGCGUCCAGAGAAUCCAUAUUUUACCCGCGUAUCAGUUACGGGGAACACUCCCCACCAGAGCAAUCUCAUUAGUCCUUCACAUCUCAACCGUACAGAAGUUGCACUAACAAACAUGACUCCUAUUAGUCCUUCACAUCUCAAAUCCAGGAAGUACCCAUCUUUCGUCUGAAUCUGGAAAAUAAGCAGCAGUCAAUUUAACAAUCUCGGUAUCUCAAAGUUACUCACUUUAAUCACAAAUUUAGCAAUUAAACAUAUAAAUGGGCAUUUUUUUAGGGAAAUAUUAGUAUAGUACUCACUGUGUGCUCGGAGCAAGAGUACCCAGAAAGCUCAAUGAGCUGCGCACAGAGGACUGCAGUGGUGAACGACAGCGACCGCACAGAGGACUGCAGUGGUGAACGACAGUGACCAAUUCUGUAAAAUUUAGUCGAGUUUUGGGAAAUUUCUGCAGCGAUUUCGGAGGUCAAGAGGCUGAUAAGGAAAGCCGCGACCAAAGGGCACUGGUCUGGAAGAAAGGCUUUGGUCGCCGCUAUCGCAAUUCACGAAGGAAGAAGUGCCCCAAAACAAUUUCGGCCCUGGACAGGUGCACUGUUUGCACUGAGCCAGGGCCGGCCCUGAAUCGCGAUAACGUCCUUCUCCAAACAGUAUAUAUACAGAUGCUAGAAAAAUCUACCGGAACUAUUCAAUUCUAGCGUCUACAGCUUUAGCAUUAGUUGGUACAAGGGGCAUUCUUCCAAAGAGGGAGAUGAAAUCGUUGAGGCACCAAAUAGUGAGCUAUACAUUCAAAAUUUGAAAUAACCUCUUGGUAGGACCAAUAUGUUGAAAAAAUUGGAAGGAGCUAUGAAAGUAUGGCUUUUCACUAAUCAGGCGUCCACAGAAUCAAUAUUUUACUCACAGAUCAUUUACGGGGAACACUCCCCACCAUAACAAUCUUUUUAGUCCUUCACAUCUCAAACCAAGUAGAAAUUGCAGUAACAAACACGACUUCUAUUAGUCCUUCACAUCUCAAACCCAGUAAGUACCCAUCUUUCGUCUGAAUCUGGAAAACAAGCAGCAGUGGAUUCAACAAUCUGGGUAUCUCAAAGUCACUCACUUUAAUCACAAAAUUAACAAUUAAACAUAUAAAUGGGCAUUUAUUUAGUGAAAUAUUAGUAUAGUACUCACUGUGUGCUCGGAGCAAGAGUACCCAGAAAGCUCAAUGAGCUGCGCACAGAGGGACUGCAGCGGUGACGACGGCAACCGAUUCUGUAAAAUUCAGUCGAGUUUUGGGCGAUUUCUGCAGCGAUUUCGGAGGUCAAGAGGCUGAUAAGGAAAGCUGGGACGGAAGGGCACUGGUCUGGAAGAAAGGCUCAGGACACCGCUGUCCCGAUUCGUGAAGGAAGAAGUGCCCCCAAAACAAUUUCGGCUCUGGACAGGUGUACUGUUUGCACUGGACCAGGGUCGGCCCUGGCGAUAACGUCCCCCAAACAGCACAUAUACAGAUGCUAGAAAUAUAUAAAUGUAACCUGAAACUACUAGAACCAUUCAAUUCUAGCGUCUACAGCUUUAGCAUUAGUUGGUACAAGGGACAUUCUUCCAAAGAGGGAGAUGAACUCAUUGAGGCUCUUAUUUAUUCCUCCUCUUGAUGUGCCCUUUUAGGCUGCUAAUUCCACACGAUCCAAUCUCAUACAUCUUCCCUGCAAAAGCAUGUGUGCCUGACUUCAAGAUCAAAUUUUUCCAACAAAAGAAACUUAAAGAUCAAACUCGCUAGAGGAAUAAGUGGUGCACAAGGGUGUUAAAAUCUUGACAUAUGUAUAUUUUUGGCAGAUUUUAUGUGAGCAUGCAACUAAAACUGGCAUCACUAUCAAUGGUGCACAAAGAUUGGUGGAAAACUUUAACAGUUUGAGUUGUAACUUCUCCAUUGUAUUUGUUAAGGCAAGACGGAUGUCAUCUAUUCAUUUUUCUGUAAAACUUAAAAGGCUGCAUAGCAGCUCUUGUUCGUUGUAUUGAAUACCGUGGUUUUACUGAUGAAUGCAGAGUUUGCUGAUGAUUCAUACGACAAGCAAUUGAAAAUCCCAUCAUUAUGCCCCCCAUAUACCAGAAGAAAAAAAAGUCAUUUACACAAAUUCAGAGCGUUCAUCCACUGUAAUUUGCAGAUAUAGAAACGUUAAGAUAAAAGGAAAUGCAAAGUACCUUUCACCAAAUUGGAGGAGCACCGGUGGCAUUAGCAAGUUAGCAACGGGAAUUGACAUACCAAUAUCUUCACAGUUUCUGCACAAGCACAAAUCAAAAGAAUCCGGAGGUGGAGUUAUGUACCUCUCCUUGGAAAAUGCCACCUCUUGGGAUUUCAAAAUAUGCGGCCGUGGCUAGCCGUCUGACCACGCCAAUUCCACCAAAGCCGCCGCAACGCGGUGUAGUGUCCGAUUGAUUGCUUCAAAUCAGAGCUUCGUAUCCAUGUGUUUAUCAGCAGAGAGUACCCAAAACCCCUGAAAAUUAUUUCUUUAUUCAGAUAAUAAAAUAUCCCAAAUUUCGAAUUUUAAUUCCGAAUCAAAAAUAGGGUUUGAAUUUUGAUUACCUAUAAAUUGGGGGGUUGCGGUGGAAAGGGAGUCAGCCAAGACGGCGAUAUGCGUCCUCGAGAGGGCUAUGAAAAUACAAAUUACAGAGCGUGUUGGGACGAUGUACAAGGCUUUUGCAGUCUCUCAAAUAUAAAUACCGAAGCUCCGUAAGGCGUUCAAUCCAGGGGGAAAGCUCUUUAAUAGAUGUUCCAUCCAGGAAAAGACUUCUUAAUCCUUCCAUAUUUUCUUCAAUGCUUGGAAACAACUCAAAUUUUGUACAACCGGAAAGAGAGAGAGAGAAAAGGGACUUGAGCUGACAAAUGCUGCUUGGAAGACUCUUAAGUUCUUUGCAAUCUUUUAGAUUCAAAUGAUUCAAUCCCGUAAGAUUAUUAAUUGACGAGGGCAGUUCUUUAAUUUUUGACCCGGAUAAAUUAAGCUCUUCUAACUCCUCCAUACCUUCUGAAAUCUUUGGAAACAUCUCAAGACUAGAGCAGCCAGAAAGAUUAAAGGUUUUGAGAGAUUUCAUACGAAUGCUGCUUGGAAGACUCUUAAGUUCCGUGCAAUUAUGUAGAUUCAAAUGACACAACCUCGUAAGAUUAUUAAUUGACGAGGACAGUUCUUUAAUUUUUGAGCAGGGUAAAUCAAGCUUUUCUAACCCCUCAAUACCUUCUGAAAUCGAUGGAAACAUCUCAAGACUGAAGCAGCCAUAAAGAUUAAAGGUUUUCAGACAUUUCAUAUGAAUGCAGCUUGGAAGACUCUUAAGUUCCUUGCAAUCUUUUAGGUUGAAAUGACUCAACCCCGUGAGAUUAUUAAUUGACAGGGACAGUUCUUUAAUUUUUGACCCGGAUAAAUUAAGCUCUUCUAACUCCUCCAUACCUUCUGAAAUCUCUGGAAACAUCUCAAGACUGGUGCAGUCAGAAAGAUUAAAGGUUUUGAGAGAUCUCAUACGAAUUUUGCUAGGUAGAAUCUUAAGUUCCUUGCAAUCUUUUAGGUUGAAAUGACUCAACCCCGAGAGAUUAUUAAUUGACAGGGGCAGUUCUUUAAUUUUUGACCCAGAUAAAUUAAGCUCUUCUAACCCCUCCAUACCUUCUGAAAUCUCUGGAAACAUCUCAAGACUGGAGCAGUCACAAAGAUUAAAGGUUUUGAGAGAUCUCAUACAAAUUUUGCUAGGUAGAAUCUUAAGUUCCUUGCAAUCUUUUAGGUUGAAAUGACUCAACCCCGAGAGAUUAUUAAUUGACAGGGGCAAUUCUUUAAUUUUUGACCCGGAUAAAUUAAGCUCUUCUAACUCCUCCAUACCUUCUGAAAUCUCUGGAAACAUCUCAAGACUGGAGCAGUCAGAAAGAUUCAAGGUUUUGAGAGAUCUCAUACAAAUUUUGCUAGGUAGAAUCUUAAGUUCAUUGCACCCAUGCAGAUCCAAUAAAACAAGGUUUGUAAGAGUCGAAAUAGACGGGUGAACCUCAACUAAGCUUAUACAACUUCGAACAAUUAGCCUCUCAAGAUUUGGCACAUUUGUGAAGUCAGGGGUUUCCUUAAGGGAUUGACAAUAACUUAAAUUGAUGAAUUUCAACUUUUCCUGCGUCUGUUCAAACAUUCAGGAAAACAUGCAUUACUUAAUAAGACAUCUCACUCAAAGCCCAAACAUUUAAAAGAUACAAAUACAUGUAAAUGAUUGUACGUACCUGGGUUCCUUCCCAAAGUCGGUCAAUGAGACUACAUUGCAUGUCAAGUUCAACAAGAUUUUCGAAUUGAAAGUUGGAUGGCAAAGACUUGAGAGGGAAACCAAGCCAGGAGAGAUACCUCAGGUUAAGCAACUUUAAGGACCCAAACAGGUGUUGUUUGCAGUACUCAUCUUUAAAAACGAAGUGCCUAUAACUGAUCUCGAGAAGUCUUCGUUGAGCAUUUAAGUUCCCAUGAAGACCGAUCGUGAGAAGUCUUCGUUGAAUCCUUCUAACAACAGAUUCAGCAUUUAAGUGCCUAUGACUGAUCUUGAGAAGUCUUAGUUGAGUCAUUCUAACAAAAGCUUCAGCAUUUAAGCAUGGCCAGCCUGAGUACGAGAAAUCCACAAUUAUGCUUUCAACUGUUUUUGUAGCCUGUGCAAAUCAAAGUAAAGGAAAAUACAGAGAAAUUAGUUUUGAUUAUGAAAUUAAUGAUUGUUUCUUAAGGAGCCGUCUGAUAAUCAUUUCAUUUUCUAUUUAAUUGUUUUCAAUUUUCAUUAUUAAAACAAUGAAAACUAAAAAUAAAAAAUUGAAAACAAAAAUGGUUAUCAAAUGGGCCUAAGAAAUUGAUUUUGGUCAAAAGUUGAAGCUUUCUACUAAUAAUUGCAUAAGAAAAAGAUUUCUCACCGUAUUUUGAGAUAGCACGUGAUGAACAUCUUCAUAACUCCACAACCUACUUCGUCUCCCAGGCUCUUUGAUACAUUCUUGGCGGACGAUUUCCCGACCCAUUUCCGCUAAUGAAUCAUGCAUCUCCAGUUCCCCCUCCCCUGAGACAGUUAUGAGUGCUCGAUCGAUUAGAACUCUUAUUCCAGUAUAAGGAUGGAAACCACAAUCUUCCAGAAUUCGGGCUGCACAGUCUUUCUCCAUCCCUUUAAAGAAACAUGCAAUGUCUAGAAAGAUGUCCUUCUCCUUGUCAUCUAGUCCAUCGAAGCUUGAUUUAAGCACAUCAUGAAUUCCCCUUCGCGGGAUUUUCCUUAUUUUUUCUAACUCAUCUUCCCACUCGCGUAUAGUUUUGUUACCAAGAAAAGCUCCCAAGACUUUGAGUGCUAAAGGCAGGCCUUGAGCAUAUUCUACGACAUGAUUCGAGAGAUCAUCAUAAUCUCUGGUGGGUUGGUUUUUUCUGAAGGCGUGCCGCCUAAAGAGUUUCAGAGCUCCAGAAUCACUCAAAAUCUUGGGAUUAUAUAUCACAUCAGCUAUGCUUAGUAAUUGCGAAUCUCUAGUUGUUAUAAUAAUUCUGCUUCCACCACCAAAGGAAUGUGGCUCUUCAAGUAAAGCUUCAAUUUGUUCUAAUUCGUCCACAUCAUCAACAACAAUAAGAACUUUUCUCUGACCAAGGCUUUCUAACAUCACCUGAAAACCUUUACUCGAUAUGUCAGAACUCCCCACCUUGUUGUUCGAGAUACUCAAUAGAAGUUGUGCCUGCAUAUGUAGUUUGCCAUGCUUCAUGAAACCUUCCUUGAAAUUUUCAAGAAAGCAACAAGCUUCAAAUCGACUAGCGAUUUUAUCAUGAACAGCUCUAGCGAUGGUUGUUUUGCCUAAACCACCCAUACCCCAUAUUCCAACAAUGCGAACAGUAUUCGUUUCACCUCCGGGAGGAUAUAAUAAUAGAUGCAUUUCAUGCAUGUGAGAAUCCAUGUCAACCAAGCCAUUAUCUUUGCUUGAUGUUGAUGAGAUGUCGAUCAAUUUCCUAUAAACAUCUUCUACAAUUUCCUCAAUAAGCACCACAUCAUUCCUGUCAAAUUAAAAAAAAAACAAUAUAAUAACACCACCAAAUAAUAAUUAAUGGGUUUUUUCAUCUGUUAGUUUUAAAAAAAAAACAGAAAUUAAAACUAAAAACUAGAUAUUUAUCAAAUGACCCCUAAACGUGACAAAAAUCCCAAAAAUUAAUAGGAAACUAAAACAAAUUAGAAUUUACUCAUAGUUUCGCGAAUCCCAGCCGGAUAAACUGGUGGCAGUUGUAAGAGCGGAUCUCCAGCUCUGAACCUCUUCCAUUUCAGCGUUAGAAUCACGAUAGUGCUGAGCAAAAGCUUCCUCGAAUUUUCUCUUGAGUUUACGAACGUCAGACGGAUCAACUUCAUAGAAAAUGGGGAGUACAAUCCGGUUAUUGGUAUCCUUGCAUUCCAGGAUUUGCACGAGUUCUUUCAAGCACCAAGUGGAAGAAGCAUAGUUUUGAGAGAAAACUACAAUCGAAAGCCUUGACUCUCGAAUCGCUGUCAGGAGCUCGGAAAGGUGGUCGCCUUUUCUGAGCUUUUCGGCAUCAAUGAAGGCGUUGAUUGGUUUCUUAGCCAGAGCGUUGUAGAGAUGGCUGACGAAGCCCCUGCGAGUGUCUUCCCCUCUGAAAUUGAUGAACACAUCGUAUUUGCAACCAAGGCCAGAAGAAGAUGAAGAAGAAGAAGCAGCCAUUAUUAAUCGAUCGCACCUGGUCAGCGAUGAUCGAGCCGCUAAGACUAGAGAAUUGUAAGUACAGAAAUACUCAAUAGAUCUACAAAUUUGAUCACCGGAAAUUAGUCACUGAGUCAAUGCAAAAGGGAAUUUUCUUCAGGAAAUUUCGGUGUGAAAGGAAUCCGCAUACUUCGGAUUUUUCAACCCAAGAAAAUGCGAAGAAAGGGGACAAAGUAGUAAAUUUAAUCUACAGUUGCCUACCCAACACCCUCUUGAUUUAGAGGGUGUAUUCAAUUAGGAUUCUGAGAGGGUUUCAGGAAAUUAAUAAUUUCAGGAGUAUUCAAUUAGGAUUUUAAGUGAUUUUUUGAAAUUCUAGGUGUAUUCAAUUAGAAUUUCAAAAUAGUUUAUGAAAAUCCUUAGAAAUCCAGGUGUAUUCAAAGUUUAUAACAUUCCAUGUGUAUUCAAUUAGAAAUUGAUUUUAAAGAAUUUGAGAAAGUUAAAGAAUUAGAGGGAAUUGGAGAGAUUACGUAGUGUAUUUUAAGUAUCCACAAAUCUCACAUAUUCCCAUGAGAUUUCGAGGGAAUUGAAUCAAAAUUUUAUAUGGAAUCUCUACAAAUCAAUUAAACUCCAUAAAAAUCAAUGGAUUUAUAAAUCCAUUAAAAUCUCUCACAUUCUCAAUUGAAUAUAUAUUAAAAAGAUAAAGUUAGUCUCACAUGUAAUCUCUACGUACUAACAAUUAAAUGAGAGUUCCGUUUUAACUUAAUAUAUGUAACUUACAUGCUAAUAAUUAACGAAAUAUUAGCAAAAUUUUUAAUUUUAAGCAUAAAUUCUAAUUUAGAUAUCUUCUAACUAUCUUAUCACCUUAAAAAUUAUUAAUCAAAUUAAACUUAUUAUUUAUUUAUAAAUGCGUAACUAAAUCACAAAGUGUUGAAUGAAAGGGAGCACUCCAAAGGAUGAAAAAGCGGGAGCAUCGAAAGCUAUCUCCGUUUUUUGCUGUCUAUUUGUCUUCUUUUGGCAGAUAGCUCCUAGACUCCUAGGGGCCGGCCUAUUUUCCACAGCUGGUUAUAGGACUCAGUUGCUAUUGAAGAAGUGCUUUGUUGUAAUUCAAUAUCGAUGGAAAUUCAACAGAAUCUUUUUCAAAUUUUUGUGAGGAUUUUGGGGUGUAAGUGAAUUGUUUUUGUUCAUUGUAUAUUGUGCGGUCAUUUUUCAUCAAAUACUGUUUAUGUUUCAUUUUAAAUAAAAUAAUUUAAAAUAAUUUUUAGCUGCAAGUUGUACGAUGAACUGAUAUAAUUCAUAAAUCUUUAAAAUCCUUACAAAGAAAAUCUGAAAAAAAUCCGAAUUCAAUGGAAAUAAGCUGAUUUUGAAUCAAAUAACAUUACUUUACAACACUGCAGUUUUCAGCAUUGCACCGGAGAUCGUGCGGUCAUUCGUCCUUCUGUUCUCCGUAGUUUUGCCGACUUUGGUUCCACUUGCUGUCCAAUGCGCUAGGCGGCUUAUCAGGAUCAGGCUUAGAGAACCUGUAGUAAACUGCAUUAUGUGGUUCGUUUAUAGCUGUACAUCAUAAGUCUAUUUCCGGGAUCAUAUCAUCGUUGGCGCAUUCAUCAUAGAAGCUCCAGCUUCGUAUCCAAGUCAGUCGUUACUAUCUUACAUUUGCUAUAUAUUACAAAAUUUUGGGUGGGAAAACUUCUUAUAUGAUAAUGCGUGAAGAAUUCAGUUCGAAAACAGUAAAACAAAAUUAUUUGUACUAGUUCUUCUACUUGAUAUAUGAUGGUGUGUUUUUUGUUUUUUUGACCGAGGUUUAUAAUGGUGUUUGUUCUAUAAGUCGGCAUCUUUGCCAACCGCAAUCGAUACUGUCGUUCGAUACUGCAAAUGAAAACCCGGUGGGUGCGCAAAAUUUCGAGCCAAUCCUACAAUCUGACAGAUUGUAGGAAGAAAGGAACAAUGUUGUUGGCAGCACAAAAGUUCAUAAUCUUCUACUUGGAGUAAUCUGUUUAAGGCUUUAAUAUUCAUGCAGAAAGUUUUACAAAAUGAUCGCCUUUCGACAUAUAUCACAAUGGCGAUCUUUAAUCAUAAUGACUUGUACUGCUCGAUCAAACGAGACGCAUGGAGGCACGACGUAGGAGCCACGGUGCAGCCCAAACUUUGCAGAUAAGAAAUCUGGUAAUUCACAGCAUGACAAACAUAUUAUUGGGUCUCCUGACCAUCCUAGAUACCAAUGUGUGCACAAGGAAAGGAGUAAGGUAAUCAAAUGCUUGAGUCUUGUGUACCUGUUUCGGUGUUGGUUCGGAUGAACCCAUUGAGUUCUCGAUCCUUAACUUCUGGAAAUGCUCCUGAAAGCAUAAAUAUAUGUACGGAUUUAAACCAAUGACAAUGGACAUAAUUUACAGACAAUGAUUGAAGAAAAUACAGAUAUAAAUGCCUCAGUAUUCCAUUGACGAAAGUUCUAGAUUUGAUGAAUCAAACGUCCCACGUUGAGACUGCGUUAAGGCAAAUGGUUCUCAAACACAAAGCAAUAGUUUGCUACCGAAAACAACCAAAGUUUGACAAAGGAAACCGUCUUACACCUAACCUGUUUUUCCCUCAUCAAAUGAGCGCGUUGAUCUGCAGGUAUUUUCUGCCAUCUCAAAACCUGUUACAAAGAAAUAUAACAUUGAUGUCGAGCUGGAUAGCAUAUAUACCAAUUAUGUGUACAAACCUAUUGAAAUAAAGUAGCUGUAGUUGCAUAUUACGACAGAUAUUAACGAAAACAAAAGAAGGCUCGCCUAUUCAAGAUCCUAAAUCCCGUGAUUCUUUUGUUUUUAGUUUCAGAAAUUUUCAGAGCACAAACUGGAAAGUACCAAGAUACUUACAUAUUGGGCAUAAUGAAAUGCAUCUUCAUCUUUCAAGCAAGAUUUCAGUGAGCGCAAACCGUCCUGAGAGUUACAUAGAGUCAAUCAGUAAUAUAAAAACGUAGAUGCAUCACACCCAAACACAAGUAUUCAAACACCGACAACUUCUUCAUGCGGUGAGGCAUGUUAAAAAAUAGGGAAGAACAGUUAUUGAACAGGAAGUUAAAGGACUAAAUUUAUGACCUUGUGUUUGUAGUUCUUGGCUCGUGUGCGUUCAUCUAUUACAAAACCAAUCUGUAACAGGUACAACAGAAAAUAUAAGCAGUAGUCAGAACAUUAAGCAUCGGCAUUCACAUUGCCACCAAUCCAAAGUUAAAAGUCUAAAGGCAAAACAGUAUGAUUCUUAUCUCUCAAACAAAAAUGAAACUAUACCCCGGUCUCAGACAUAAAUGAAAUAAGUUCUACUGCCUCAACUGAGUACUGUGAUUAUAUAUAAAUCCAAUUCACCUUGUCAAGUAAUCUCUUAGGAUCUUGAAAUGCUUGCUUCUUAGCCCAGUCAUUAAAUACAUGCGAGAUAAUCGAUCUCUCAUCCACACUGAAUCUAUUGCACAGUGACAGAAGAAUAAAGUUAAACAUGAACAUAACCAACCAAAAAUGCUAGUUAUAAUAGUAUACCCAUAAUUGCAAGCAAAACCUUUUUAAGAAGCCAUUUCCAUGGUUUUCCUCCCCAAAUUCCAUCAAUUCUGCAGAGGCAACGUCAAAUUUACUAUGAUGGAGAUCAUUUUGCACCAUAACAACUUCAGAAGGUAGGAGAUUUGGUUUGAGAUCAUCUGUUGACGGAGUAGUUUCUUUUGAAGUGUCAUGAUGCUUUGAUUGCAAGCCUUCUGUACUUACGUCAGCCUACAAAACAAAAAUUGCAUUCAUCCACACUAGACUUAAUAAGAUUAGAAACACUUCAGAUUCUUCACUAUUUGUAAGUUUGACUAAACAGCAGAACAACUAAGGAUAAUGAACAGUAAUACACACCUGGACUUCUCGUAGAUGAUUUGGAAUUUCUUUCAGAAAUCGCGAAGGUUGAAGCAUCUGAAGGAGUCACCUUCUCAGUCAGAGCAACAAAAAAUAAGGAGGACAGGAAUUCAAGCUAAAACGAACCUGCCAACUGGAAUCCAUCGUAACAUAAAGAAUGAAAAGCUUUUUUCGAGCACGAGUCAUUGCAACAUAUAAUAGGCGUCUUAACACUUCAAAGCUCUGCAUAUAACUAAAAGGUCGUACCCAGUGCACAAGGCUCCCGCUUUACGCAGGGUCUGGGAGAGGUGAAUGUCAGCUAGCCUUACCCCCAUUUUAUGGAGAGGUUGCUCCCAAGUCUCGAACCCGAGACCUACCGCUCAUGGGCGAAGGCACUUGCCAUCACACCAAGUGCGACCUCUAAUUGUAUCAAAUACAUAUAUUCACAAAAAUUAUAUAUGACCGUUAGAUGUAUUAAAUACAUGCAAGUAUUGUAGCUAGAUGAUUAUUGAGUAAGGAAAUUCGAUCCUGACUUGCAAGACCUAGAGUAUACUAAUGACUUGUACCAGAUCAUGAGUCAACAAGCACGUAAGGUUAUUCAUAGUUUGACACUAGACGACAAUAAUGAAGACAUGAUCCAAUGAUUUUGCAAAAUAAAAAGUGCCUUAACAAAUGAUUUUGGUGUGCCACCGGAGAAAUCUAAAUCAUAUUCAUUGAAAGGCCAGUUAUUUCCUUCCAUUCUAAAAGAAAUACAGCAAUGAAUGUCAAACUAUAAAAUGUAUCUCCUAAAGUUGAGAGAAAGGACCCUUACCUACAUUACGGAAAAACACUAUCUUCCAAUGAAGUGGCAUAAAAAUUGCUGAAAUAUGUUAAUUUCUAAAGUACAAAUAAAACAACCUACCUUUUCAAAGUAGAAAUUUAUAAGUGCCUUUUCAAAGUAAAAACUUAAAAGUGCCUCUUCAAUGUUUUCAUUUUCAAAUAAAAGUGGUCCAAAAUGCUUGAAGACAACUAGGAAAAAGAAACAUAACUGAUUGAAGACCAUAUAGGAAAUCAAUGGAGCUUGAAUUUCUAGAUUAAUAAACAAAUUAACAGAGCUUCUGUACUACACAAGCCUUCCAAGGAUAAGAAGAAUAACAGAAGAAUAAUAAAAAUCACAUAUAGGUGCACAUGAACCUUCACACGUCCAGAAAAUUUGCAAAAGAAGUACAGCAAUAACAUAGAUGACAUAUGGCUUGGCGCACACACUCACACAGAGAAGCGUAAUAAGUAAUAAUAUUCCCAAAUAGCUGCACAUUCAAUUGCACACAUACAACAAGAACUACAACAAUAACGUAGACAUGACGCGCACGCGCACACACACACACACACACUCACGGAGCUAGUGAAUGCAACAAUAAUCAGCUGACCUGGUUCAAGACUGGAGCAGUGGUAGUGCAAUCGUCACAUUUUUGUUGACAUCAUGAACUUGGCUUUUUUCUCAGCUGGCUUAAGAAUCUGGAAAGAGCACAUUAAGUUUUCAUCUACACUCAUCAUCGCACCAGCAUUGUCAAACUCACCACAGUAGUUGGGAGCUGAAAAAAUUGUAACAAGUUGCCUGUCCGCAAAGAAUUCAUAACCAUCUUCCAUUGGCAUGUUUAAUCUGCAUAUAACUGAAAAAUGUUAAACAAUUUACCGCACAUCUCAAUGGAGGUCCCAUUUUCUUUUGCAACGCCAUUGAAUUCAUGGAACGGGAUCUCAGAUUCAUUUACCUGUGUUAUUGGCAUGAGCAUUAAAGCAAGCUAAGAUGAUUUGAAGAGGUUGAUAUCGUCAUGAAUAUACUAGAACAGAAUACCAAUUUCAAGCCAUCAAUUAGGUAUAGCAUUGGCAUGUUUAAUCCGUAAAUCUAAUGACAGAACACCUCAACUCUACACAUAAAUAAAUAAACAACCUGGAAAAUAUUACAGCCACUUGUUAAGGCAAAUACCUUAAUUAUGAAAACCAUAUCCCACUCUAAACCUUUUGACUGCAAGAGAAUGAAAAAGAAAGACAGUAAGCCAAGAAUGUUUGUAGAACUCCAAAGGAAGUCCAAUAGGGAAAUCAUCGCAAGUAUAAGAGUUAGCGAGGUUCGCAUAAGAGGAUAUCAAAAAGAUCUAGAACCUGAUGAAUAGUAGUCAAAGUGACAGAACUUUGGUUGUCAUGUCUUCGGGAGUGAAAAUUUUCACUCUCCCGCUCAGAUAUGUAGUCGAUGAAAGCUUUGAGUAAAUUAACGCAGCCUUUUUCUUCUGCUACGACUUCUCUCUCCCCUUUUCCCACAACAAAAUGAGUUGAUAAGAAAUCAGAUACGUCGUCUAGUAGGUACUGAAGAACCUGCAAUGAGAAUAAUCGCAUCACAACAACAGGGUUGGACCAAGAUUUAAGUGACAACAAUGAUUAACUAACUAAAAUAGAGAAAUUAUUCAUUUAAGACCUUGUUGACUGGAAAAAGGGUUUUCCAAGCAGCGGGUCAUUUAAGCUUUUUGUAUAAAUGACAAUCAUCACAAACGGCAAACUUACAGAUCUCAUGUCAUUGUCUUCAUUCAGCAGUUUUCCUCCAUCUACAUCAACGACUGCACGUUGCUCAAGACGGUACUUCUAAAAAUUGAAAGUCAAACGAUAAAUUAUUAAGAAGCAUUGAAUAUAAGCAUGAAACGAAGAAAAUGUUAUGGAAUGGUGAUCCUCAUCCUCAAAGAUGAUUAAAAGCAAUUUGAUUCAAAAAUGACAUAUCAACUCUGGAGAAAUGGAAGACAAACCUGUGGUACCAUAUUCGCAACUGAGGUUAUGACAGCUGAAAUCGAUUGUUCCUGUGUGCAUUGAUAAGUGAGACUACCAUAGAGAUUCACAACUAAAUAAAGAUAGGUAUUCCACAGAACAACCUUUACCUCUUUGGAAACACAGAUCUAACAAAAACUAUAACAUUUUGGAUUAAUAUUGACGAAUCAAGAAUAAUGCAAGGGAGCAAGAGAUACUCUUCCUUCUAAUAACAAGGAGGCAUGAAAAGUAUACAGAGUUCCAACAAUUAGAGAACUAAAAUCAAACUAAAAAAAUCACCAGAGUAGACAGAAUCUCACUUCGCCAAAAAUUUGAAAAUAUAUCCUUUUUAUCCAUUGAGAUUCAUGAACUACUCCUACUCAUCAUGCCAAUAAGCAAUGCGUAAGAGGUGCUACAAUUUACCGAAUAUAUUUACCCUGAGAACAAGUUUUGAAAUCAUCUCUAGUGUUAACAGCACCUUGCGUCCUUGGGUAAGCUGAGUCCUAUUAUCAAGUAAAGAGACCAAUCAGUACAUCCAAAAGAUCUUAAAUGCCUCUAAUACCAAUAAGAAAGAAACAUGAGUAUAUCUUGAAUUAACCAUGCAAAAAUGUAAUGUUAAAGCAUCUUGUCAUACAGACCUCUUCAAGGUACCAGAAAUUUUUGCACUAAAGAUGUCACAAGCAGCUGAUAUGAAGCUGCAUUUUCUGUGAGUUGAAAUUUUGUCAAUAUAAUCGAUCACCUGAAGAGAGAGAGAGAGAGAAAGACAGUGAUAUCCAGAGAUGUGAGCCUAGAUGCUGAGUGUGUAAAAAAAGAAGAUUAAAUGGAUAGCAAGAAUAUACAACUUUAAUGCUGAAAAGAACAUUGAAUAUGAUGCUCAUUCAAUUGCCAUUGAACGUGUACCUUCUUCUUUCCUCUUUCUCAAAAGCAAGUAGAGCCUUGAAGACUUGCCUAUAUGAUCCAUCAUCACAACCAGGCAAAGUUGUUUUAAUCAUAGCAACAAUGGCUCUAACUACCUGCCAUAAGAAACAUACUACAUCAACAAGAUCACAGUGUACCAGAAACCGUAAUGUACCAGAAACAUACUACAUCAACAAGAUGCAGUCUCCAGGAUCUUGUCGACAACAAAGGCACAUUGUGCAUCCUCAUUGUGACUUUCCUUGAUAAUUACCUACAUUUUGCCAGUAAACCGGUGUCACUAACUAAAAGGACUGAAAAAUGACAUCAAAUUGUACUUGUUGGAGCAAGGAAAGAUUAAGUACCUUAGACCCAGAAGAAUUGUCCGUGUCAACAUUCUUUAGUUGGCAUCGCUUCUUAUUGUUUUUUAUAACAGAAGAUGCAGCUUCCACAAUAUAGCGUGUGGACCGAAAGUUUUUAUUAAGCCUAAUCUGAACCAUAAAGUUAUGUCAAAUCCCACAGAACCCCAUAAAAUAAAACUUACUUUCCUGUAAUUGUACAAUAUAUUUGUUCUAUACUAUAUACAAUGUUUUAAAAGGUUCGCCUCGGGGCGCGCCUAGGUGCCCUGUGAGGCUGGGCUUGAGGGUUGCCGCCUCUGUUUUCAGGGAGUGGGAGGAAGGCGUCGCCGGAGCCGCCUAAGCGCCAGAAGGCGCCACUGGAGCCGCCUAGGUGAGCCUCAGGGGAUUUUUUUUUUUUUUUUUUUUUUUUUUUUUUACUCCCAAACCCAAAUUUUGGGUAGGGUUUUAACUAGCUCAUACUCUUCCUUGCACUAUCAUCUCUCUGCCUUCUUUUCUGAUUUUUAUUUUUUAUAUAAUGGAUGUGUGUGCCGUCUGCGUGCAUUGUUAUAUGUGUGCUCAUCGUGCUUUUCAUCCUCUAUUAUAUAUAUAUAUAUAUAAUAUAAUAUAUGUAUAUAUAUAUGUGUGUGUAUAUGUAUUUAUAAUAUAUGUGUGUGCUCAGGAUGAUUAUUGAUUAAUAAUCUUCUUUUUUUUAAUAUAAUAUAUGUGUAUGCUCAGUGUAUAUAUUAAAAAAUUUAGGUCCCGUGAGGCAUCGCCUCACUCCUCACGCCUAGGCUGGGCUAUCCCUCGGACGCCUCGCCCACGCCUCAUGCUUUUAAUACAUUGACUAUAUAUAAUGAAAAAAGACACUGUGAAUGACAUAAGAUAACAUAGCAGUCAAGUGCGAAGCGAACCUUUUUGUAAUUUGAAAAAUCUUUACGAAAAUAAUCAAAUCCAGAAAUGUCCGCCCCAUUGAAACUGAAAAUGGGCAGCAGGAUAUAUGUUAUUUGAUUUAGAACAGAUAAGGGCUGGAUUAGAAUGAGCUGAGAGAGAGAGAGAGGGAGAGAGGGAGAGAGGGAGCAAUAACAUUGGAUUUCCAUAAUAAAUCAACAACAUGCCUGAUCAUCAUCGCCAACAAUGGUUAUGUGGUUAUGAGAGGCGAGAAUCCGCAAAAGACUAUAUUGCAUAGCACUUGUGUCUUGAAACUCGUCUAUUACAAUAGCUUUCCAUGACUCCUGGCACUCCUUCAACACUAAUUAAGAGAACACCAUGUAUCAACAUUUAGCAUUACUUGUAAAACUAGAUAAAUCAAUGAAAUAUACUUAGAUGAUAGAGACCUUCAGGAAAAUCACUUAGCAGCUUCACAGAGCAGCUAAUUAAGUCGUGGUAGUCCAAAGCGUUGCACGAUUUCAAGAUAUCAUUGUAAUUCCUAAGAAUUUCACCCUGAUUCAGAUUGAGAGCUAAAACUCAUAAGCAAUAGUUUCAAAGAACUGAAAUGAUAUCUGAAAUUCUAGUUCUGAGCGUACUCCUGUCACAUCACCCAUUCUUCGGCAUUCAGCGGGAGUCUUUCCAGAAGCUUUUGCCUGAAACAUAAAUAAAUUUAUUGCCUAAUGCCACAUAUUGUAAGACACACCAUUGUAUUGGUCAUUCUAGCUUGAUUGUAGCUAAUAUUUUUUAAAUCGAAUGAUUAGAGUUCUUAAUCCACAAUAAUCUGAACAUUAAAUUUGGUAUUCAUGACUAACCUGUGUCACAAACUUCAGCCAUUUCUUUGAUGCAUCCUUAAAAUGAUGUGGAGAUGUUACGCCGUUAGACUCUUCCCCAUCUAUAGCAACAUUAAGAUUCGUUUUACUCUUUUCAUCUUCUGAUAACCGCACAGCUUCAAUGAUUGCUCUUCUCUGUUGCCCAUGUCCAUAUAUCAAAAAUUCUGGUCUGCGCUCGAGUCUAAAACACAAGCCAACAUAACAGACUCAGCUAUACCACCAAAUGUAUGGUGUUCAAAAUCAAGGGAGGUGAAUCAAUAGCUUACUUCUCAGCAUGUGAUCGGCAAAGUUGCAAUGAAAAUGAAUGAAAUGUACUGAUUGUUAGUAGUUUUGCCGUUGCUUUCCCAGUCACAGAUCCAAUUCGAUCUCUCAUCUCGGAAGCUGCUGCUGUAGUGAAAGUCAUUGCUAGAAUGUUCGACGUGCUAAUGCCCUAAGAACACAAAAAAAAAAAAAAAAAAACGUAUAAGAUUUCGAUCAUAAACAAGAAAUGUAGAGAAACACACAAUUACGAAAGAAAAAGUUAGAGGGAAAGUAGCAACACCUCAUUGAGCAGCAUUAGAACGCGCCCAACUAUCGUUGAAGUCUUUUCCACUUCCAGGGCCGGCAAACAAUCAUCAAAGGUACUGAAAUAUCGCUGCAAGCUGCCUCGCGCUGCCUUUCGUUGAGAGAAAGCAAAUACUUCAAAUACUCAUCCGGCAUGUUAGGCCAUCCAUGGUUAACAGAAUCUGUUUGGUUUUCACUACUCAAAGGCGGCGCUGAUGCGGCACUAACGUCACUACCACAACUCCCAAUAUCAUCACGCUGAAUGUCCACACUCGGUUUCUGCUCGAUUAAAGCGUCAAUUUCCUGCAAAAUACUCUCAUCGAAAUCAUCAUCGUUAAGAAUUCCAGAUGCAGAGAAAGAAUCAAAUGAAGUCAGAAACUGCGGUUGUCUGAUUGGAGUUGUGAAAGAAUCCGAUUUUGACACGCUUGAUUCGGUCCCGCUAACGCUUAAGCUUCCGGAACACGAAGCACUGCCAUAUUCACCACGCGUUGAAUUGUACCGGCUUGCGGAAAUCGGAGGCGGUGUUCUUUGAACUCUAUUGAGCUGAGUUGGCGUUUGGAUUCCAUUUCCGCCACAGAUUCUGGAAUUUGAAAAACACAAUUGAAUUGAUUUAAAUUGAAGCAAGAAAACAGCCGAGUAGCAAAAAAAUAGUAAGAAGAUGAAACCUUUGAUUCCUGAACGACUUACUUGGUAUGAGGGAGGUGAUGAUCAGGUGAAACGGCGUCGUUGCGGGGGCGUUUGCGAUCAAUGAGGGCCUUGGCGGCUCUGAAAUUCCGAGAGAUGCGGUUUCUUUGUUCCGCCGUGAGCCCUCCGCCGUAUUCCUGAACGUUUUCCUUGGACAUUGCUUCGAAGAUUCCAACGGAGGAUUUGGCCUGACGGCCUGACCAGGCUGAUAAUAUUCUUUUCAUUCAACUUGUCUACAAUAAUUACCACUCUUGGUAUUUAUACAUUUCUAACACGCCUCACUAACUAACUAAGACCACUACCAAUCAUACAUAAACACUUGUCAUAAUCCUAUGCACUCAUAGUAUCAUCACUCUAACUUCCCCUCAAACUCAUGUGGCAGAUUGCCAAGCAUGAGAUUGGAACAAUUACGAGUGAACUGGGGUGAACACAAGCCUUUGGUGAACAUGUCGGCAUAUUGAUUUGCAGAGGUAACAAACUGCAAAAAAUUGUCCUUUGAUGAACUCUUUCAUGAACAAAGUGGCAAUCAAUCUUUAAAUGUUUGGCUUUAGAGUGCAAUACAGGAUUAGUGGCAAGAGCCAUUGCUGAAAUGUUAUCACAAUGCAAAACUGGAACAUAAGGAGAACCAACAUGCAAAUCUCGAAGAAGCUGUUGUAUCCAGAUAACCUUAGCAGUGGUUGUAGCCAUUGCUCUAUAUUCAGCUUCAGUGGAAGACCUACUCACUGUAUGCUGCCUUUUAGAACUCCAAGAGAUAGGAGUAUCUCCCCAAAAAAUGACAAAACCCGUGGUUGAACGACGAUCAUUAGGAUCCCCUGCCCAAUCAGCAUCUGUAUAGGCUUUCAACUGAGAUGAACAUGAUUUAAAACACAAUCCCAAAGACAUAGUGCCUCUGAGAUAUCGUAGAAUACGUUUCACAGCAGCAAAUGAGUGGCUAAGGGUGAAUGCAUAAACUGACAUACUUGAUUGACAUAAAAAGAAAUAUAUGGUCUUGUAAAUGUUACGUAUUGCAGUGCCCCAACAAUACUUUUGUAAGUGGUAGGAUCAGAAACAGGUUCACUACCAUGAUUCAAAAGCUUUUGAUUAGGAUGACAAGGUGUGGAAAAAAGGUUUACAGUCCAGCAUAUGCAUCUUUUAAAGGAGUUCUUUGACAUACUUGGUCUGAUGAACAAAGAGUCCCUGAUCCUGAUACUCAAUCUGUAAACCAAGAAAAUAAUGCAACACACCUAGAUCUUUCAUGCCAAACUCACUAGUUAACUGACUAAUAACAUUCUGAACCUUCAUAGCAUCAUUACCAAUGAGAAUGAUAUCAUCAACAUAUAAUAAGAGAACAAUAAUUGAUGAACCAUCACACUUGACAAAUAAAGAAGGAUCUGCAUAUGAUGACUUGAACCUAAGUUUAGGCAAAUAACCUGAAAACCUGUCAUGCUAGGCUCUGGGAGCUUGUUUGAGACCAUAUAAAGACAUUUCUAGUUUGCACACAUAAUCUAGAUAGGUAGAAUCCACAAACCCUUGGGGCUGAGACAUAUAAACUUCUUCCUCAAGAAAGCCAUGCAAAAAAGCAUUAUUGACAUCUAACUGUUUGAGUUUCCAAUUAUGAGAUGCAGCCAAGGAUAGAACCAAUCGAACCAUGGUUGGUUUGACCACAGGGCUAAAGGUUUCAUAAUAGUUAAUACCAACUUCUUGAGAAUACCCAUUAGCUACAAGAGUAGCCUUGUACCUAGCCACUGAACCAUCUGGAUUUCUCUUAAUCUUGUAGCUCCAUUUACAACCAACAAGAUUUUUGUCAGGUGGUAAGGGCACAAGCUUCCAAGUAUGUUGUUGAAUCAAAGCAUCCAUCUCUUCUUUUAUGGCAUUUUGCCAUUGAACACACUUGACUGCACUAGAAAAAGACUGAGGUCUAAUAAAUGGAAAUGUGGAAGAAACACUAGGUGGAUGAAUGAAUGUGUUUGAAUGCACAACAGACACUGGUGAGGAAGAAUGACCAGAAGUAACUUGAUGAUUGAAACCCAAAGCAUUAGAGUCUAUAGGAAACUUGGAUUCAUAAAAAAUAACAUGUCUAGAUACUAACAGUUUAUGUUCUUUGAGAGAGAAGCAAAUAUACCCUUUGUAUUGUGUAGCAUACCCCAGAAAAAUGUUGGAGCAAUAAUAGAAAAUAUGAGAAAUAACAAUAUAAUUCCAAUGAUAAUAAUCAUAAAGAAAUUCACAACAUCAAUUAUAUAUGAGAUUAAUAUAAACUACUAGAGUGAAAGUUAGAAUAACUGACAAACUUGGAGAUUGAGGCUUGCAUAAAUGCAAUGUCCUAAAGAUAGAAUUUCGCCCCUACUCUUGUGUUUGUAGUUCAAUAGGCGUCCAUCUCUCAGAAUUCAACAAUCUAUAAUCCGAAGUCAAAGCACUUCAAUCUUCGGACUCUGGCGAACUUUAUAUAUUCCGUACUCUCAAGACACGACUCGGAAUUUGACACACGAAUCAUUUGAGAAACAAAGUUGGGGAAACCCUAUUUCUCAAGAGAGUAACAAUUAACUCUAUUUUUCUAUUUUUAAUGAUAAUGGUUUCAUGAGUUUAUAUAGAACCCAAGUACUUUUUGUUAAGGAGAUGUAACUUUUCAUCUAUAAGUAUACAUCACUUAUCAAGAGAAUACACCUAAACAACAUAACCUUUCUAAGAAAUUGGUUAACACUAUUUUUCAUUCAAUUAUUAAAAUUAUAUAUUACAAUAUUUCAUAUUAUAAUAUAUAAUUUCCAACAAAAAAUACACUUAGUAGUUUUAGGUUCAAGUUUAUUGCUUCUAUAGGGUUUCAAUGAAGGAUAGCAUAAACACCCAAAAAAUCUCAAAUGAUCAAGCUUAGGUGGAGAUUUAUAUAGCAUUUCAAAAGGAGACUGCAUAUGUAGGGUAGGUGUGGUCAUUCUGUUUAUAAGAAAAGUAGCAGUGGCACAUGCAUGGAACUAACAUUUUGAAGGUAAUGAAACUUGUUGUAAAAAGGUAAUAGUUGUUUCGACAAUAUGUUGAUUUUUUCUCUCAGCCAACCCAUUAUGUUCUAGGGUAUAAGGACAUUUUUUAUGAACAAUGCCUUUGGUAAGAAGAAAUUGCUUAAACUGAGUACUAACAUAUUCCCCACCCCCAUCACUUUGCAAAAUUUUUACAUGAGCAUCAAAAUAAUUCGAGACAUAAGCAAGAAAGUUGACAAAAACACUGAACACUGCAAACUUUAUUAUUUAAUGGAAAAAUCCAGGUAUAUCUUGUACAUUCAUUAAUAAAGGAAACAUAAUACUUGUAACCUUCUAUAGACAGACUAGGUGAGGGACCCCAAACAUCUAUGUGAAUUCCUUCAAAUGGAGUAAGUGACUUCAAAGCAAUUACAGGAAAAAAGAGCUUGGUAAACUUACCUUGCAAACAAGCUUUACAAGUAUGAGAUUGAGAGUUACAAGGAAAAGAUAUAAAAGACUUAUUAAGUGCUGCAGUGACAAUGGAAUGUGCAGGAUGGCCUAAUCGACAAUGCCAUAAUGUAGAAGAAAUCUUUUGACCCACAAAUGCAACUGGAUUAAAAACAGGAGAAAUAGACCUUUGUGGUUUGAUUAUGGGAAGUGGAUAGACAACAUUAUUACUCAGCCCUUGGAAUAGCACUCUCUCGGUGACCUUGUCCUGUAGACAGAGAGAAACAUCAUCCAUGAUACAACGACACUGAUUAUCUUUGCAUAACUGAUUCAUAGAUAAUAAGUGUUGUGACAGUUUUGGAACAUGUAACAUAGAGUUUAACUUGAAAUUAUGUGACUUAGUGAGAAGAGAAGAUGAACCAAUAUGUUUAGCUAAACCUUCACCACUAGCACUGGUCACAAUAUCAUUUGAUGGAUAAAUUUGUUGCCAUGUGCAAGUUUGACAAAUCUGAGGUCAUAUGGUUAGUUGCUCCUAAGUCAAGAAACCAGAAAUCUUGUUAAAGAGUUGAGGAUGAUGCACCAGCUCAUGCUUGCAUAGCAAGAUGAGGAUUUUGUGAGGAUAUAGUUGAGAGAUACAUAUGUGGUAUGACAAGAUACUGAAACUGGGAGCUAUUAGACCGUGGAAUAAUGCCUUGUGAAGGACCACAUGGAUUCUAGCUAGGUGCUUCACCAUAUGACCCAGUAGGCAUUGAAGUUGGCAUAGAUGAGGAUAAACCCUAAGAGAAAUGCUCUGAUGUGCCUGUGAAAUUCUUAUUCCGAUCAAAGCAAGUAGCAGCAACAUGACAACCUUUGACAAAUUUGACAUCCAUGUUGAAAACAAUUCAAUGCAGAAUGACCUUUGCGAUCAUAUUUGCAAAAUGGCCUUUGCAACCCUAGAAAGAAGAAGGAGCGAAGAAGACCAAAUGUGCACGUUUCUCUUUGGUUUUUUUUCCCUCCUAAUCGCCCUGUUCGAAAUCACGGACCUCGGGCCUGUGCCUAGUGGGCCCAAUUAUGAGGCCCAUUAUCUCCGGUCUUCUCGUUCUACUUCUAGUUACCCAAAUUAAGAACGUACUGGUUCGCUUUUAGCGCGAGAGAGAAAUGGAAGCCCUGAUUGCCUCGUACGGAGACUCGUCGUCGGGCUCAGACUCCGAGUCGCCGGCUCCACCUCCACCACCACCUCCGGAGCUCAACAAUCCUCAAAAACCGACCCCUGCGCUGCCUCCACCUCCUCUGUCACUUCUUGACAGCCCCAAUUCCUUCGGUAACCUCUGAUUCCCAUCAAUUUUCAUCUUUUAGCUUUCUGUUGUGAUGGCUUUUUCCAAGUUGGCCACCAAGUGUUUGAUGUUUUGCCUCUGAAGGAUUUCUGGACUUCUCGGCAAGCGCCCAGCCGAGCAGAGUUCGGAACUUUCCUCACGUCGAAGGGAACUACGCAGUACAUGUAUACAUCCCAGGUUAUCAAAAUUCUCGAAAUUUUCAGCUCCAUUAUCAAAUGCGAUCGCUUUGCACUUAGUUUUUGCUUGUUUAAUUGCGUGGUUCCAGUUUAUAUACCACCAGCACCAAGGAAAGAGAUGGCCUUGUUUUUGAACAAGCUAGCUUCUCUGGUGCCUGGUCUCCAUGCGGUUGACGUUGACUUCCCGCUUGACAUUCUGCGUAAGGACGAGCACAAGCUUGAACAAGUUGCUUUAGGCAGAGAGUUCCAUAUAAGUCUCGGAAGAACUGUUCCGAUUCGGGUGCACCAGAUUGAUUCCUUGGUGACAAUGCUGCGGCAGAAGCUUCAGAUUCAGAGGCGGUAUGGUUACAUUUACAUUCUCUUGUCUGCAUUGCGUGAAUUUAGUUCUGUUAUUUAACAUAAUUCUGUAAGCCUGCCAAAUUUUUCGUCCAUUUUCGGUUUAACACAUUUUGUUAUUGUGAAACAGGUAUUGGAUUGAUUUUAGCAAGUGGGAGGUUUUUGUUAAUGAUGAUCAGACCCGGACCUUUGUGUCAAUCGAAAUCAUUGCUGCUGGGUUAGCUGAGGUAUGAUUGCUAGCUUUCUUUCUUGGUGCAAUUCUAAAUGUUUUCAGUUGUUAUAUGGGCUUAAGAUUUAGUAAGUACUUGCCGAAAGUCAUGGGAUUUUGAAAUAUCGAUAUCUUGCUUGCUUAUUAGCUUAGACUUGGUCUUCGAUGCACUUGUAACAUGAAAAACACAAACGAAAACUAAUGCAUGAUAUGCUCAUGGUUUUAACAUGUGUUGUCCUGGCGUAAAUCAUGUUCCUAAUCCUGUCAUGUGAGUAUAUAAGCCUAUGAAACUUAGGGCAUGUUUGGCGGGCCGGACAAGAUUGGAAUUGGUAUUUCAGACUAGUUAGGUUAGGAUUGAACUGGAUAGGAUAGGUUUUUUGUCUAAAGAUUGGUGUAGACUGUCUUAACCAGACUAGGAACGAUGGGAUUUAAAAGGUGAAACAGAUCCGCGACAUCCCAAGGAUGACCCGCCCACCCAACAACUCUGCUUGUGACUUGCAACACCUCUCGUACCCUCCACGCCCCUUGCGGCCCGUCAGACCACUCUGAUAUCCUGGAGGAGUGAAACGUGGUUACUAGAAGCAUACCUGUUUUCGUAUUAAUGCACGGUUGAAUCAGCUUUCAUUGUCUACAAGUCUGAAAUAUUUUAACUUCCAUUGAUUUCAGAUAACAAAGCAGAUUCAAGCUGUGAAUGAGGUGUAUAAGCUUCACAAUCUUCCUGAAUUUUACAAGGUUAGCUUUUUCGUGCUUUUCAAACUCGAAUCGCUUCCUGAAUAUAUGACAAUAUAUUGGAUCAAACGAUUUCUCAAAAAACUAAUUCACUUGAUGGGGUCUUGGUGAUCACAGGAUCCACGCCCUCACAUCUCGGUAGCUUGGGCAUUGGGUGACAUCAGCAAUUCCCUGAAGAAAGUGGUUGAAGAAGAAAGACGAAGAUCUACCAUCGGAGGAUCGUUACAGAAAUGUAUUUUUACCAGUAAAUUCAAUGGUAUCGAAUGUAGGAUUGGUAAUGAGACACACAAAAUAUGUAAAUUUUCUGAAGAAUAAUGUAGCCAUUUAACUGUAUUGUGAAAUUCCGAGAAUAUAUCGCUGAGCAUUGGAUGAGAAGACAUUUCUUCGUUGGUGUCGAACUUCUUGUCGAAGGGAUUGGCACCAGUGUAAACGUCAUCAUCCAUGUUGAUGGUAAUUACUUCCCAGCUACUAAGGGAUUGGUAAUUACGUCUUUCACAUGCCCGACAAAUAGAAGUAUCACCAAACAUGUGAAUAUAGAGCAUCUAAGCGGCAGGCACUAAAAGGAAUUUAGUAUGCAAUAAACAUUCAACGGACACAAUUAUAUGUCUAACCUUUCCCGCUCCUGAGCAAUUUGAACAUCGUUCAGUUUUUGGCAGAGAUAGGGGUUGGUUUCCGCCAUCAUCAGCUGUCGAUACUGGUUCAGUAAGAACAAGGGUUCCAGUGCUGGAGCAACGAGCACAAGCAAGAGAUCCUGCGUAAGUAUCAAAUACACAGGUAAGCUGACAUACGAAACCAAUCCGAACAUCUCCAUCGUAUAUAUUUAAAGCUACAGUACAUAAAACUAAAAGUCAGAAAUAUAGGACAUUAUCACACCAGUUCCAAGACAAUAUUUGCAUCGUUUAUGCUCCUGCUGUUUCACAUUGUUUAUUUCAACUACCAUCAAUGCUGAGAUCACUCCGACUGCUCCUCCAGAGAAUGACGCCACUAUGGGAUCAACUUGACUGCAGUUUGAAAGUAAAGGAGAUCAAUAAACGAAACUGGUAACAACAUAGUAUCAACAUUAUUUAGCUUCGUUUCAAGAAAGAUGACAUCCUAGGUUUUUCUGAUGUGUAAAAAUUGAGGAUCCUCGUAAAAUUUGACUAUAUCGGUUCCCAAAGCAUUUGAUUCCUACGUUACAGACGGAAAACAGCAACAAUCGAAUUUAAAGAUUCAUAACACGAUAGAUGGUACAAAAUUUCAAAACGAUAAUUACUAGAGAAGAAAAAUGAGAAGAGAUGAUAUGGGAUCUGCUAAAAGAGGUGACAGACAAUGUAAGCAAUCAGAGCUCCGGCUGAUUGUUCACAUUCUCCCUAUCUUGCAGGCAGCAUGAAGGAUAAAAAGAAGAAAAAUGAGAAGAGAUGAUAUGGGAUACUUUUGCUUUUGAAGAAGUAACUUUCCACAAGCUUAUUCUUGAACUGAGUUGGAGGGUUUUCUGGUUUCCUCCAGAGUAUAAGGCCGACUGAAGAAUUUAAGGGUCAAAACAAGUCCAUCAAAUCUAGAGUACGUUCGACCCUGCUGAUAUGAGAUACUUUUGCUUUUGACAGAGUAAUGGAUGUAUCGGCACGUGUGCUGUUACUUGUCUCCACAUGCUUCCUUGUAUCCUUCCCACUUGCCCUAUCUGUUCCUCAGGGAGAUGCGGUAUCUUCCCUGGGAGCAUAAGAUGUUGAAGAUCAACCCUCGUGGUCUCUAAGCAGCCCAGCUUUUGAGAAAGCAAACGCUUCUUCGAUUUCUGAGCAGGCGCCUCUUCGAUGUCUGAAGCUCCGUCGAGUGCAGCUUUUUAUAGGGGCUGGCAUUAAGUUCCAAAGCACACUUGAAUCUCCACCAGUAGAAGCCCCAUUCUUGCACUUCUAAGAUCUUGAUUUGUCCGACCUCUUCUCUUUUCAACACCUUUGAAAAUGUCUGGCCCCUCCGACCGUCGUUUUGACUUGAACCUUGUUGAAGAGGCAGCCCCGCCUUCUCCAGACAACAUAUGGCGGCCAUCCUUCGUUUCCCCUACUGGUCCUCUUACCGUUGGGGAUUCCGUGAUGAAGAAUGAUAUGACCGCUGCGGUGGUGGCCAGGAACCUUCUCACUCCCAAAGAUAACAGACUACUUUCCAAACGGUCUGAUGAGUUAGCCGUUAAGGAUUUGCUGGCUCUCAGUGUUCAGUGUGCAGGUUUUGUGUCUAAUAUGGCCCAACGCCUAUUUGCUCGAACCCGCCAAGUUGAAUCAUUGGCGGCCGAAGUGAUGAGUCUCAAACAGGAGAUUAGAGGGCUCAAGCAUGAGAAUAAACAGUUGCACCGGCUCGCACAUGACUAUGCUACAAACAUGAAGAGGAAGCUUGACCAGAUGAAGGAAACUGAUGGUCAGGUUUUACUUGAUCAUCAGAGAUUUGUGGGUUUGUUCCAGAGGCAUUUAUUGCCUUCGUCUUCUGGGGCUGUAACGCGUAAUGAAGCUCCAAAUGAUCAACCUCUGAUGCCUCCUCCUUCUAGGGUUCUGUCCAGUACUGAGGCUCCGAAUGAUCCCCCUCUGAUGCCUUCUCUUUCUGGGGCUCUACCGACUGCUGAGACUUCUCCUAAGCAACCUUUGUGAAGGCUCCAUCUUGUUUGUUUAUUUUGACUCAUGUAUAUGUACAUAUUUGUAGCUUAUCGGGGAUAUCAAUCUAUAUGUACAUCUUGUUUCCUUCAUUUCAACGUAUUGUGUUAAAUACACCAAAGCCUUCUUCGCUAAGUUCUUUGAAUUUUCUUUUGUUGAAGCUUUCUGAGUGGAGCAUGUAGGUUGGGGUAGUGUUCCCUUAAUUUUCCGAGUGAGGAAAACUUCUCGGUUGGAGACUUGGAAAAUCCAAGUCACUGAGUGGGAUCGGCUAUAUGAAUCUUAGAACGCCAUUGUGCUCGGUCCUGUGUCAUGUCCUUCGUUAGAUCCAAGUACUCUAAGUCUUUUCUUAGAGUCUCUUCCAAAGUUUUCCUAGGUCUUCCUCUACCCCUUCGGCCCUGAACCUCUGUCCCAUAGUCGCAUCUUCUAAUCGGAGCGUCAGUAGGCCUUCUUUGCACAUGUCCAAACCACCGUAACCGAUUUUCUCUCAUCUUUCCUUCAAUUUCGGCUACUCCUACUUUACCCCGGAUAUCCUCAUUCCUAAUCUUAUCCUUUCUCGUGUGCCCACACAUCCAACGAAGCAUCCUCAUCUCCGCUACACCCAUUUUGUGUACGUGUUGAUGCUUCACCGCCCAACAUUCUGUGCCAUACAGCAUCGCCGGCCUUAUUGACAUUUCUUCGUUGGUGUCGAACUUCUUCUUGUCGAAGGUAUUGGCACCAGUGUAAACGUCAUCAUCCAUGUUGAUGGUAAUUACUUCCCAGCUACUAAGGGUGUCGGAACAACCUUGCACGCAGCCUCCUGUGCAUUACUUGGUAUUGUCUCAGAUUCUCCAAACUUGAAUGCUAAUGUAAACCCACUCUUGACCUUCCCGUCAUCUGCCAUUACUGGAAAGCUGGCUAGGAUGUUGCCGUUAACCUACCUAACUGGCUAGGAUGUUGCCGUCAUCUCCAAACUUAAAAUACCGGAAAGCCGGCUCCAAACUUCAAUGUGCUACUAGUUUUUGUAUGCGAGAGCUCCACCUCCAUUGUUGUAACAGCAUCUGAUGCGGACUAGUCCUUCAUUCCCGUUACUCGUUGCUAUCUCCACUUCAAACUUGGCGUAAUGGCUCCCGGCCUCUUCUCCGGUGAAAUUGAGAAACCCUGGGAAACCCUUGAGCUGGCGUUUUCAUUCUGUUGUCCGUAUAUCUUGAUAUUACAAGUAUUUGUUGUGCAAAAUGCAUGCUAAGUUCAAGUUAUGUUUAUAUGUGUGUGUGUGUGCGUGUGUGUGUGUGUGUUGCCACUUUUCCAACGUUUUCUCCAAAAUUGUGAUUUUGGUGUUGUUCUAACUUUAUGUUGGUGUUGUUCUAACUUUGGUGAAUGCUAAUAACAAUUCCCUCGUUAACCAUUGGGACGAGCAACAAGGCAGUUUUGAUUCCGGGCACAACGACGAUACCUCGAAAGAAAUUGAUUCUUCCCCAGAAAGAUGUUUUAAAACAAAGUUGAACAAGGGAAGAAAACUUUUGAAUCGCAAUCAGAUGUCUGGUCAAAUUCUUUAACAGUUGAUGUAUACAGAAGUUCCUUGCUUAUGACACGACUUAUGAGAGGAUGUAUGUAUUGCAUUUGCAUCAAAAGAAAGAAAGAAGGUUGUAAGUGGUAAGGGAACGACUACCGAUGGCGCUCCACUUCUAAUCAAAGGGAUCGAUCCGAGGGUCGUGUUCACUUGCCAUCGCCAUUCCAGUGCAAAGGCAUGUCGGGCACAUUACCUGCCACAUUUACAGACGCAAUGUUAGAUAUAGCUGCCAUUUGGAAGUCACCUCUCAAAAUUUUGCUACUAAAUUAAUCUUAGACUUCAUUUCCAGUGCAAUUUUUUUCUUCCGAAAUGUCUUUCACAUGCCCGACAAAUACAAGUAUCGGUCACCAAGCUUGUGAAUAUAGUGCAUCUAAGCGGCAGGCACUAAAAGGAAUUUAGUAUGCAAUAAACAUUCAACGGACAUAAUUAUAUGUCUAACCUUUCCCGCUCCUGAGCAAUUUGAACAUCGUUCAGUUUUUGGCAGAGAUAGGGGUUGGUUUCCGCCAUCAGCUGUCGAUACUGGUUCAGUAAGAACAAGGGUUCCAGUGCUGGAGCAACGAGCACAAGCAAGAUAUCCUGCGUAAGUAUCAAAUACACAGGUAAGUUGACAUAUGAAACCAAUCCGAACAUCUCCAUCGUAUAUAUUUAAAGCUACAGUACAUAAAACUAAAAGUCAGAAAUAGAGGACAUUAUCACACCAGUUCCAAGACAGUAUUUGCAUCGUUUAUGCUCCUGCUGUUUCACAUUGUUUAUUUCAACUACCAUCAAUGCUGAGAUCACUCCAACUGCUCCUCCAGAGAACGACGCCACUAUGGGAUCAACUUGACUGCAGUUUGAAAGUAAAGGAGAUCAAUAAACGAAACUGGUAACAACAGAGUAUCAACAUUAUUUAGCUUCGUUUCAAGAAAGAUGACAUCCUAGGUUUUUCUAAUGUGUAAAAAUUGAGGAUCCACGUAAAAUUUGACUAUAUCGGUUCCCAAAGUAUUUGAUUCCUACGUUACAGAUGGAAAACAGUAACAAUCUAAUUUAAAGAUGCAUAACACGAUAGAUGGUACAAAAUUUCAAAACGAUAAUUACUAGAGAACAGGAGGGUUAAUAGCCUGAGAUAUGAGCCAUACCUCAACUGCAACGGCAGAUGCAUAUUUACUAUAAAGUCUUUAUAUGAUGUGCCUCCUAUUCCCAGCUUCAACUCCAACUGAAAUAUGUAAAGGUAAUUGUAGGCAAAGAGUUACAAACAUAACCGAAUCCAUGUUUUAUAAGCAACAACUAAACUUAUUUUGAUAUGUUUCCUCAUUUUUUACUUGCAAAUUCCGAACCAUAUUGUCGGACCAGUAAAAGAGAAUAAUGUUUAUGAUAACUGUUAAAACUAAUCACAACAGGUUAAUGCAUAAAGAACUUACGGAGGGUGCUAUGAGGCCACCGAAAAGGAUAAACCCCGCAAUAAUUGAAUAACAAACAGCAUAAUACUGCUUAAGGUUGUCUGAACUCUGGAAGCAAUGAAUUCACCUUGUGAUUAAUACUUUGCACAAACACUAGUUUUUGCAAAUUUUUAUGAAUCGACAAAAGGCUACAACAAAAUAUGGCUAAAACAUGUCGGGGAUAUGAAAAUACAUGUCUUCACAGGGGCACCAGCUUACCAGGGGAGGCAAAAAUGGAAUGAACGAUGGAAAACUAGGAAGUUCGUUUUCUUGAUCUUCAUUUACCGCUCCAAGCUCUGCACGUUUAAUCCGCUGUUGUAUCCUCAGCCUGCGAACCUACGCAUAUCGAAGCUCAUUCUUAAAGAACACAUUUCUAAUGGCAAUUGGAGAGUAAUUUAAAACAUGCUAAACUGAGAAAGUGGUAGUAACUAGCAAUUGCUCUCACCUCCUCCAUAUGCAAGAAAAUUUUGUUGCGACGACUCCGAAUAUUAUCUUGAAUUUCCUGCAGCUCCAUUGUGGCAAAAUCCUGCACUGUUUCAGGCCCCUCUAUGAUACAAAAUAUGCACCAUUAAGCAUGUAAAAACUAAAAAUUACAGGCUACAAAGCAAUUUCCGUAUAGUUGUUGGGUUAAAUAACAUCAACAGCAAAUAAAUCACAUGGGUUUUUCACAUAAAGUUACAAACUUUCAAGGACUAAUAAGCUGUCUGCAAUCUCAUAAAUUUCACAGUGCAAAGUAACAAUCCAAAGCUUGGAACUUUAAAUUUCCACCUUCUGUUAAUUUCCUAGAGAGAAGAGAGGGGGGGGGGGAAGUACCCGGCGGGGUUUGUAUCAGCGGCGGGAUUGGGAUCAGAAUCGACAGACGGAGCGAAAGAGGAGGAGUCGGGUUCCGAAGCCAUGGCAAGGGAUCGCCAUCUGGAGCUGCUUGUUGAUAUGGGGCUUCUGGGUAGCUGAAUUUGGAGCAGCCGGCGCUAUGCAGUUUGUACGGACGGCACCGAUUUACGGGGAAAGAAACGGCCAAAAGUCUGCCGGAGCAGAGCAUCUCUGUCUCUCUCUCUCAAACCAGAAGGUAGAGCUUUCUGUUUCUCUUGAGGUUUCUUUCACUGGUAAAUUCCAGAGAAGCAGAGAAGAAGGCUCUCUGAGAAAUGGCGAUGGUGCAAGUGGAGACAAAACAAAUGUAAAUCUUGAAGCACUGAACAUCUGCAGAACACUUGUCAACUGCCGAACUCUAGGAUUAGGAGAGAGACAGUGAGCGACCGGCCAAAAAAACAAAAUGGAGGUAAGUGGCUAAUUCUUCUCUCAUUUUUUUUUCCUUGUUUUUCAGGAAAAAAAAAAGACAGAGAGAGAUUUUUAGUGGACCUGGCGUCGAUAGAUUCGAGUAGUAUGUCACAUUUAAAAUUUGAGCAAAUUGUAACUAUAGUACUUUAAUUUUAAUUUAAUUGGAGGAAUGAUCCAUCAACUAAAAAUUCAUUACCAUUGAUCAUUUAAUUAAAAAUCUAUUACCGUUGGUCCCUCAACUUUAAUUCAACUAGAGAAAUGAUCUUUUAACUUUAACCCAAUUGUAGCAAUGGUCAUUCCAACAUAACUCGUUUUGACAAAAUUUUUGAUGUAGUUGACGAAAAUGACCAUAAUUACAUACUUUGAUAAGUUGAGGAACUCUAAUUGUAUAAAUGGUCAUUUCAACAUAAUUUAUUUUGACAAAAUUUUGACGAAAUUGAUGAAAAGGACUAUAGCUACACAUUUUGAUAAGUUGAGGGACCAAUAGUAAUUGAUUUUUAGUUGAAGGACCAUUGCUAUAAUUUACUCUUAAAAUUUUAUUAUAGGAUGACAAACGUCGAAAAUAAAAGGUUAAGUGCAGUGAUCGUCUUUGAGGUUUUGGAGGUUCUGUGUGGUCAAAUACUUUGUUCUCCCUAAAAUUGCCACUAUUGAGACGAUUACUUGCCUCAUACAAACAUUUUACGUUUACUUAGAACUAGAAAGACAAGAAUUGCAUGUGAUGAAUUGCUCUAAUCAUGGGGUUUAUUUUUUAACUCAUUGUGUUUUAAAUUUAAACUUUUUUCCCUCUCUUUGAUAUACUUAUAAAGUGUGAAAUUAAUAAUUUUAAUGAGUGACUCAAUUAACUAUUUUCAUUUCUUACGCGUUCAAAAUUACACAAAUUUGUUGCAUACAAUUUUUUAAAAAGAAAAUUUCUAUUAUUAUGGAGAAAGUUCGGUACAUUAUGGAAGGAGGAAUUUUGAACUCGAAACACAUGGUAGAAACCUAACGCCCAUCCACUAGGAUAUUAGAAACCCAACGCAUAUCCACUAGGAUAUUAGACCACCAGAGCUGGUCCUGAGAUAUUUGGUGCCUGUGUCAAAAUGUGUCUUUUUCCAGUACAACAACAGAAAUUGAAAAGAAAUAUUUAAAGAGGGCUGGAACCCAGUCGAAGCUGGGGGCUAGGCCCUCACACCCAUGUUAUAUUACUCGAAAAAAAAAAAAUAUACAACGGGAUGGAACAUAGUACCGAAACCCCGACAAUAAAAAACAAAAUCACAUACAACCACUCCAAGCAGUCAACAUGACCAUUACAUAUUGAAUCCAAAAGGUUGACGCCUAUUCUCUGCAUAUAAUGCACAGAAGAUAACAAGAUUACUAAUAUAAAAAGAACAUCUGAAAAGAUGAACAUAUGCAUCAACAUAUAAGUUAACCAUUCUAAGUGCAAAUUUAGAAGUGAUAUGCUCCAAGUAUAAUAUUGGACAGAAGAGCGGCAGCAUCAACCAGUUCUGCUAUAUCCGGCUGGAUGAGAGCUGCUAAAGACAUGAUUGUUCCCUAAUAACAUGAAUAAAUUGAGUAAACACCAAAAGUAGCAGCAAGGGAAGGAGAUGUUAAGAAGAUGAAGAGGUGUAACACCUGUGAAUGUCCAACAACAAAGACUUUGGUGCUUGUUGAAUAUAUGCAGCGCAUCAUUUCUGAUAGAUCAAAUCGAGCCAAUUCCUGCCAACUCCAAUCCUAAAAAUCCUACAGUAAAGCAUAAAUCUUAUUCUCUUCUGAUAAAGAUGUGUGUCCCUGUCUCCAACGUGUUUGACGCACAUUCCCUACCCAUACAUCGAAACCUUCAUCUGCAAGGACAAAUCCCAGUUAUUCUUCUGGAGAAUUUAAGAACCAUGAAUCACCUGGUCAAGAUCAAGAAAAGCCAGUAACCAAUUACAAUUGAGUUUGAAGCACAUAAGAGCCUAAUUUAAAAUGUAUCCCAUGGAUGUUCAUCAAUUUACACAAUAGUUAGUUUCAAGAAAGGAAAUUUCAACAGAACCUGAAAACUUCAGAUCAGGGGGCACCAAAUAGUGAGCUAUACAUUCAAAAUUUGAAAUAAUCAACUUAGUGGGACCAAUAUGUUGAAAAAAUUGGAAGGAGCUAUGAAAGUAAGGCUUUUCACUAAUCAGACGUCCAGAGAAUCAAUAUUUUACUCACGGAUCAGUUACGGGGAACACUCCCCACCAAAGCAAUCUCUUUCGUCUGAAUCUGGAAAACAAGCAGCAGUGGAUUUUAACAGUCUGGGUAUCUCAAAGUUACUUUAAUCAUAAAUUUAACACUAAAACAUAUAAAUGGGCAUUAUUUAGUGAAAUAUUAGUAUAGUACUCACUGUGUGCUCGGAACAAGAGUACCCAGAAAGCUCAAUGAGCUGCGCACAGAGGACUACAGCGGUGAACGACAGCGACCGAUUCUGUAAAAUUCAGUCAAGUUUUGGGUGAUUUCUGCAGUUAUUUCGGAGGUCAAGAGGCUGAUAGGGAAAGCUGCGACCGAAGGGCACUGGUCUGGAAGCAAAGGCUCAGGUCACCGCUGUCCCGAUUCGCGAAGGAAGUGCCCCAAAAACAAUUUCGGCCCUGGACAGGUGCACUGUUUGCACUGGACCAGGGCCGGCCGGCCCUGGCAAUAACGUCCCCCAAACAGUACAUAUACAGAUGCUAGAAAUAUAUUAAUGUAACCUGAAACUACUAGAACCAUUCAAUUCUAGCGUCUACAGCUAUAGCAUUAGUUGGUACAAUGGACAUUCUUCCAAAGAGGGGGAUGAACUCGUUGAGGCUCUUAUUUAUUCCUCCUCUUGUUGUGCCCUUUUCAGCUGCUAAUUCCAGACGAUCCAAUCUCAUACAUCUUCCCUGCAAAAGCAUGCGUGCCAGACUUCAAGAUCAAAUUUUUCCAACAAAAGAAACUUAAAGAUCAAACUCGCUAGCAGAUUAAAUGGUGCACAAGGGUGUUAAAAUCUUGACAUAGUAUAUUUUUGGCAGAUUUUAUGUGAGCAUGCAACUAAAACUGGCAUCACUAUCAAUGGUGCAAAAAGAUUGGUGGAAAACUUUAACAGUUUGAGUUGUAACUUCUCCAUUGUAUUUGUUAAGGCAAGACGGAUGUCAUCUAUGCAUUUUUCUGUAAAACUUAAAAGGCUGCAUAGCAGCUCUUGUUCGUACGACAAGCAAUUGAAAAUCCCAUCAUUAUGCCCCGCAUAUACCAGAAAAAAAAAGUCAUUUACACAAAUUCAGAGCGUUCAUCCACUGUAAUUUGCAGAUAUAGAAACGUUAAGAUAAAAGGAAAUGCAAAGUUAGCAACGGGAAUUGACAUACCAAUAUCUUCACAGUUUCUGCACAAGCACAAAUCAAAAGAAUCCGGCGGUGGAGUUAUGUACCUCUCCUUGGAAAAUGCCACCUCUUGGGAUUUCAAAAUAUGCGGCCGUGGCUAGCCGUCUGACCACGCCAAUUCCACCAAAGCCGCCGCAACGCGGCGCAGUGUCCGAUUGAUUGCUUCAAAACAGAGCUUCGUAUCCAUGUGUUUAUCAGCACAGAGUACCCAAAACCCCUGAAAAUUAUUUCUUUAUUCAGAUAAUAAAAUUUCCCAAAUUUCAAAUUUUAAUUCCGAACCAAAAAUAGGAUUUGAAUUUUGAUUACCUAGAAAUUGGGGGGUUGGCGAUAUGCGUCCUCGAGAGGGUACCAAUACAAAUUACAGAGCGUGUUGGGACGAUGUACAAGGCUUUUGCAGUCUCUCAGAUGUAAAUACCGAAGCUCCGUAAGGCGUUCAAUCCAGGGGGAAAGCUCUUUGAUAGAUGUUCCAUCCAAGACAAGAUUUCUUAAUCCUUCCAUAUUUUCUUCAAUGCUUGGAAACACCUCGAAUUUUGUACAACCGGAAAGAGAGAGAUAGACAAGGGACUUGAGCUGACAAAUGCUACUUGGAAGACUCUUAAGCUCCUUGCAAUUUUCUAGCUUCAAAUGAUUCAAUCCCGUGAGAUUAUUAAUUGACGAGGGCAUUUCUUUAAUUUUUGAUCCGGAUAAAUGAAGAACUUUUAACCCUUCAAUCACUUUUAAAAUCUCUGGAAACAUCUCAAGACUCUGACAAUCAUAAAGUACAAAGGUUUCGAGAGAUUUCAUAUGAAUGUUGCUUGGAAGACUCUUAAGUUUUUGGCAAUCUGAUAGGUUCAAAUGAAUCAACCCCGUGAAAUUAUUAAUUGACAUGGGCAGUUGUUUAAUUUUUGACCCGGAUAAAUUAAGCUCUUCUAACCCCUCAAUACCAUCUGAAAUCAAUGGAAACAUCUCAAGACUGGAGCAGCCACAAACAUUAAAGGUUUUCAGACAUUUCAAAUGAAUGCAACUUGGAAGACUCUCAAGUUCCUUGCAAUCUUUUAGGUUGAAAUGACUCAACCCCGUGAGAUUAUUAAUUGACUCGGGCAGUUCUUUAAUUUUGGACUCGGAUAAAUUAAGCUCUUCUAACUCCUCCAUACCUUCUGAAAUCUCUGGAAACAUCUCAAAAUUGGAGCAGCCAAAAAGAUUAAAGGUUUUGAGAGAUCUCAUACGAAUUUUAUUGGGUAGAAUCUUAAGUUCCUUGCAAUAUGAUAGGUUCAAAUGACUCAACCCCGUGAGAUUAUUAAUUGACUCAGGCAGUUCUUUAAUUUUGGACUCGGAUAAAUUAAGCUCUUGUAACUCCUCCAUACCUUCUGAAAUCUCUGGAAACAUCUCAAGACUGGAGCAUCCAUAAAGAUUAAAGGUUUUCAGACAUUUCAUAUGAAUGCAGCUUGGAAGACUCUUAAGUUCCUUGCAAUCUCUUAGGUUUAAAUGAAUCAACCCCGUGAGAUUAUUAAUUGACUCGGACAGUUCUUUAAUUUUGGACUUGGAUAAAUUAAGCUCUUGUAACUCCUCCAUACCUUCUGAAAUCUCUGGAAACAUCUCAAGGCUCACGCAGCCAAAAAGAUCAAGAGUUUUGAGAGAUUGCAUACGAAUUUUGCAGGGUAGAAUCUUAAGUUUUUCGCACCCUUUCAGAUCCAAUAAAACAAGUUUUGUAAGAUUCGAAAUAGAUGGGUGAACCUUAACUAACCCUCCACAACCAUGAAGAAUUAGCCUCUCAAGAUUUGGCACAUUUGUGAAGUCAGGGGUUUCCUUAAGGUAUGAACAAUAACUUAAAUUGAUGAAUUUCAACUUUUCCUGCGUCUGUUAAAACAUUCAGGAAAACAUGCAUUACUUAAUAAGACAUCUCACUCAAAGCCCAAACAUUUAAAAGAAACAAAUACAUGUAAAUGAUUGCACAUACCUGGGUUCCUUCCCAAAGUCGGUCAAUGUGGCUAUAUUGCAUGUCAAGUCCAACAAGAUUUUCGAAUUGAAAGUUGGAUGGCAAAGACUUGAGCGGGAAACAAGACCAGGAAAGAAACCUCAACUCACUAGAAACAAACUUUAAGGACCCAGUCAGGUGUUGUAUGCUGAAAGUACCGAUCUUGAGAAGUCUUAGUUUAGUCAUCCUAUCAAAAGCUUUAACAAUUAAGCAUCCCUCAUAUGAGUGCCCCAAAUCUAGGAUUAUGCUUUUAACUGUUUCUGUACCCUGUGCAAAUCAAAGGGAAGGAAAAAGCAGAGAACCUUAGUUUAGAUUAUGAAGUUAAUGGUUGUUUCUUAAGGAGUUGUUUGAUAAUAAUUUUGUUUUCACUUUUCACUUUUGUUUUGAUUAUUUAUUUAGAAAUCUGAAAAUUGAAAACAUAUAACUUGUUUGUAAUUGUUUUCAAUUUUCAAUUAUUAAAAAAAUGAAAAUUAAAAAUUAAAAAUGGAAACAAAAGUGGUUAUCAAACGAGCUUAAGAAAUUGAUUUUGGUCAAAAGUUGAAGCUUUCUACUAAACAUUGCAUAAGAAGAGAAAUUAUCACCGUAUUUUUAGUUAUCACAUGAAGAACAUCUUCAUAACUCCACAACCUACUUCGUUUCCCAGGCUCUUCGAUAGAUUCUUGCUGGACGAUUUUCCGACCCAUUUCCUCUAGUAAAUCAUGCAUCUCCAGUUCCCCCUUCCAUGAGACAGUUACUAGAGCUCGAUCGAUUAAAACUUUUAUUCCAAUAUCAGGAUAGGAACCACAGCUGUGCAGAACUUCGGUUGCAUAGUCUUUUCUCAUUCCUUUAAAGAAACAUGCAAUAUCUAGAAAGAUAUCCUUCUCCGUGUCAUCUAGUCCAUCGAAGCUUGUUUUAAGCACAUCAUGAAUUCCCUUUUGCGGGAUUUUCUUUAUUUUUUCUAACUCAUUUUCCCACUGGCGUACAUUUUUGUUAUCAAGAAAAGCUCCCAAGACUUUGAGUGCUAAAGGCAGACCUUGAGCAUAUUUUACAGCACGCCUCGAGAGAUCAUCAUAAUCUCUGUUGGGUUGGUUUUUUCUAAAGGCGUACCGCCUAAAGAGUUCCAGAGCUCCAUUAUCACUUAAAAUCUUGGGAUUAUAUAUCUCAUCAGCUAUGCUUAGUAAUUGCGAAUCUCUGGUUGUUAUAAUAAUUCUGCUUCCACCACCAAAGGAAUGUGGUUCUUUAAGUAAAGCUUCAAUUUGUUCUAAUUCUUCCACAUCAUCAACAACAAUAAGAACUUUUCUCCGACCUAGGCUAUUUAACACCACCUGGAAACCUUUAUUCGAAACGUCGGAACUCCCCACCUUGUUGUUCGAGAUACUCGAUAGAAGUUCUGCCUGCAUAUAUAGUUUGCCAUGCUUUAUGAAACCUUCCUUGAAAUUUUCAAGAAAGCAACAAGCUUUAAAUCCACCAGAGAUUUCAUCAUAAACAGCUCUAGCGAUGGUUGUUUUGCCUAAACCACCCAUACCCCAUAUUCCAACAAUGCGAACAUCAUUAGUUUCAACUCCAGGAGGAUACAAUAAUGAAUGCAUGUUAUGCAUAUGAGAGUCCAUUUCAACCAAGCCAUUAUCUUUGCUUGAUGAUGAUGAGAUGUGGAUCAAUUUCUUAAAAACAUCUUCUACAAUUUUCUCAAUAAGCUCUGCAUCAUCCCUGUCAAAUUUAAAAAACAAUAUAAUAACACCACCAAAUAAUACUUAAUGGGUCUUUUUCAUCUGUUAGUUUAAAAAAAAUAGAAAUUAAAACUAAAACUAAAAUCUAAACGUUAUAAAAAUCCCAAAAAUUAAUAGGAAACUAAAACAAAUUAGAAUUUACUCAUAUUUCGCGAAUCCCAGCCGGAUAAACUGGUGGCAAUUGUAAGAGCGGAUCUCCAGCUCUGAACCUCUUCCAUUUCAGCGUUAGAAUCACGAUCGUGCUGAGCAAAAGCUUCCUCGAAUUUUCUCUUGAGUUUACGAACGUCAGACGGAUCAACUUCAUAGAAAAUGGGGAGUACAAUCUGGUUAUUGGUAUCCUUGCAUUUCAAGAUUUGCACGAGUUCUUUCAAGCACCAAGUGGAAGAAGCAUAGUCUUGAGAGAAAACUACAAUCGAAAGCCUUGACUCUCGAAUCGCUGUCAGGAGCUCAGAAAGGUGGUCGCCUUUUCUGAGCUUCUCGGCAUCAAUGAAGGCGUUGAUUGGUUUCUUAACCAGAGCGUUGUAGAGAUGGCUGACGAAGCCCCUGCGAGUGUCUUCCCCUCUGAAAUUGAUGAACACAUCGUAUUUGCAACCAAGGCCAGAAGAAGAUGAAGAAGAAGAAGCAGCCAUUAUUAAUCGAUCGCACCUGGUCAGCGACGAUCGAGCAGCUAAGACUAAGAGAAUUGUAAGUACAGAGAUACUCAAUAGAUCUACAAAUUGGAUCACCGGAAAUUAGUCUGAUCGAUACCAAGUCAAUGAGUCAAUGCAAAAGUAAAAAGGGGAAAGGGAAAUUAUGCUUUAUGUUUUUUCACAUCUUCUUCGGGGAAAUUUCGGUGUGAAAGGAAUCUUAUCCUUUUGAUUUUUUAACCGAAGCAAAUGCGAAGAAAAGGGUCAAAGUGGUAAAUUGAAUAUACACUUGCCUAUCCAACAACCUCUUAAUUUAAUAUAUUUAAUUGAGAAAAGUAGUUUAGAGGAAGAGGUAUUCAUCAAUUCCCCAUAAACUUGUGACCAUUGGCCAAUUUUCCCCCUCAACUUUAAUUUUGGCCAAUUUCUUCCCUAAACUCUCAUAAUUAGUUAAUUUCCCCCAUCAACUUUAAUUUGGUCAAUUUCCCCCCUCAACUCUCAUAAUUAGUCAAUUUGCACCCUACUGUUAAUUUUUUAUUUAUUUUUCAUCUAUUCUUUUUUUUUUCUUUCAAUCUUUCUAAUAACUUCCAACAAAAUACUAAAAUUAAUAUAAACUCACCUGCAUAAUAUAGGGUAAAAUGUACAAAAACAUAAUACCAUUAGUAUGUGAUAUGGGUUGAUUAUAAGAAAAAGUUAUGAAUCGGGUUUAAAUCAUGUAGAAGAAGAAACAAUAAUCCUAAACUCAUGGAUCAGACCUAUUUCAAUAAAAUGGGUUAUUCUUAAUAAGGAGUCGAAAAUUAUGAAUUGACUAGCCAUUUUUGCACUAAACCUCGAUUCUCCGCAAUUUACUUGAACUUAGCUUUCACUUUUAUAAAGAAAAUUGUAUUCACAUACAAAAAUGUACACAUCAAUCCUUUUCGUUAUCAAUUUUGUAUAGUAAAAAAUCAAAUAAAAUUACUCCAUACUAAUUUAUUAUGACUAAUAAUACUAUUUAUGAUAAAUUGUAAAAUUCUAAAUUUUAAUCUAUUUGUAAUAGGAUAAAGACAUAGGAAAAUGAUUAACAUACAUCUUAUUUAGUUUCUUACACACACUUGUUUAAUUAUGAUCAAAUUAAAAAAUUAACAGUAGGGUGCAAAUUGACUAAUUAUAAGAGUUGAGGGGGGAAAUUGGCCAAAUUAAAGUUGAGGGGGGAAAUUGACUAAUUAUGAGAGUUGAGGGGGGAAAUUGGCCAAAAUUAAAGUUGAGGGGGGAAUUGGCCAAUAGUCACAAGUUCAUGGGGGAAAUUGAUGAAUACCUCUUAGAGGAAUGAUGGUAUCUCUUUUUCUUCUCACUCAAUCUUCCAGCAUGCGAUUUAAUCAUGAUUAAAGCCAAGCUUAAUAAUAGGUCGUAUUAUUUAGGUCGUUUUGGAUUAUAAGUUUUUGUUGUGAACUUGUGAUACGAUAGUUAGAAAAUUAAAAAAAUUAUAAUUUAAAUAUAUGUGGUGAAAUCUGUUAAGAUUUAGAUUCAAAAUUGAAAAUUUCAUUAACUUCAUUAAUUAUUAGCACACGAAGCUUACAAAUGAAAUAAAAAUAAUAAAAUUAGUCUCACAUGUAAUCUCUAUGCGCUAACAAUUAAUAGAGAGAUUCAUUUUAACCUAAAAUGUGUGACUUACGUACUAAUAAUUAACAAAAUAUUGACAAAAUUUUCAAUUUUAAGCAUAAAUCUUAAUAAACUUCAUCUCAUAAACUUAAAUCCUAAUUCAACAAUCUUCUCAUUACCUUACCACUGCAAACUACCUUGCCACUACAAAAAUUAUUAAUCAAAUUAAACUUAUUAUUUACUUACAAAUACGUAACUCAAUCACCGAAAGCUAUCUCCGUUGCUAUCUCCGUUUCUUUGCUGAGUGGACAGCUGUCUCUUUGUCUUCUUUUGGCAGAUAGCUACUAGACUCCUAGUGGCCGGCCUAUUUUCCACAGCUGGUUAUAGGACUCAGUUGCUAUUCAAGAAGUGUUAUGUUGUAAUUCAAUAUUGAUGGAAAUCCAACAGAAUCUUCUUCGAAUUGUUGUGAGCAUUUUGGGAUAUUUUUUAAUCAUAUUCAUUUAUCGUUGUGGGAUCAAUUUUAUUAAAUAUUAUUUAUGUUUAAUUUUAAAUAAAUAAAUUUAAAAUAAAUUUUUAUCGCACGAUAUACUAUGAACGAAUACGAUUCAUAGAUCUCCAAUAUCUUCACAAGAAGAAUCCAAAAGGAUCCGGAUUCAAUGGAAAUAAGCUAAUUUUGAAUCAAAUAACAUUACUUUAUUUUGUAAGUAAAUUAAUUUUAAAUCAAACAACAUUCAUUUAUUAUGUAGCUAAUUAAUUUUGUAUGUGUCAUCAUAUAUAUUAGGCACAUUUUAUUAUAGGUGAUUUUGUGGUAUUCAUUUUCAUUUGUAAGUAAGAGGUCUUAAGUUCGAUUUUCAUCAAAAACGAAUUUAAACUAUAUUAUUGCUAGUCCAUUAUGAGGCCUAACCCACCCUCCUCCCCCUUAGUGUAGAUAGAUCGUUUGUUCAAAAAAAUAUAUAAUCAAAAUAGAAUGUGAAGCGAAACAAUAGAUCAACAUUAUUUAUGUUAAUUAUAAAUAGGUCAACCAUGUAUGUGAUACUUAAAUCAUUUAAAAUAAAAUAAAAAUUACAAAAUCUGCCAUUACAGCUGGCACACACUUUAAUUAACACUUUCUUUCUCAUAAUUUUUAUAUUUGGAAUAAGUCAUACGAAUCAAAUACUACAAUGUAUUAUCUGUUUUUUAAUUCUAUUUUUUACAUUUGGAUUCAGACACUGCGUUGUAGUGUCCAUUUACUGAUUUUGUUUUUUCCAUCACUCACAUGCCUCCUAUAUGUUCCUUUGUACAUUUGGAUUUAGACAAUGCAAUGCAGUGUCUGUUUCUUGGUUCUGGUUUUCUCUUUUGGAUUCAAACGCUGCAUUGCAAUGUAUGUUUCCUAGUCCUAUUUCUUUCAUCAUCCACACGUCUCCUACACUUCACACUUUCAUGCGACUCCUGAUUUUUACAUUUAGAUUCAGACAUUGUAAUGCAAUGUUCAUUUCCUACCUUUGAUUUUUACAUUUAAAUCUAGGGUUAAACUCUGUUUACUACCCUAAUGUUUCGUGGUUUUCUACAUUUAGUACAUCAAAUUUUUUUCAUCCCAGAGUCAUACCUAAAGUGUUAAUUUUGGGACAGUCUCAUACAUCCAUUAGUCAAACUGUUAGUUCUCACGUUAAGUGAUGAUGUGGCGCCCAUGUGGACAAUGACUGGGCCCCACGUGUCAUUAAAAAAUAUUAAAAUAAUUAAUUAUGUAACACCCGCCCCCACUUAUAAAAUUAUAUGUGUGUAAUAUUCCCUAAAUAUUCUGAAUCUAUCAAUUUUACCCUUUUUGGACUACCCUAUCAGGAUCUAAACAUUGGAUCCUUCUUUCUUUUCAAACUGCCACGUGGCAGCUCCCUAGCAAUUUCCCUGUCUUCUCUCUCUGUCCCCCCCCCGUGACUCCUUCUUUCUCUUCUUCUUUUUCUGUUUUCUUUUCUUUCUUCUGUCUGUCUCUCUGUCCCUCCCGACUCUAUCUCUUUCUCUCGUCUCUCUCUCAUAGCUCCCUCAUCUCUCUUCUCUGCAGCAACCCGCACGCACGCACCCAUCUCCCCCGCGCGAAGAAGACCCAUCUCCUUCUUCUCUCUCCCUCUGUCCCGUGCUGCGAGCCCAGAAACCGGAGAGGAACUCCGGCGAAACCUUUAUUUUCCCGGUUGGGACGAAUCGAAGCCGGGUGUAAGCACACCCAACUCCGGCGAUCCCGAGGGUGUCGGGGCUUUUUCCGGCCAUCUCCGAUCGUUCCACGACGAAAGGAAGGUGCAAUUAUUAACGGUGAUUCUGUUAUACCUUCUUGGUAUAGCUUUGCACCGUUGGUGUACGGUGAGUGGACCCCUUCAAAAUCAUGUUUUAACAAUAGAAAUGCAUACAUGAAAAGCAUGAUUUAAUACUUAUGUUUUACGAAGUACUUUAUGAGAUAUAUGCUUACUGAGGCUAGAUUGAAUUAUUACUAUUUUUCCUAUAACCCAUGUUCUUAUAGAAUAUCCGAUGGAUGACGAUAUGAUAUUAGAACAUGUUUAGAACACCUCUUUGUAGUAUAGAUGAUGGAUGACUUUAUACUACGAAGUUGUUUUUCAAUAUGUUAUGCUCAAUGGUUUUGUACUUACCUAGUGGUCCUUUCCGCUACGGGACGUAGGGAUAGAUUCCGGUCCGUCCCGAGCGACGGUUUGGUGUUGGCAUAGGGCCUGGAGUGUGUUUCCUCUGGCUAUUUAGCACAGGGACGGGGAGCCGGCAUGGGGUCUGUAGUGUAUUUUCCUCUGACUGUCUGCUCAGAGACGGGGAGCUGGCAUGGGGCCUGUAGAGUAUCGGACAAUUCACUAGUGUUUAUUACUUAUACAAGUUAUGAAUUUGAGAUAUUGCACGGCAUGCUAGGUUUCGGAAAAUCUAUUUUGAUCAUGAUAUAUGUGUUUUCAUUAAACCUGGGGGUUAGUAUGUUGAUAACUGUUUUAUUAUAUUUAUAUCAAACUGGUCCACUCAUGUUUGUUUUGCGCCCCCUUCAGGACCUACGAACGAGGAUUACGAUAUAAGCUACGAGGCUUUUCCCUAUCAGUGAUCCAGUGCUAUACUUCUUCUGCUUCGAUAUCUUUUGUAAUAUAGCACAUCUCUAUUUUAAAUUCUGUUUGUACUCUGUAAUAGAUGUAUGCUUUGACAUUAUGCGUGGAUCCUAAUGUUGUAAUUAGAAGUUGAAUUUGUAGUAUUAUUGUGGCUAGUCUUGCUGCCUGUUUUAGCUUAUUUGUGAGUUUUUACUUAAAUUAAUGGCUUUCGUCACCCUUUGGGUGUCGGCCAGCACGUGAUAAUCCCGAUGUCACGAGGACAUCGGGAUCGGGGCGUGUCAGAUUGGUAUCAGAGCAUGAUUCAUUCAGAGCAUACUUAGGAUUCUUUUCCACCAUUUGGUAAUUAUAAUUCCCCUUAUAUCCUUAAUUUUCUGUUGUUCUAAAUCUUUCUUGUUUCUUAUCAGAAUUAUGGAUCCCGCUGGUGGGCAUGUACCUCGUCGAGCUCGUUUUGGUAUAGGGGGAGGACUUGAGCAAUUGGCUAAUGUUUUGCGAACUGCCCUUACUGGUAGAUCAUCGAAUCGCACCUAUAUUGAGAUUGCUACCAGUCAUGGUAUUCCAGAGCUUAAGGUAGUGGGAGCCUGUCCGGAGGCUGAGGAAUGGUUAGAGCAGGUGGAAGAUACUCUGGAGGGUAUGAGAUGUCCACCAGGUGAGUGGGCGGAGACUGCUGGGUUUUUUCUUAAGGGUCCUGCAAAGAUUUGGUGGAAAGGAGUGAAGCAUUCUCGUCCACGAGGCACUUCGAUGACUUGGGUGGCAUUCCGGAAAGCUUUCAGUGCACAUUUUCUGAGUCCCAGUUAUCAGUUGAGGAUGAGACAACAAUUUCUGGAGUUUCGUCAAGGCGAUCUGAGUAUCACAGAGAUGGAUAAUACUUUUCGACGCCUGUCGAGACACCAUCCGGUGACUUAUGAUAACCCGAGUGAGAAGAUGGUUCAGUUGCUGGUUUGUUUGAACCCUGAUUAUCGUGAACGAGUGGCAGCUAUAAGGCACAGAAGUUAUGAGGAAAUGAUUGAGACUUGUUUGAGGAUUGAACAAUCUAGGUGGGAGACUCAGCACCAGGAGGAGCAGGCGCAGUAUCAGGAACCACCCAGAUAUCAGGAACAACCUCGGAACCAGAACCAGAGAGGUCAUGGUUUUAGAUCUCGGAGUGUGAGGAAAUCUGGUAGCUCUUCUAACUUUGUUGGCCCUAGACACUCUCAUUCCUUCAAACGUCAGGGUCAAGGUUCAGGUUCUUCCAGCGAGGGUUCGGGUAAUGAAUCAGGGAGGCGAUAUUUCAGUCAUUUUCGAUCGCAGGUUACGUGCCACAGGUGUGGAGGCAUGGGACAUAUUGCCAGAUUUUGCCCUUCAGGACAGCCUGCUGAGAGUUAUGCAUCGGUGCCGAGUUAUGGUGGAGGGAGUAAUCCGAGUUCUAGCUAUGGAGGUAAUUACACUCAGAGUUAUGGUGGAAGUGGAAGUGGAAGUCAGAAUACCCAAUUUUCCACUCAGAGACAGCCGCAACAGUUUGGUGCAGCUUCGAGUAGCCGCUCUCAGGGGAAUCGAGCAGGCCGUAAUAAUCAAGGUUUCAGAGCUCGUGGUAACCGUAACAGUGGUGGAGGACGUCAGUUUCAUGGACGUAUCAACGCCAUGACACAGCAGGAGGCUGAUCAGGAUCCUCAAGUCAUUACCGGUAUGUUACUUAUUUGUGGUAACUGGGCGAGGGUUCUAAUCGAUCCGAGUGCUACUUUUUCUUUUGUGUCUUCAUCUUUUGCACCGAAUUUAAAUGCACCACCUACACCUCUUGGUUAUGAUAUGCUUGUGCAAAUGCCGCAAGGGGAUCUGUUUUGUGCUCAGUGGGAGUAUAAAAGUUGCCCAGUGGUAGUGGAAGGGGAAAUGAUGGAGGCUAAUCUGGUCCCUUUUCAUUUGGCGGAGUUCGAUGUGAUUUUGGGGAUGGAUUGGCUAUCCAGGCACCGGGCCUAUGUCGCAUGUUGGGAGAAAUCUGUGACGUUCAAUCGACCUGGACGACCGUCAAUCACAUUUCAGGGUGAGCGACGAAUCCUUCCUAGUAGUAUUAUUUCCGCUAUUCAGGCUACUAGAUUGUUGAGUAGGGGAUGUGUGGGAUUCUUAGCUCAUGUAGUAACGAGGGAUAAAUCUUCGUUACGUCCUAAGGAUGUGCCAGUGGUGAAGCAUUACACCGAUGUUUUCCCGGAGGAUUUACCAGGGUUACCGCCUGCGAGGGAAAUUGAAUUUACCAUCGAUUUACUUCCAGGAACAGACCCUAUCUCUUUAGCACCUUAUCGCAUGGCACCGGCGGAGUUGAGGGAAUUGAAGGUUCAACUUCAGGAAUUGGUGGAUAAAGGUUACAUCCAACCCAGUAUGUCUCCCUGGGGUGCUCCUGUUUUAUUUGUUAAAAAGAAGGAUGGAUCGAUGAGACUUUGCAUCGACUAUCGGCAGUUAAACCGGGUGACGGUGAAGAAUCGAUAUCCUUUGCCUCGGAUCGACGAUCUGUUCGACCAGCUGAAGGGUGCUCAGAUAUUCUCUAAGAUAGAUCUUCGCUCAGGUUAUCACCAGUUGUUAAUUCGGGAGGGAGAUGUACCGAAGACUGCUUUCCGCACUAGGUAUGGACACUUUGAAUUUCGUGUCAUGCCUUUCGGACUGACGAAUGCACCUGCAGCAUUCAUGGAUUUGAUGAACAGAGUUUUCAGACCGUAUUUGGAUCGGUUUGUGAUUGUGUUCAUUGAUGAUAUUCUGAUCUUUUCCAAGAGUGUCAGCGAGCACAAGAAGCAUUUGAGGUUGGUGUUGGAAAGGUUGAGCAGUGAGCAGUUGUAUGCUAAGUUUAGCAAGUGUCAGUUCUGGCUAACCCAAAUUAGCUUUCUCGGUCAUGUAGUAUCUGCUGAGGGGAUUAGUGUGGAUCCUCAGAAGGUGUCAGCAAUAACUACGUGGGAGCAACCGAGGAAUGUUACUGAAGUGAGGAGUUUUCUAGGUCUGGCUGGCUAUUACCGAAGAUUUGUUAAAGGUUUCUCAGCCAUUGCCUUACCUCUGAAUAAGUUGACUCGAAAGGAAGUGGAGUUUAAGUGGGAUGAAGAUUGUGAGCGGAGUUUUCAGGAACUGAAGCGAUGUCUUACUCAAGCUCCCGUUCUUACUCUUCCAGACGAUAGCGGUGAGUUUGAUAUCUACACGGAUGCAUCAUUAUCAGGUUUGGGUUGUGUACUGAUGCAGCAUGAUAAAGUCAUUGAUUAUGCUUCCAGACAGCUCAAAAUUCACGAGAGAAACUAUCCCACUCAUGAUUUGGAACUUGGUGCAGUAGUGUUUGCUUUGAAGAUCUGGAGACAUUACUUGUACGGUGAGAAGUGUCGUAUCUUUACUGAUCAUAAGAGCCUCAAGUAUAUCUUUACUCAGAGGGAUUUGAAUUUGAGGCAGAGAAGAUGGAUGGAACUUAUCACUGAUUAUAACUGCACGAUCGAGUAUCAUCCCGGACAUGCCAAUGUAGUGGCAGAUGCACUUAGUCGGAAAUAUCAUGGAUAGCUUGCAUCUCUCCAAGCUAUUCAUGUUCCACUACUAUUUUCUCUUCGAGAAACAGGCUUGUCGGUGAGACCGGGUGAGCAAUGAGCGUGGUUGGCAAAUUUCCAAGUUAGACCUGUUUUGGUGGAUAUAGUCAUAGAAGCUCAGGAGCUUGAUCAGGAGAGUGCCAACAUUAAGGUCUCGGUGGAAAAAGGAGAAGAGAAGCAUUUUAUCAUCCGAAGUGAUGGAGCCUUGAUGUGGGAAAACAGAUUGUAUGUUCCUCAUGAUAACGAAGCAGUGAAAAGAGCAAUUCUGGAUGAAGCACAUUUGUCAGCUUAUGCCAUGCAUCCGGGAAGUACUAAACUGUAUCGCACUAUCCGUCUGUUCUAUUAUUGGUUGGGAAUGAAGCGGGAUGUGGCGGAUUAUGUGAGUAGAUGCAUCAUUUGUCAACAAGUAAAGGCAGAGAGGCAAAGACCUGGAGGAUUGAUGCAGAAUCUUCCGAUACCAGCAUGGAAAUGGGAAGACAUCACCAUGGAUUUUGUGUAUGGUCUGCCGAGGACGCGGUCGAGAUUGGACGGCAUAUGGGUAAUUGUUGAUCGACUGACUAAGACCGCUCAUUUCUUACCUGUUCGACAGACCUAUUCAAUGGAGAAAUUAUCGAAGUUGUUCAUCGAUAAUAUUGUUAGACUUCAUGGUGUACCUGUCUCUAUUGUUUCAGACAGAGAUCCCAGAUUUACUUCCAAAUUUUGGAAAGCUUUUAAUACUGCCAUGGGUACUCAGUUGCUGUUUAGUACUGCUUAUCAUCCACAGACUGACGGUCAGUCCGAGAGGACAAUACAAACAUUGGAGGACAUGUUGAGAGUGUCUGUUCUUCAGUGGAAGGGUAGUUGGGAUAACUAUCUGCCGUUGGUUGAAUUUGCAUACAACAACAGCUACCAUUCGAGUAUUGGUGUGGCACCUUAUGAAGCCUUGUAUGGGAGAGUGUGUCGAACGCCGUUGUGUUGGGCAGAGGUCGGCGAGCGAGUAUUGUUGGGACCGGAGAUUGUAGACACUACCAAUGAGAACAUCCAGCUGAUAAAGAGAAAUCUCAAGGCAGCUCAAGACCGACAGAAAAGCAUAGCGGACAAACAUUCCAAAGAUCGUGAGUACAAGAUUGGUGACUUUGUAUUCUUGAAGUUGUCUCCCUGGAAGGGUGUGGUUCGUUUUGGUAAACGAGGAAAGUUGAGUCCUCGAUAUGUUGGUCCUUAUCAGAUUACGGAGAGAAUUGGUGCAGUUGCCUAUAGAUUGGAGUUGCCACCGGAGUUGUCUCAGAUUCACAAUGUUUUCCAUAUUUCUAUGCUUCGGAAAUAUGUAUCAGAUCCCUCUCAUGUUAUUCAGCUAGAGCCGCUGGAAGUAAGUCCGGAUGUUAGUUAUGUUGAAGAACCAGUGGCUAUUCUUGACCAGCAGAAUAAAGUGUUGAGGAACAAGGUCAUUCCGUUGGUGAAAGUGUUGUGGAGGAACCACGCUACUGAAGAAGCGACGUGGGAAACGGAAGACCUGAUGAGGAGUCAGUAUCCGUAUUUAUUUGCUUGAAGUUGUAAUUUCGGGGACGAAAUUUUUAUAAGGGGGGUAGAUUGUAACACCCGCCCCCACUUAUAAAAUUAUAUGUGUGUAAUAUUCCCUAAAUAUUCUGAAUCUAUCAAUUUUACCCUUUUUGGACUACCCUAUCAGGAUCUAAACAUUGGAUCAUUCUUUCUUUUCAAACUGCCACGUGGCAGCUCCCUAGCAAUUUCCCUGUCUUCUCUCUUUGUCCCCCCCCCCGUGACUCCUUCUUUCUCUUCUUCUUUUUCUGUUUUCUUUUCUUUCUUCUGUCUGUCUCUCUGUCCCUCCCGACUCUAUCUCUUUCUCUCGUCUCUCUCUCAUAGCUCCCUCAUCUCUCUUCUCUGCAGCAACCCGCACGCACGCACCCGUCUCCCCCGCGCGAAGAAAACCCAUCUCCUUCUUCUCUCUCCCUCUGUCCCGUGCUGCGAGCCCGGAAACCGGAGAGGAACUCCGGCGAAACCUUUAUUUUCCCGGUUGGGACGAAUCGAAGCCGGGUGUAAGCACACCCAACUCCGGCGAUCCCGAGGGUGUCGGGGCUUUUUCCGGCCAUCUCCGAUCGUUCCACGACGAAAGGAAGGUGCAAUUAUUAACGGUGAUUCUGUUAUACCUUCUUGGUAUAGCUUUGCACCGUUGGUGUACGGUGAGUGGACCCCUUCAAAAUCAUGUUUAACAAUAGAAAUGCAUACAUGAAAAGCAUGAUUUAAUACUUAUGUUUUACGAAGUACUUUAUGAGAUAUAUGCUUACUGAGGCUAGAUUGAAUUAUUACUAUUUUUCCUAUAACCCAUGUUCUUAUAGAAUAUCCGAUGGAUGACGAUAUGAUAUUAGAACAUGUUUAGAACACCUCUUUGUAGUAUAGAUGAUGGAUGACUUUAUACUACGAAGUUGUUUUUCAAUAUGUUAUGCUCAAUGGUUUUGUACUUACCUAGUGGUCCUUUCCGCUACGGGACGUAGGGAUAGAUUCCGGUCCGUCCCGAGCGACGGUUUGGUGUUGGCAUAGGGCCUGGAGUGUGUUUCCUCUGGCUAUUUAGCACAGGGACGGGGAGCCGGCAUGGGGCCUGUAGUGUAUUUUCCUCUGACUGUCUGCUCAGAGACGGGGAGCUGGCAUGGGGCAUGUAGAGUAUCGGACAAUUCACUAAUGUUUAUUACUUAUACAAGUUAUGAAUUUGAGAUAUUGCACGGCAUGCUAGGUUUCGGAAAAUCUAUUUUGAUCAUGAUAUAUGUGUUUUCAUUAAACCUGGGGGUUAGUAUGUUGAUAACUGUUUUAUUAUAUUUAUAUCAAACUGGUCCACUCAUGUUUGUUUUGCGCCCCCUUCAGGACCUACGAACGAGGAUUACGAUAUAAGCUACGAGGCUUUUCCCUAUCAGUGAUCCAGUGCUAUACUUCUUCUGCUUCGAUAUCUUUUGUAAUAUAGCACAUCUCUAUUUUAAAUUCUGUUUGUACUCUGUAAUAGAUGUAUGCUCUGACAUUAUGCGUGGAUCCUAAUGUUGUAAUUAGAAGUUGAAUUUGUAGUAUUAUUGUGGCUAGUCUUGCUGCCUGUUUUAGCUUAUUUGUGAGUUUUUACUUAAAUUAAUGGCUUUCGUCACCCUUUGGGUGUCGGCCAGCACGUGAUCAUCCCGAUGUCACGAGGACAUCGGGAUCGGGGCGUGUCAAAUUAAAUAAAAGUUAUAAAAAAAAAACCGAAUCUGCAACCCAGAAGAAGAACCUUCUGGGUACGUGUUUGCAGUUGCGGGGCGAAUUCUAGAUCUUAAUUGGAUUAUUAGUUUCUGUUGUAAUAUGGUAGUUAGAAGAUUAAAAAAAACUAUGAUUUAUGCUUCAUAUGCUAACAAUUAACAGAUAAUUAAUGAAAUUUUUAAUUUUAAAUCUAAAUCCUAACAUAUUUUACAAUAGAAGCUUAAAUCUUAAUUUACUCAAUCACAUGGAUUAUUUUAUAACUACCUUACUAUUAAUUCAAUUAAACCUAUUAUUUCUACGAAAACUAACAAAAAUUUCAAAAAAAACUUUAGUUUUAAUGAAAAAAGAAAAAUGAAGAUUUGGUAAAUAAUACCAAAAAAAAAAUAAAAAUAUAAAUUUUCAUUAAAAAUGAACAGCAUCAAAAGUGUUUUAUUAAUACUCCAAUUAUUUAUUUACAAAUACGUGACUAAAUGAAAGGGAGCACUCAAAAUGAUGAAAAGCAGGAGCACCGAAGGCUAUCUCCGUUUCUUUGUUGAGUGGACAGCUGUCUCUUCGUCUUCUUUUGGCAGAUAGCUCCUAGUGGCCAGCCUAUAUUCCACAGCUGGUUAUAGGAUUCGGUUGCUAUAUAAGAAGUGUUUUGUUGUAAUUCAAUAUCGAUAGAAAUCCAAUAGGAUCUUUUUCAAAAUUUUGUGCGGAUUUUGGUAUGUUCGUAAAUCGUAUUUGUUCAUAUUAUACGCUCAUUUUUCAUGGAAUAUUAUUUUUGUUUAAUUUUAAAUAAAAUAAUUUAAAAUAAUUUUUUAUUGUAACAUGUACAAUGAACGGAUAUGAAUUGAUUCACAGAUCUUCAAAAUCCUUACAAAGAAAAUCCAAAAAUAAUCCGAAUUCAAUGGAGAUAAGUUAAUUUUGAAUCAAAUAACAUUAGGAAAAAAAAUUAACAUUAGACGGUUUUAAAUAAUUUAUUGUAUAUUUUUAGGGAAUUGUUAUUAGCACUUUAAAAAUCUCAUUUUACACUCCAAACUUUUUAUAUUAGAAAAGAAAAAUACACUUAUGAGGAAUGUAGAAUAAGAUUUUUGAAUUAACCAUGCAAAAAUGUAAUGUUAAAGCAUCAUGUCAUACAGACCUCUUCAAGGUACCAGAAAUUUUUGCACUAAAGAUGUCACAAGCAGCUGAUAUGAAGCUGCAUUUUCUGUGAGUUGAAAUUUUGUCAAUAUAAUCGAUCACCUGAAGAGAGAGAGAGAGAGAAAGACAGUGAUGUCCAGAGAUGUGAGCCUAAAUGCUGAGUGUGUAAAAAAAGAAGAUUAAAUGGAUAGCAAGAAUAUACAACUUUAAUGCUGAAAAGAACAUUGAAUAUGAUGCUCAUUCAUCAUUGCCAUUGAACGUGUACCUUCUUCUUUUCCUCUUUCUCAAAAGCAAGUAGAGCCUUGAAGACUUGCCUAUAUGAUCCAUCAUCACAACCAGGCAAAGUUGUUUUAAUCAUAGCAACAAUGGCUCUAACUAACUACCUGCCAUAAGAAACAUGCUACAUCAACAAGAUCACAGAGUGUACCAGAAACCGUAAUGUAGCAAAAUCUUAGAUAAAAUAGCUGGCCAAAAGGGAAUGGAAAAGCAAGCACAAAAAACAAUGAAAAGGACCAGUGAUGCCAAAAUUCUGGUGGAAAAGGUGAAAAGCUUAUGUCUAUUACAGUUCUUGUAUGCAUUCUUUAUAACUUAAGUUCUACGUAGCAAAAACCACCUUAUGCACAACAAUAUUGGAAAAAUUAGAUACAUACAACUGAGAAGAUAGGUUUUCAUAAUCUGGACAAGUGCUAACUACCUUCUUCCUAUAAACUGCCACUCCAUGAACAUUAAAUGGUAUUUUCCUUUCACGCAAGGCUGUCUGGAAGACUUUUCCUGAUACCUGUAGAAUAAAUUACAAAAGAAAAUGUGACCAAAAUGUCUUAUAUGAUUCACCUCAUUCACAUUAGCACUAAGGCAAGUAAGCUUGACCUGCCUCCGGUAAAGGAUUGCUAUAUUUCCAUAGGAGCACCCUGCUUCUGACCGUUUAGAUGCAGUCUCCAGGAUCUUGUCGACAACAAAGGCGCAUUGUGCAUCCUCAUUGUGACUUUCCUUGAUAAUUACCUACAUUUUGCCAGUAAAACCAGUGUCACUAACUAAAAGGACUGAAAAAUGACAUCAAAUUGUACUUGUUGGAGCAAGGAAAGAUUAAGUACCUUAGACCCAGAAGAAUUGUCCGUGUCAACAUUCUUUAGUUGGCAUCACUUCUUAUUGUUUUUUAUAACAGAAGAUGCAGCUUCCACACAAUAUAGCGUGUGGACCGAAAGUUCUUAUUAAGCCUAAUCUGAACCAUAAAGUUAUGUCAAAUCCCACAGAACCCCAUAAAAUAAAACUUACUUUCCUGUAAUUGUACAAUAUAUUUGUUCUAUACUAUAUAUAACGAAAAAAGACACCGUGAAUGACAUAAGAUAACAUAGCAGUCAAGUGCGAAGCGAACCUCUUUGUAAUUUGAAAAAUCUUUACGAAAAGAAUCAAAUCCAGAAAUGUCCGCCCCAUUGAAACUGAAAAUGGACUGCAGCAGGAUAUAUGUUAUUUGAUUUAGAACAGAUAAGGGCUGGAUUAGAAUGAGCUGAGAGAGGGAGAGAGGGAGAGACGGAGCAAUAACAUUGGAUUUCCAUAAUAAAUCAACAACAUGCCUGAUCAUCAUCACCAACAAUGGUUAUGUGGUUAUGAGAGGCGAGAAUCCGCAAAAGUCUAUAUUGCAUAGCACUUGUGUCUUGAAACUCGUCUAUUACAAUAGCUUUCCAUGACUCCUGGCACUCCUUCAACACUAAUUAAGAGAACACCAUGUAUCAACAUUUAGCAUUACUUGUAAAACUAGAUAAAUCAAUGAAAUAUACUUAGAUGAUAGAGACCUUCAGGAAAAUCACUUAGCAGCUUCACAGAGCAGCUAAUUAAGUCGUGGUAGUCCAAAGCGUUGCACGAUUUCAAGAUAUCAUUGUAAUUCCUAAGAAUUUCACCCUGAUUCAGAUUGAGAGCUAAAACUCAUAAGCAAUAGUUUCAAAGAACUGAAAUGAUAUCUGAAAUUCUAGUUCUGAGCGUACUCCUGUCACAUCACCCAUUCUUUGGCAUUCAGCGGGAGUUCUUUCCAGAAGCUUUUGCCUGAAACAUAAAUAAAUUUAUUGCCUAAUGCCACAUAUUGUAAGACACACCAUUGUAUUGGUCACUCUAGCUAAGCACAAUGAGCUUCAGUGGCAUACGGCGGUCACACAACACGCCGGAUGCACUCUUCCACUUCAUCCAUCCAGCUUGUAUUCUAUGGUUGAGAUCUCCAUCUAAUUCUCCGUUCUUUUGCAAAAUAGAUCCUAGGUAACGAAAACGGUCGCUCUUUGAUAUUUCUUGAUCUCCGAUCCUCACCCCUAAAUCGUUUUGGCCUCCAUUUGCACUGAACUUGCACUCCAUAUAUUCUGUCUUUGAUCGGCUUAGGCGAAAACCUUUAGAUUCCAACACUUCUCUCCAAAGGUUAAGCUUUGCAUUUACCCCUUCCUGAGUUUCAUCUAUCAACACUAUAUCGUCUGCGAAAAGCAUACACCAAGGAAUAUCACCUUGAAUAUGUCCUGUUAACUCAUCCAUUACCAACGCAAAAAAGGUAAGGACUUAAGGAUGAGCCUUGAUGUAAUCCUACAGUUAUGGGAAAGCUUUCGGUUUGUCCUUCAUGAGUUCUUACGGCAGUCUUUGCUCCUUCAUACAUAUCUUGUAUAGCUUGGAUAUAUGCUACUCGUACUCCUUUCUUCUCUAAAAUCCUCCAAAGAAUGUCUCUUGGGACCCUAUCAUACGCUUUUUCCAAAUCUAUAAAGACCAUGUGUAAAUCCUUUUUCCCAUCUCUAUAUCUUUCCAUCAAUCUUCGUAAGAGAUAGAUUGCCUCCAUGGUUGAGCGCCCUGGCAUGAACCCGAAUUGGUUGUCCGAAACCCGUCUCUUGCCUCAAUCUAUGCUCAAUGACUCUCUCCCAGAGCUUCAUUGUAUGACUCAUUAGCUUAAUACCACUAUAGUUCAUGCAAUUUUGUACAUCGCCCUUAUUCUUGUAGAUAGGCACCAAAGUGCUAAUUCGCCACUCAUUCGGCAUCUUCUUCGUUUUCAAAAUCCUAUUGAAAAGGUCAGUGAGCCAUGUUAUACCUGUCUCUCCCAAAACUUUCCACACUUCGAUUGGUAUAUUGUCUGGGCCUACUGCUUUUCUAUGUUUCAUCUUCUUCAAAGCUACAACCACUUAUUCCUUCCGGAUUCCACGAUAAAAAAAGUAGUUUCUACACUCUUCUGAGUUACUCAACUCCCCUAAAGAAGCACUCAUUUCAUGUCCUUCAUUGAAAAGAUUAUGAAAAUAACCUUUCCAUCUGUCUUUAACCGCGUUCUCUGUAGCAAGAACCUUUCCAUCCUCAUCCUUAAUGCACCUCACUUGGUUUAGGUCCCUUGUCUUCUUUUCCCUUACUCUAGCUAGUUUAUAGAUAUCCAACUCUCCUUCUUUGGUAUCUAGUCGCUUAUACAUAUCGUCAUAAGCCGCUAACUUAGCUUCUCUCACAGCUUUCUUCGCCUCUUGCUUCGCAUUUCUAUACCUUUCACCAUUUUCAUCGGUCCUAUCCUUGUAUAAGGUUUUACAACAUUCCUUCUUAGCCUUCACCUUUGCUUGUACCUCCUCAUUCCACCACCAAGAUUCCUUUUGGUGUGGGGCAAAGCCCUUGGACUCUCCUAAUACCUCUUUUGCUACUUUUCGGAUACAACUAGCCAUGGAAUCCCACAUUUGAUUAACUUCCCCCUCUCUAUCCCACACACACUGGGUGAUUACUUUCUCUUUGAAAAUGGCUUAUUUUUCUUCUUUUAGAUUCCACCAUCUAGUCCUUGGGCACUUCCAAGUCUUGUUCUUUUUUCUCACUCUUUUGAUAUGUACAUCCAUCACCAACAAGCGAUGUUGAUUAGCCACGCUCUCUCCUGGUAUAACUUUGCAAUCUUUACAAGUUAUACGAUCCCCUUUCCUCAUUAGAAGAAAAUAUAUUUGUGUUUUUGACGACCCACUCUUGUAGGUGAUCACAUGUUCUUCUCUCUUCUUAAAGAAGGUGUUGGCUAAGAAGAGAUCAUAUGCCAUUGCAAAAUCCAAGAUAGCUUCCCCAUCCUCGUUUCUCUCCCCAAAACCAUGGCCACCAUGAAAACCUCCAUAGUUGCCUGUCUCCCUGCCCACGUGUCCAUUUAAAUCUCCUCCUAUAAAUAACUUCUCCGUCUGAGCAAUUCCUUGCACCAAGUCUCCAAGGUCUUCCCAAAAUUUCUCCUUCGAACUCGUAUCCAACCCUACUUGAGGUGCGUACGCACUAAUCACAUUGAUAAGUUAUUGUCCUAUUACAAUCUUGAUUGCCAUGAUUCUAUCUCCUACCCUCUUGACAUCUACAACAUCUUGUGUCAAGGUCUUGUCCACGAUGAUGCCAACACCGUUUCUCGUUCUAUUUGUGCCCGAAUACCAUAGUUUAAACCCUGAGUUUCUAGAUAUAUAUAUAUAUAUAUAUAUAUAUCAAAUGGCCCCUAAAUGCUAUUAAAAAUCUCAAAAAUUAACAGGAAACUAAAACAAAUUAGAAUUUAUUCAUGGUUUCGCAAUUCCCAGCCGGGUAAACUGGUGGCCGUUGUAAGAGAGGGCCUCCAGCCGGAUAAACAUUUUCGAGUUAUAUGAUAUUUGUAUAGCAAAAAUACUUUAAUAGCAAGUGCGCGUGAGUGAAGAAAUUGAACUUACUUAUAUUCUUUCGAAUCCCAACCGGAAAAAUUGCAGGCUCUGGGAAGAGCGGACCUCCAGCUCUGCACCUCCUUCACGUCAACGUUAGAACGACCUUCAUGUUUAGCAAAAGCUUCUGCAAAACUUCCCUCGAGUUUACGAAUAUUGGACGGAUCGACUUGGUAGAAAAUGGGGAAUACAAUCUGGUUCUUGGAAUGGUUGCAUUCCAAGAUUUCCACGAGUUCUUUCAAGCACCAUGUGGAUGAAGCAUAGUUUUCAGAGAAAACUACAAUCGAAAUCCUUGACUCUCGAAUCGCUGUCAGGAGCUCGGAAAGGCGGUCGCCUUUUCUGAGGUCUUCGGCAUCAAUGAACGUGUUGAUUGGUUUCUGACGCAGAGCUUUGUAGAGAUGGCUGACGAAGCCCGUGCGAGUGUCUUCCCCUCUAAAAUUGAUGAACACAUCGUAUUCCCAACCAAGGCAAGAAGAAGAAGAAGAAGCAGCAAUUAAUCGAUCGCACCUGGGCAGCGAUGAUCGAGCAGCUUAAGACUAAGAGAAUUGUAAGUACAGAAACACUCAAUAGAUCUACAAAUUGGAUCACCAGAAAUUAGUCAAUGAGUCAAUGCAAAAGGGAAAAGGGCAAUUAUGCUUUUUGCGUUUUCACAUCUUCUUCAGGAAAUUUCGGUGUGAAAGGAAUCCGCAUACUUUUGAUUUUUCAACCCAAGAAAAUGCGAAGAAAGGGGACAAAGUAGUAAAUUUAAUCUACAGUUGCCUACCCAACAACCUCUUGAUUUAAUAUAUAUUUAAUUAGGAAAAGUAGUUUAGAGGAAGGAUGGUAUCUCCUUUUCUUCUCUCUCGAUCAGUCAAUCUUCCCGCGUGCGAUUUAAUCAUGAUUAAAGCUAAGCUUAAUCUUAGAUCGUAUUAUUUAGGUCUAAUUGGAUUCUUAAUUCUUGUUGUGAUAUAGUAGUUGGAAGAUUAAAAAAAAUUAUGAUUUAAAUGUUUGUGGUGAAGUCUGUUACGAUUUAGUUUCAAACUUGAAAAUUUCGUUAACUCCGUUAAUUAUUAGCACAUGAGACUCACAAAUGAAACUAAAAAUAUAAAGUUAGCCUCACAUGUAAUCUUCACGUGCUAACAAUUAAAAGAGAGUUCCGUUUUAGCUUAAUAUAUGUGACUCACGUGUUAAUAAUUAACGGAAUAUUAACAAAAAUUUUAAUUUUAAGCAUAAAUUCAAAUAAACUUCACCACAUAAGCUUAAAUUCUAAUUUAGAUAUCUUCUAACUAUCUUAUCACCAUAAAAAUUAUAAUCAAAUUAAACUUAUUAUUUAUUUAUAAAUGCGUAAUUAAAUCACAAAGUGUUGAAUGAAAGGGAGCACUCCAAAUGAUGAAAGAUGUGUGAUAUCCACACAUCUUUUUUUUUACUUUUUACACAUCGUUUUAAUUUUCGACUGUCGGAUCGAAUUAAUUGAAGAAAAUCAAAGGAUAAAAAUCAACAAAGGGUGUGCAAGAAGUAAAAAUGAGUGUGUGGAUAGUCAUCCCAUGAAAAGCGGGAGCAUCGAAAGCUAUCUCCGUUUCUUGUUGUCUAUUUGUCUUCUUUUGGCAGAUAGCUCCUAGGGACCGGCCUAUUUUCCACAGCUGGUUAUAGGACUCAGUUACUAUAGAAGGAGUGUUUUGUUGUAAUUCAAUAUCGAUGGAAAUCCAACAUAAUCUUUUUCAAAUUUUUGUGAGGAUUUUGGGGUGUACGUAAAUUGAUUAUGUUCAUCGUAUAUUAUGUGACCAUUUUUUAUCAAAUACUAUUUGUGUUUCAUUUUAAAUAAAAUAAUUUAAAAUAAUUUUUAACUGCAAGAUGUACAAUGAACGGAUAUAAUUCACAAAUCUCCAAAAUCCUUACAAAAAAAUCCGAAAAAGAUCCAAAUUCAAUGGAAAUAAGCUAAUUUUGAAUCAAAUUACAUUACUUUAUUUUGUAAAUAAAUUAAUUUUGAAUCGAACAACAUUCAUUUAUUAUGUAAGUAAUUCAUUUUGUAUGUAUCAUCAUAUAUAUUAGGCACAUUUUAUCAUAGGUGAUUUUGUGAAAAAUUAAUAAAAAGUUACAAUAUUAACAAUAGAUCAAUAAUAUUUAUGUUAAUUAUAAAUAGGUUAACCAUAUGUUGUGAUACUUAAAUACAUUUAAAAUAAAUAAAAAUUACAAAAUCUGACAUCCACUGCGACGUAGGAGCCACGGUGCAGCCCAAACUUUGCAGAUAAGAAAUCUGGUAAUUCACAGCAUGACAAACAAAUUACUGGGUCUCCUGACCAUCGUUGAUGCCAAUGUGUGCACAAGGAAAGGAGUAAGGUAAUCAAAUGCGUUAGUCUUGUGUACCUGUUUCGGUGUUGGUUUGGAUGAACCCAUUGAGUUCUCGAUCCUUAACUUCUGGAAAUGCUCCUGAAAGCAUAAAUAUAUGUACGGAUUUAAACCAAUGACAAAUGGACAUAAUUUACGGACAAUGAUUGAAGAAAAUACAGAUAUAAACGCCUCAGUAUUCCAUUGACGAAAGUUCUAGAUUUGAUGAAUCAAAAGUCCCACGUUGAGACUGCGUUAAGGCAAAUGGUUCUCAAAACCUGUUUUUCCCUCAUCAAAUGAGCGCGUUGAUCUGCAGGUAUUUUCUGCCAUCUCAAAACCUGUUACAAAGAAAUAUAACGUUGAUGUCGAGCUGGAUAGCAUAUUAUACCAAUUAUGUGUACAAACCUAUUGAAAUAAAGUAGCUGUAGUUGCAUAUUACGACAGAUAUUAACGAAAACAAAAGAAGGCUCGCCUAUUCAAGAUCCUAAAUCCCGUGAUUCUUUUGUUUUUAGUUUCAGAAAUUUUCAGAGCAAACUGGAAAGUACCAAGAUACUUACAUAUUGGGCAUAAUGAAAUGCAUCUUCAUCUUUCAAGCAAGAUUUGAGUGAGCGCAAACCGUCCUGAGAGUUACAUAAGUCAAUCAGUAAUAUAAAAACGUAGACGCAUCACAUCCAAACACAAGUAUUCAAACACCAACAACUUCUUCAUGCGGUGAGGCAUGUUAAAAAAUAGGGAAGAACAGUUAUUGAAUAGGAAGUUAAAGGACUAAAUUUAUGACCUUGUGUUUGUAGUUCUUGGCUCGUAUGCGUUCAUCUAUUACAAAACCAAUCUGUAACAGGUACAACAGAAAAUAUAAGCAGUAGUCAGAACAUUAAUCUUCGGCAUUCACAUUGCCACCAAUCCAAAGUUAAAAGUCUGAAGGCAAAACAGUAUGAUUCUUAUCUCUCAAACAAAAAUGAAACUAUACCCCGGUCUCAGACAUAAAUGAAAUAAGUUCUACUGCCUCAACUGAGUACUGUGAUUAUAUAUAAAUCCAAUUCACCUUGUCAAGUAAUCUCUUAGGAUCUUGAAAUGCUUCCUUCUUAGCCCAGUCAUUAAAUACAUGCGAGAAAAUUGAUCUCUCAUCCACACUGAAUCUAUUGCACAGUGACAGAAGAAUAAAGUUAAACAUGAACAUAACCAACCAAAAUGCUAGUUAUAAUAGUACACCCAUAAUUGCAAGCAAAACCUUUUUAAGAAGCCAUUUCCAUGGUUUUCCUCCCAAAUUCCAUCAAUUCUGCAGAGGCAACGUCAAAUUUACUAUGAUGGAGAUCAUUUUGCACUGUAAUAACUUCAGAAGGUAGGAGAUUUGGUUUCAGAUCAUCUGUUGACGGAGUAGUUUCUUUUGAAGUGUCAUGAUGCUUUUGAUUGCAAGCCUUCUGUACUUACGUCAGCCUACAAAACAAAAAUUGCAUUCAUCCACACUAGACUUAAUAAGAUUAGAAACACUUCAGAUUCUUCAUUAUUUGUAUUUUUGACUAAACAGCAGAACAACUGAGGAUAAUGAACAGUAAUACACACCUGGACUUCUCGUAGAUGAUUUGGAAUUUCUUUCAGAAAUCGCGAAGGUUGAAGCAUCUGAAGGAGUCACCUUCUCAGUCAGAGCAACAACAACAAAUAAGGAGGACAGGAAUUCAAGCUAAAACGAACCUGCCAACUGGAAUCCAUCGUAACAUAAAGAAUGAAAAGCUUUUUUCGAGCACGAGUCAUUGCAACAUAUAAUAGGCGUCUCUCCUCCUAUGAUUAGAGUGGGAUUAUUGAGUUAUUGACCAAAAGAAAAAAGAGUGGGAUUAUUGUGAAAAACAUGUCAAAGCUCUGCAUAUAACUGAAAAAUGUUGAACAAUUUACCACACACCUCAAUGGAGGUCCCAUUUUCUUUUGCAACCCCAUUGAAUUCAUGCAACAACGGGAUCUCAGAUUCAUUUACCUGUGUUAUUGGCAUGAGCAUUAAAGCAAGCUAAGAUGAUUUGAAGAGGUUGAUAUCGUCAUGAAUAUAGUAGAACAGAAUACCAAUUUCAAGCCAUCAAUUAGGUAUAGCAUUGGCAUGUUUAAUCCGUAAAUCUAAUGACAGAACACCUCAACUCUACACAUAAAUAAAUAAACAACCUGAAAAAUAUUACAGCCACAUGUUAAGGCAAAUACCUUAAUUAUGAAAACUAUAUCCCACUCUAAACCUUUUGACUGCAAGAGAAUGAAAAAGAAAGACAGUAAGCCAAGAAUGUUUUGUAGAACUCCAAAGGAAGUCCAAUAGGGAAAUCAUCGCAAGUAUAAGAGUUAGCGAGGUUCGCAUAAGAGGAUAUCAAAAAGAUCUAGAACCUGAUGAAUAGUAGUCAAAGUGACAGAACUUUGGUUGUCAUGUCUUCGGGAGUGAAAAUUUUCACUCUCCUGCUCAGAUAUGUAGUCGAUGAAAGCUUUGAGUAAAUUAACGCAGCCUUUUUCUUCUGCUACGACUUCUCUCUCCCCUUUUCCCGCAACAAAAUGAGUUGAUAAGAAAUCAGAUACGUCGUCUAGUAGGUACUGAAGAACCUGCAAUGAGAAUAAUCGCAUCACAGCAACAGGGUUGGACCAAGAUUUAAGUGACAACAAUGAUUAACUAACUAAAAUAGAGAAAUUAUUCAUUUAAGACCUUGUUGACGGAAAAAAGGGUUUUCCAAGCAGCGGGUCAUUUAAGCUUAUUGUAUAAAUGACAAUCAUCACAAACGGCAAACUUACAGAUCUCACGUCAUUGUCUUCAUUCAGCAGUUUUCCUCCAUCUACAUCAACGACUGCACGUUGCUCAAGACGGUACUUCUAAAAAUUGAAAGUCAACAACAACAACAACAACAACAACAAAGCCUUUUCCCACUAAGUGGGGUCGGCUAUAUGAAUCCUAGAACGCCAUUGCGCUCGGUUUUGUGUCAUGUCCUCCGUUAGAUCCAAGUACUCUAAGUCUUUUCUUAGAGUCUCUUCCAAAGUUGUCCUAGGUCUUCCUCUACCCCUUCGGCCCUGAACCUCUGUCCCGUAGUCACAUCUUCGAACCGGAGCGUUAGUCGGCCUUCUUUGCACAUGUUCAAAAUCACCGGAGCCGAUUUUCUCUCAUAUUUCCUACAAUUUCGGCUACUCCUACUUUACCUCGGAUAUCCUCAUUCCCAAUCUUAUCCUUUCUCGUGUGCCCACACAUCCCACGAAGCAUCCUCAUCUCCGCUACACCCAUUUUGUGUACGUGUUGAUGCUUCACCACCCAACAUUCUGUGCCAUACAACAUCGCUAGCCUUAUUGCCGUCCUAUAAAAUUUUCCCUUGAGCUUCAGUGGCCUACGACGGUCACACAACACGCCGGAUGCACUCUUUCCAUCCAGCUCGUAUUCUAUGGUUGAGAUCUCCAUCUAAUUCUCCGUUCUCUUGCAAGAUAGAUCCUAGGUAGCGAAAACGAUCGCUUUUUGUGAUCUUCGCUAGAUUUCUCCGGUCAUUAGUGUGGAUAAGUAUAUAAAUGGAUAGAGAUAGGAAAGCAAACACAAGAUGUACGUGGUUCACCCAGAUUGGCUACGUCCACGGAAUAGAAGAGUUCUCAUUAAUUGUGAAGGGUUUACACAAGUACAUAGGUUCAAGCUUUCAUUUAGUGAGUACAAGUGAAUGAUUUUAGUACAAAUGACAUUAGGAAAUAUUGUGGGAGAAUGAUCUCGUAAUCACGAAACUUCUAAGUAUCGGAGUGUGGUGUCGUCUUGACUUGCCUUAUCUGUCUCAUAGGUAGAUGUGGCAUCUUCUCUGGAAGUACUCUUCCUCAAACGAUAAAUUAUUAAGAAGCAUUGAAUAUAAGCAUGAAACGAAGAAAAUGUUAUGGAAUGGUGAUCCUCAUCCUCAAAGAUGAUUAAAAGCAAUUUGAUUCAAAAAUGACAUAUCAACUCUGGAGAAAUGGAAGACAAACCUGUGGUACCAUAUUCGCAACUGAGGUUAUGACAGCUGAAAUCGAUUGUUCCUGUGUGCAUUGAUAAGUGAGACUACCAUAGAGAUUCACAACUAAAUAAAGACAGGUAUUCCACAGAACAACCUUUACCUCUUUGGAAACACAGAUCUAACAAAAACUAUAACAUUUUGGAUUAAUAUUGACAAAUCAAGAAUAAUGCAAGGGAGCAAGAGAUACUCUUCCUUCUAAUAACAAGGAGGCGUGAAAAGUAUACAGAGUUCCAACAAUUAGAGAACUAAAAUCAAACUAAAAAAAUCACCAAAGUAGACAGAAUCUCACUUCGCCAAAAAUUUGAAAAUAUACCUUUUUAUCCAUUGAGAUUCAUGAACUACUACUACUACAUCAUGCCAAUAAGCAAUGCGUAAGAGGAGCUACAAUUUACCGAAUAUAUUUACCCUGAGAACAAGUUUUGAAAUCAUCUCUAGUGUUAACAGCACCUUGCGUCCUUGGGUAAGCUGAGUCCUAUUAUCAAGUAAAGAGACCAAUCAGUACAUAUCCAAAAGAUCUUAAAUGCUUGUAAUACCAAAUAAGAAAGAAACAUGAGUAUAUCUUGAAUUAACCAUGCAAAAAUGUAAUGUUAAAGCAUCUUGUCAUACAGACCUCUUCAAGGUACCAGAAAUUUUUGCACUAAAGAUGUCACAAGCAGCUGAUAUGAAGCUGCAUUUUCUGUGAGUUGAAAUUUUGUCAAUAUAAUCGAUCACCUGAAGAGAGAGAGAGAGAAAAAGACAGUGAUAUCCAGAGAUGUGAGCCUAAAUGCUGAGUGUGUAAAAAAAGAAGAUUAAAUGGAUAGCAAGAAUAUACAACUUUAAUGCUGAAAAGAACAUUGAAUAUGAUGCUCAUUCAUCAUUCCCAUUGAACGUGUACCUUCUUCUUUUCCUCUUUCUCAAAAGCAAGUAGAGCCUUGAAGACUUGCCUAUAUGAUCCAUCAUCACAACCAGGCAAAGUUGUUUUAAUCAUAGCAACAAUGGCUCUAACUACCUGCCAUAAGAAACAUGCUACAUCAACAAGAUCACAGAGUGUACCAGAAACCGUAAUGUAGCAAAAUCUUGGAUAAAAUAGCUGGCCAAAAGGGAAUGGAAAAGCAAGCAUGAAAAACAAUGAAAAGGACCAGUGAUGCCAAAAUUCUGGUGGAAAAGGUGAAAAGCUUCUGUCUAUUACAGUUCUUGUAUGCAUUCUUUAUAACUUAAGUUCUACGUAGCAAAAACCACCUUAUGCACAACAAUAUUGGAAAAAUUAGAUACAUACAACUGAGAAGAUAGGUUUUCAUAAUCUGGACAAGUGCUAACUACUUUCUUCCUAUAAACUGCCACUCCAUGAACAUUAAAUGGUAUUUUCCUUUCACGCAAGGCUGUCUGGAAGACUUUUCCUGAUACCUGUAGCAUAAAAUACAAAAGAAAAUGUGACCAAAAUGUCUUAUAUGAUUCACCUCAUUCACAUUAGCACUAAGGCAAGUAAGCUUGACCUGCCUCCGGUAAAGGAUUGCUAUAUUUCCAUAGGAGCACCCUGCUUCUGACCGUUUAGAUGCAGUCUCCAGGAUCUUGUCGACAACAAAGGCGCAUUGUGCAUCCUCAUUGUGACUUUCCUUGAUAAUUACCUACAUUUUGCCAGUAAAACCAGUGUCACUAACUAUAAGGACUGAAAAAUGACAUCAAAUUGUACUUGUUGGAGCAAGGAAAGAUUAAGUACCUUAGACCCAGAAGAAUUGUCCAUGUCAACAUUCUUUAGUUGGCAUUGCUUCUUAUUGUUUUUUAUAACAGAAGUUGCAGCUUCCACAAUAUAGCGUGUGGACCGAAAGUUUUUAUUAAGCCUAAUCUGAACCAUAAAGUUAUGUCAAAUCCCACAGAACCUCGUAAAAUAAAACUUACUUUCCUGUAAUUGUACAAUAUAUUUUUUCUGUACUAUAUAUAAUGAAAAAAGACACUGAAUGACAUAAGAUAACAUAGCAGUCAAGUGCGAAGCGAACCUCUUUGUAAUUUGAAAAAUCUUUACGAAAAGAAUCAAAUCCAGAAAUGUCCGCCCCAUUGAAACUGAAAAUGGACUGCAGCAGGAUAUAUGUUAUUUGAUUUAAAACAGAUAAGGGCUGGAUUAGAAUGAGCUGAGAGAGAGAGAGAGAGAGGGAGAGAGGGAGAGAGGGAGAGAGGGAGAGAGGGAGCAAUAACAUUGGAUUUCCAUAACAAAUCAACAACAUGCCUGAUCAUCAUCACCAACAAUGGUUAUGUGGUUAUGAGAGGCGAGAAUCCGCAAAAGACUAUAUUGCAUAGCACUUGUGUCUUGAAACUCGUCUAUUACAGUAGCUUUCCAUGACUCCUGGCACUCCUUCAACACUAAUUAAGAGAACACCAUGUAUCAACAUUUAGCAUUACUUGUAAAACUAGAUAAAUCAAUGAAAUAUACUUAGAUGAUAGAGACCUUCAGGAAAAUCACUUAGCAGCUUCACAGAGCAGCUAAUUAAGUCGUGGUAGUCCAAAGCAUUGCACGAUUUCAAGAUAUCAUUGUAAUUCCUAAGAAUUUCACCCUGAUUCAGAUUGAGAGCUAAAACUCAUAAGCAAUAGUUUCAAAGAACUGAAAUGAUAUCUGAAAUUCUAGUUCUGAGCGUACUCCUGUCACAUCACCCAUUCUUCGGCAUUCAGCCGGAGUCUUUCCAGAAGCCUUUGCCUGAAACAUAAAUAAAUUUAUUGCCUAAUGCCACAUAUUGUAAGACACACCAUUGUAUUGGUCAUUCUAGCUUGAUUGUAGCUAAUAUUUUUUAAAUCGAAUGAUUAGAGUUCUUAAUCCACAAUAAUCUGAACAUUAAAUUUGGUAUUCAAGACUAACCUGUGUCACCAACUACAGCCAUUUCCUUGAUGCAUCCUUAAAAUGAUGUGGAGAUGUUACGCCGUUAGACUCUUCCCCAUCUAUAGCAACAUUAAGAUUCGUUUACUCUUUUCAUCUUCUGAUAACCGCACAGCUUCAAUGAUUGCUCUUCUCUGUUGCCCAUGUCCAUAUAUCAAAAAUUCUGGUCUGCGCUCGAGUCUAAAACACAAGCCAACAUAACAGACUCAGCUAUACCACCAAAUGUAUGGUGUUCAAAAUCAAGGGAGGUGAAUCAAUAGCUUACUUCUCAGCAUGUGAUCGGCAAAGUUGCAAUGAAAAUGAAUGAAAUGUACUGAUUGUUAGUAGUUUUGCCGUUGCUUUCCCAGUCACAGAUCCAAUUCGAUCUCUCAUCUCGGAAGCUGCUGCUGUAGUGAAAGUCAUUGCUAGAAUGUUCGACGUGCUAAUGCCCUAAGAACACAAAAAAAAAAAAAAAAACGUAUAAGAUUUCGAUCAUAAACAAGAAAUGUAGAGAAACACACAAUUACGAAAGAAAAAGUUAGAGGGAAAGUAGCAACACCUCAUUGAGCAGCAUUAGAACGCGCCCAACUAUCGUUGAAGUCUUUCCACUUCCAGGGCCGGCAACAAUCAUCAAAGGUACUGAAAUAUCGCUGCAAGCUGCCUCGCGCUGCCUUUCGUUGAGAGAAAGCAAAUACUUCAAUACUCAUCCGGCAUGUUAGGCAAUCCAUGGUUAACAGAAUCUUUUUGGUUUUCACUACUCAAAGGUGGCGCUGAUGCGGCACUAACGUCACUACCACAACUCCCAAUAUCAUCACGCUGAAUGUCCACACUCGGUUUCUGCUCGAUUAAAGCGUCAAUUUCCUGCAAAAUACUCUCGUCGAAAUCAUCAUCGUUAAGAAUUCCAGAUGCAGAGAAAGAAUCAAAUGAAGUCAGAAACUGCGGUUGUCUGAUUGGAGUUGUGAAAGAAUCCGAUUUUGACACGCUUGAUUCGGUCCGGCUAACGCUUAAGCUCCCGGAACACGAAGCACUGCCAUAUUCACCACGCGUUGAAUUGUACCGGCUUGCGGAAAUCGGAGGCGGUGUUCUUUGAACUCUAUUGAGCUGAGUUGGCGUUUGGAUUCCAUUUCCGCCACAGAUUCUGGAAUUUGAAAAACACAAUUGAAUUGAUUUAAAUUGAAGCAAGAAAACAGCCGAGUAGCAAAAAAAUAGUAAGAAGAUGAAACCUUUGAUUCCUGAACGACUUACUUGGUAUGAGGGAGGUGAUGAUCAGGUGAAACGGCGUCGUUGCGGGGGCGUUUGCGAUCAAUGAGGGCCUUGGCGGCUCUGAAAUUCCGAGAGAUGCGGUUUCUUUGUUCCGCCGUGAGCCCUCCGCCGUACGCCUGAACGUUUUCCUUGGACAUUGCUUCGAAGAUUCCAACGGAGGAUUUGGCCUGACGGCCUGACCAGGCUGAUAACAGUGUAAAACCUUAGGAGCUAAGGAAAACUAAGAGAUAGAUCGUAGAGAGGGAAAGUUUUUUCUUUUUGGAAACUAGUAGGGAGGGAAAGUUUGUUAAACCUGAAUAAUAUUCUUUUCAUUCAACUUGUCUACAAUAAUUACCACUCUUGGUAUUUAUACAUUUCUAACACACCUCACUAACUAACUAAGACCACUACCAAUCAUACAAAAAUAAUUGUCCUUUGAUGAACUCUUUCACGAACAAAGUGGCAAUCAAUCUCUACAUGUUUGGCUUUAGAGUGCAAUACAGGUUUAGUGGCAAGAGCCAUUGCUUAAAUGUUAUCACAAUGCAAAACUGGAACAGAAGGAGAACCAACAUGCAAAUCUCGAAGAAGAUGUUGUAUCCAGAUAACCUUAGCAGUGGUUGUAGCCAUUGCUCUAUAUUCAGCUUCAGUGGAAGACCCACUCACUGUAUGCUGCUUUUUAGAACUCAAAGAGAUAGGAGUGACAAAACCCAUGGUUGAACGACGAUCAUUGUGAUCCCCUGCCCAAUCAGCAUAUGUAUGAGCUUUCAACUAAGAUGAACCUGAUUUAAAACACAAUCCCAGAGACAUAGUGCCUCUGAGAUAUCGCAGAAUACGUUUCACAGCAGCAAAUGAGUGGCUAAUGGUGAAUGCAUAAACUGACAUACUUGAUUGACGGAAAAAGAAAUAUCUGGUCUUGUAAAUGUUACGUAUUGUAGUGCCCCAACAAUACUUUUGUAAGUGGUAGGAUCAGAAACAGGUUCACUACCAUGAUUCAGAAGCUUUUGAUUAGGAUGACAAGGUGUGGAAAAAGGUUUACAGUCCAGCAUAUGCAUCUUUUGAAUGAGUUCUUUGACACACUUGGUCUGAUGAACAAAGAGUCCCUGUUCUUGAUAUUCAAUCUGUAAACCAAGAAAAUAAUGCAACACACCCAGAUCUUUCAUGUCAAACUCACUAGUUAACUGACUAAUAACAUUCUGAACCUUCACAGCAUCAUUACUAGUGGGAAUGAUAUUAUCAACAUGUAAUAAGAGAACAAUAAUUGAUGAACCAUCACACUUGACAAAUAAAGAAGGAUCUGCAUAUGAUGACUUGAACCCAAGCUUAGGCAAAUAACCUGAAAACCUGUCAUGUUAGGCUCUGGGAGCUUGCUUGAGUCCAUAUAAAGACCUCUCUAGUUUGCACACAUAAUCCGGAUAGGUAGAAUCCACAAACCCUUGGGGCUGAGACAUAAAAACUUCUUCCUCAAGAAAGCCAUGCAAAAAAGCGUUCUUGACAUCUAACUGUUUGAGUUUCCAAUUAUGAGAUGCAGCCAAGGAUAGAACCAAUCGAACUAUGUUUGGUUUGACCACAGGGCUAAAGGUUUCAUAAUAGUUAAUACCAACUUCUUAAGAAUACCCCUUAGCUACAAGUCUAGCCUUGUACCUAGCCACUAAACCAUCUGGAUUUCUCUUAAUCUUGUAGAUCCAUUUACAACUAACAAGAUUUUUGUCAGGUGGUAAGGGCACAAGCCUCCAAGUAUGAUGUUGAAUCAAAGCAUCCAUCUAUUCUUUCAUGGCAUUUUGCCAUUAAACACACUUGACAAUACUAGAAAAAGACUGAGGUUCCUUGAUUUCAGAAGCCUGAUCCACCUUAGCAGAAAACACCUUCUUUUUCAUAAUCCUAGACUUAGACCGGGUUUGCAUGGGAUGACAAUUUUGAGCAUUGAUACACACUGGUUGGAGAUCAUCCACUUGAGACAUUGUAGUAUUUGGAUGAUCUUUUGAAUACACAGUAGGCAAAACCUCUGAAGAAGGCACAAAACUUGUGGAAGAAGAGACAAGAUCACCAGAACUAGUGGGUUGAGAGGAUGAUGACUGAGUAACAUGUUGUGAUUUAGAGGUAAGAGAAGUGGGACCAAUAAAUGGAAAUGUGGAAGAAACACUAGGUGGAUGAAUGAAUGUGUUUGAAUGCACAACAGACAUUGGUGAGGAAGAAUGACCAGAAGUAACUUGAGGAUUGAAACCCAAAGCAUUAGAGUCUGUAGGAAACUUGGAUUCAUCAAAAAUAACAUGUCUAGAUACUAACAGUUUCUGAUCUUUGAGAGAUAAGCAAAUAUACCCUUUGUAUUGUGUAGCAUACCCCAGAAAAAUACACUUAGUAGUUUUAGGUUCAAGUUUAUUGCUUCUAUAGGGUUUCAAUGAAUGAUAGCAUAAACAACAAAAAAUUCUCAAAUGAUCAAGCUUAGGUGGAGAUUUAUAUAGCAUUUCAAAAGGAGACUACAUAUGUAGGGUAGGUGUGGGCAUUCUGUUUAUAAGAAAAGUAGCAGUGGCACACGAAUGGAACUAGAAUUUUGAAGGUUGAAACUUGUUGUAAAAAGGUAAUAGCUGUUUCGACAAUAUGUUGAUUUUUUCUCUCAGCCAACCCAUUAUGUUAUGGGGUAUAAGGACAAGAUUUUUGAUGAACAAUGCCUUUGGUAAGAAGAAAUUGCUUAAACUGAGUAUUAACAUAUUCCCCACCCCCAUCACUUUGCAAAAUUUUUACAUAAGCAUCAAAAUAAUUCGAGACAAAAGCAAGAAAGUUGACAAAACAGUGAGGGACCCCAAACAUCUAUGUGAAUUACUUCAAAUGGAGUAAGUGACUUCGAAGCAAUUACAGGAAAAAUGGAGCUUGGUAAAAUUUGCCUUGCAAACAAGCUUUACAAGUAUGAGAUUGAGAGUUACAAGGAAAAGAUAUACAAGACUUAUUAAGUGCUGCAGUGACAAUGGAAUGUGCAGGAUGGCCUAAUCGACAAUGCCACAAUGUAGAAUACAUCUUUUGACCCACAAAUGCAAUUGGAUUAAAAACAGGAGAAAUAGACCUAUGUGGUUUGAUUAUGGGAAGUGGAUAGACAACAUUAUUACUCAGCCCUUGGAAUAGCACUUUCCCGGUGACCUUGUCUUGUAGAUAGAGAGAAACAUCAUCAAUGAUACAAUGACACUGAUUAUCUUUGCACAACUGAUUCAUAGAUAAUAAGUGUUGUGACAGUUUUGGAACAUGUAACACAAAGUUUAACUUGAAAUUAUGUGACUUAGUGAGAAGAGAAGAGGAACCAAUAUGUUUGAUAGCUAAACCUUCACCACUAGCACUGGUCACAGUAUCAUUUGAUGGAUAAAUUUGUUGCCAUGUGCAAGUUUGACAAAUCUGAGGUCAUAUGGUUAGUUGCUCCCAAGUCAAGAAACCAUAAAUCUUGUUGAAGAGUUGAGGAUGAUGCACCAGCUCGUGCUUGUAUAGCAAGAGGAGGAUUUUGUGAGGAUAUAGUUGAGAGAUACAUAUGUGGUAUGACAUGAUACUGAAACUGGGAGCUAUUAGACCGUGGAAUCAUGCCUUGUGAAGGACCACAUGGAUUCUAGCUAGGUGCUUCGCCAUAUGACCCAGCAGGCAUUGGAGUUGGCAUAGAUGAGGAUAAACCCUGAGAGAAAUGCUUUGAUGUGCCUGUGAAAUUCUUAUUUCGAUCAAAGCAAGUAGCAGCAACAUGGCAAUUUCUGUGACAAAUUUGACAUCCAUGUUGAAAACAAUUCAAUGCAAAAUAAACUUUGCGAUCACAUAUUUGCAGAAAGGCCUUUGCAACCCUAGAAAGAAGAAGGAGCAAAGAAGACCAAAUGUGUACGUUUCUCUUUGGUUUUUUUUCCCUCUUAAUCACGCUGUUCGAAAUCACGGACCUCGGGCCUGGGCCUAGUGGGCCCAAUUAUGAGGCCCAUUAUCUCCGGUCUUCUCGUUCUACUUCUAGUUACCCAAAUUAAGAACGUACUGGUUCGCUUUUAGCGCGAGAGAGAAAUGGAGGCCCUGAUUGCCUCGUACGGAGACUCGUCGUCGGGCUCAGACUCCGAGUCGCCGGCUCCACCUCCAUCACCACCUCCGGAGCUCAACAACCCUCAAGAACCGACCCCUGCGCUGCCUCCACCUCCUCUGUCACUUCUCGACAACCCCAAUUCCUUCGGUAACCUCUGAUUCCCAUCAAUUUUCAUCUUUUAGCUUUCUGUUGUGAUGGCUUUUUCCGAGUUGCCCACCAAGUAUUUGAUGUUUUGCCUCUGAAGGAUUUCUGGACUUCUCGGCAAGCGCCCAGCCGAGCAGAGUUCGGAACUUUCCUCACGUCGAAGGGAACUACGCAGUACAUGUAUACAUCCCAGGUUAUCAAAAUUCUCGAAAUUUUCAGCUCCAUUAGCAAAUGCGAUCGCUUUGCACUUAGUUUUUGCUUGUUUAAUUCUGUGGUCAGUUUAUAUACCACCAGCACCAAGGAAAGAGAUGGCCUUGUUUUUGAACAAGCUAGCUUCUCUGGUGCCUGGUCUCCAUGCGGUUGACGUUGACUUCCUGCUUGACAUUCUGCGUAAGGACGAGCACAAGCUUGAACAAGUUGCUUUAGGCAGAGAGUUCCAUAUAAGUCUCGGAAGAACUGUUCCGAUUCGGGUGCACCAGAUUGAUUCCUUGGUGACAAUGCUGCGGCAGAAGCUUCAGAUUCAGAGGCGGUAUGGUUACAUUUACAUUCUCUUGUCUGCAUUGCGUGAAUUUAGUUCUGUUAUUUAACAUAAUUCUGUAAGCCUGCAAAUUUUUCGUCCAUUUUCAGUUUAACACAUUUUGUUAUUGUGAAACAAGUAUUGGAUUGAUUUUAGCAAGUGGUAGGUUUUUGUUAAUGAUGAUCAGACCCGGACCUUUGUGUCUAUCGAAAUCAUUGCUGCUGGGUUAGCUGAGGUAUGAUUGCUAGCUUUCUCUCUUGGUGCAAUUCUAAAUGUUUUCAGUUGUUAUAUGGGCUUAAGAUUUAGCAAGGACUUGCCGAAAGUCAUGGGAUUUUGAAAUAUCGAGAUCUUGCUUGCUUAUUAGCUUAGAUUUGGUCUUCGAUGCACUUGUAACAUGAAAAACACAAACGAAAACUAAUGCAUGAUAUGCUCAUGGUUUUAACAUGUGUUGUCCUGGCGUAAAUCAUGUUCCUAAUCAUGUCAUGUGAGUAUAAGCCUAUGAAACUUAGGGCAUGUUUGGCGGGCUGGACAAGAUUGGAAUUGGUAUUUCAGACUAGUUAGGUUAGGAUUGAACUGGAUAGGAUAGGUUUUUUGUCUAAAGAUUGGUGUAGACUGUCUUAACCAGACUAGGAACGAUGGGAUUUAAAACGUGAAACAGAUCGGCGACAUCCCAACGAUGACCCGCCCACCCAACAACUCUGCUCGUGACUUGCAACACCUCUCGUACCCUCCACGCCCCUUGCGGCCCGUCAGACCACUCUGAUAUCCUGGAGGAGUGAAACGUGGUUACUAGAAGCAUACCUGUUUUCGUAUUAAUGCACGGUUGAAUCAGCUUUCAUUGUCUACAAGUCUGAAAUAUUUUAACUUCCAUUGAUUUCAGAUAACAAAGCAGAUUCAAGCUGUGAAUGAGGUGUAUAAGCUUCACAAUCAUCCUAAAUUUUACAAGGUUAGCUUUUUCGUCCUUUUCAAACUCGAAUCGCUUCCUGAAUAUAUGACAAUAUAUUGGAUCAAAUGAUUUCUCAAAAAACUAAUUCACUUGAUGGGGUCUUGGUGAUCACAGGAUCCACGCCCUCACAUCUCGGUAGCUUGGGCAUUGGGUGACAUCAGCAAUUCCCUGAACAAAGUGGUUGAAGAAGAAAGACGAAGAUCUACCAUCGGAGGAUCGUUACAGAAAUGUAUUUUUACCAGUAAAUUCAAUGGUAUCGAAUGUAGGAUUGGUAAUAAGACACACAAAAUAUGUAAAUUUUCUGAAGAAUAAUGUAGCCAUUUAACUGUAUUGUGAAAUUCCGAGAAUAUAUCACUGAGCAUUGGAUGAGAAGACAUUUCUUCGUUGGUGUCGAACUUCUUGUCGAAGGUAUUGGCACCAGUGUAAACGUCAUCAUCCAUGUUGAUGGUAAUUACUUCCCAGCUACUAAGGGUGUCGGAACAGCCUUGCACGCAGCCUCCUGUGCAUUACUUGGUAUUGUCUCAGAUUCUCCAAACUUGAAUGCUAAUGUAAACCCACUCUUGACCUUUCCGUCAUCUGCGAUUACCGGAAUGCCGGCUUGGAUGUUGCCGUUGACCUACCGAACUUAAAAUACCGACGAAAUGUUGGAGUACUUAAGUGUACUACUCGUUUUUGUAUGCGAGAGCUCCACCUCUAUCGUUGUAACAGCAUCUGAUGCGGACUAGUCCUUCAUUCCCGUUACUCUUUGCCAUCUCCACUUCGAACUUGGCGUGAUGGCUCCCGGCCUCCUCUCCGGUGAAAUUGAGUAACCCCGGAGCUGGCGUGCCAUCAAGAUUUCCGUCGUGUCUCUAUUUGCUGUUGUGGUUUGGUUUCACCACUAUAAACUUGGCAGAGUUGGCAUUUUCAUUCUGUUGUCUGUAUAUCUUGAUAUUACAAGUAUUUGUUGUGCAAAAUGCAUGCUAAGUUCAACUUAUGUUUAUAUGUGUGUGUGUGUGUGUUGCCACUUUUCCAACGUUUUCUCCAAAAUUGUGACGAGCAACAAAGCAGUUUUGAUUCCGUGCACAACAACGAUACCUCGAAAGAAAUUGAUUCUUCCCCAGAAAGAUGUUUUAAAACAAAGUUGAACAAGGGAAGAAAACUUUUGAAUCGCAAUCAGAUGUCUGGUCAAAUUCUUUAACAGUUGAUGUAUACAGAAGUUCCUUGCUUAUGACACGACUUAUGAGAGGAUGUAUGUAUUGCAUUUGCAUCAAAAGAAAGAAAGAAGGUUGUAAGUGGUAAGGGAACGACUACCGAUGCCGCUCCACUUCUAAUCAAAGGGAUCGAUCCGAGGGUCGUGUUCACUUGCCAUCGCCAUUCCAGUGCAAAGGCAUGUCGGGCACAUUACCUGCCACAUUUACAGACGCAAUGUUAGAUAUAGCUGCCAUUUGGAAGUCAUCUCUCAAAAUUUUGCUACUAAAUCAAUCUUAAACUUCAUUUCCAGUGCAAUUUUUUUCUUCUGAAUUGUCUUUCACAUGCCCGACAAAUAGAAGUAUCACCAAACAUGUGAAUAUAGAGCAUCUAAGCGGCAGGCACUAAAAGGAAUUUAGUAUGCAAUAAACAUUCAACGGACAUAAUUAUAUGUCUAACCUUUCCCGCUCCUGAGCAAUUUGAACAUCGUUCAGUUUUUGGCAGAGAUAGGGGUUGGUUUCCGCCAUCAGCUGUCGAUACUGGUUCAGUAAGAACAAGGGUUCCAGUGCUGGAGCAACGAGCACAAGCAAGAGAUCCUGCGUAAGUAUCAAAUACACAGGUAAGUUGACAUACGAAACCAAUCCGAACAUCUCCAUCGUAUAUAUUUAAAGCUACAGUACAUAAACUAAAAGUCAGAAAUAUAGGACAUUAUCACACCAGUUCCAAGACAAUAUUUGCAUCGUUUAUGCUCCUGCUGUUUCACAUUGUUUAUUUCAACUACCAUCAAUGCUGAGAUCACUCCGACUGCUCCUCCAGAGAAUGACGCCACUAUGGGAUCAACUUGACUGCAGUUUGAAAGUAAAGGAGAUCAAUAAACGAAACUGGUAACAACAUAGUAUCAACAUUAUUUAGCUUCGUUUCAAGAAAGAUGACAUCCUAGGUUUUUCUAAUGUGUAAAAAUUGAGGAUCCUCGUAAAAUUUGACCAUAUCGGUUCCCAAAGCAUUUGAUUCCUACGUUACAGACGGAAAACAGCAACAAUCGAAUUUAAAGAUUCAUAACACGAUAGAUGGUACAAAAUUUCAAAACGAUAAUUACUAGAGAACAGGAGGGUUAAUAGCCUGAGAUAUGAGCAAUACCUCAACUGCAACGGCAGAUGCAUAUUUACUAUAAAGUCUUUAUAUGAUGUGCCUCCUAUUCCCAGCUUCAACUCCAACUGAAAGAUGUAAAGGUAAUUGUAGGCAAAGAGUUACAAACAUAACCGAAUCCAUGUUUUAUAAGCAACAACUACACUUAUUUUGAUAUGUUUCCUCAUUUUUUACUUGCAAAUUCCGAACCAUAUUGUCGGACCAGUAAAAGAAAAUAAUGUUUAUGAUAACUGUUAAAACUAAUUACAACAAGUUAAUGCAUAAAGAACUUACGGAGGGUGCUAUGAGGCCACCGAAAAGGAUAAACCCCACAAUAAUUGAAUAACAAACAGCAUAAUACUGCUUAAGGUUGUCUGAACUCUGCAAGCAAUGAAUUCACCUUGUGAUUAAUACUUUGCACAAACACUAGUUUUCGCAAUUUUUUAUGAAUCGACAAAAGGCUACAACAAAAUAUGGCUAAAACAUGUCGGGGAUAUGAAAAUACAUGUCUUCACAGGGGCACCAGCUUACCAGGGGAGGCAAAAAUGGAAUGAACGAUGGAAAACUAGGAAGUUCGUUUUCUUGAUCUUCAUUUACCGCUCCAAGCUCUGCACGUUUAAUCCGCUGUUGUAUCCUCAGCCUGCGAACCUACGCAUAUCGAAGCUCAUUCUUAAAGAACACAUUUCUAAUGGCAAUUGGAGAGUAAUUUAAAACAUGCUAAACUGAGAAAGUGGUAGCAACUAGUAAUUGCUCUCACCUCCUCCAUAUGCAAGAAAAUUUUGUUGCGACGACUCCGAAUAUUAUCUUGAAUUUCCUGCAGCUCCAUUGUGGCAAAAUCCUGCACUGUUUCAGGCCCCUCUAUGAUACAAAAUCUGCACCAUUAAGCAUGUAAAAAUUAAAAAUUACAGGCUACAAAGCAAUUUCCGUAUAGUUGUUGGGUUAAAUAACAUCAACAGCAAAUAAAUCACAUAGGUUUUUCACAUAAAGUUACAAACUUUCAAGGACUAAUAAGCUGUCUGCAAUCUCAUAAAUUUCACAGUGCAAAGUAACAAUCCAAAGCUUGGAACUUUAAAUUUCCACCUUCUGUUAAUUUUUUAGUGCACCUGGUGUCGUUAGAUUCGAGUAGUAUGUCACAUUAAAUUUUUUUUUUCUGUGCAUGCAUUUUUUUUUAAAAGAAAAUUUUAUAUUGUUAAAGAGCGAGUUCGAAACUAUUACAUUAUGGAAGGACAUAGUACCGAAACUCCGACGAUCAAAAACAAAAUCAUGUACAACCACUCCAAGCAGUCAACAUGGCCAUCACAUAUUGAAUCCAAAAUGUUGACGCCCCAUUCGCUGCAUAUAAUGUACAGACGAGCGGCAGCUUCAACCAGUUCUGCCAUAUCCGGCUGGAUGAGAGCAGCUAAAGACAUGAUUGUUCCCUAAUAACAUGAAUAAAUUGAGUAAACACCAAAAGUAGCAGCAAGGGAAGGAGAUGUGAAGUAUAUGAAGAGGUGUAAGACCUGUGAAUGUCCAGCAACAAAGAUUUUGGAGCUUGUUGUCGAAUAAUGCAACGCAUCAUUUCUGGUAGAUCAAAUAGAGCCAAUUCCCGCCAACUCCAAUUCCAAAAUUUCUACAGUAAAGCAUAAAUCUUAUUCUCUCUUCUGAUAAAGAUGAGUGUCCCAGACUCCAACGUGUUCCACACACAUUCCCUACCCAUACAUCGAAACCUUCAUCUGCAAGGACGAAUCCCAGCGAUUCUUCUGGAGAAUUUAAGAAUCAUGCAUCACCUGGUUAAGAUCAAGAAAAGCCAGUAACCAAGUUCAAUUGAGUUAAAAUGUAUCCCAUGGAUGUUCAUCACUUUGCCCAAUUGUUCUUUUCAAGAAAGGAAAUUUCAACAGAACCUGAAAACUUCAGAUCAGGGGGCACCAAAUAGUGAGCUAUACAUUCAAAAUUUGAAAUAAUCAACUUAGUAGGACCAGUAUGUUGAAAAAAUGGGAAGGAGCUAUGAAAGUAAGACUUUUCACUAAUCAGGCGUCCAGAGAAUCCAUAUUUUACCCGCGUAUCAGUUACGGGGAACACUCCCCACCAGAGCAAUCUCAUUAGUCCUUCACAUCUCAACCGUACAGAAGUUGCACUAACAAACAUGACUCCUAUUAGUCCUUCACAUCUCAAAUCCAGGAAGUACCCAUCUUUCGUCUGAAUCUGGAAAAUAAGCAGCAGUCAAUUUAACAAUCUCGGUAUCUCAAAGUUACUCACUUUAAUCACAAAUUUAGCAAUUAAACAUAUAAAUGGGCAUUUUUUUAGGGAAAUAUUAGUAUAGUACUCACUGUGUGCUCGGAGCAAGAGUACCCAGAAAGCUCAAUGAGCUGCGCACAGAGGACUGCAGUGGUGAACGACAGCGACCAAUUCUGUAAAAUUUAGUCGAGUUUUGGGAAAUUUCUGCAGCGAUUUCGGAGGUCAAGAGGCUGAUAAGGAAAGCCGCGACCAAAGGGCACUGGUCUGGAAGAAAGGCUUUGGUCGCCGCUAUCGCAAUUCGCGAAGGAAGAAGUGCCCCAAAACAAUUUCGGCCCUGGACAGGUGCACUGUUUGCACUGAGCCAGGGCCGGCCCUGAAUCGCGAUAACGUCCUUCUCCAAACAGUAUAUAUACAGAUGCUAGAAAAAUCUACCGGAACUAUUCAAUUCUAGCGUCUACAGCUUUAGCAUUAGUUGGUACAAGGGGCAUUCUUCCAAAGAGGGAGAUGAAAUCGUUGAGGCACCAAAUAGUGAGCUAUACAUUCAAAAUUUGAAAUAAUCAACAUGGUAGGACCAAUAUGUUGAAAAAAUUGGAAGGAGCUAUGAAAGUAUGGCUUUUCACUAAUCAGGCGUCCACAUAAUCAAUAUUUUACUCACAGAUCAUUUACGGGGAACACUCCCCACCAAAACAAUCUUUUUAGUCCCUCACAUCUCAAACCAAGUAGAAAUUGCAGUAACAAACACAUCUCAAACCCAGUAAGUACCCAUCUUUCGUCUGAAUCUGGAAAACAAGCAGCAGUGGAUUCAACAAUCUGGGUAUCUCAAAGUCACUCACUUUAAUCACAAAAUUAACAAUUAAACAUAUAAAUGGGCAUUUAUUUAGUGAAAUAUUAGUAUAGUACUCACUGUGUGCUCGGAGCAAGAGUACCCAGAAAGCUCAAUGAGCUGCGCACAGAGGGACUGCAGCGGUGACGACGGCAACCGAUUCUGUAAAAUUCAGUCGAGUUUUGGGCGAUUUCUGCAGCGAUUUCGGAGGUCAAGAGGCUGAUAAGGAAAGCUGGGACGGAAGGGCACUGGUCUGGAAGAAAGGCUCAGGACACCGCUGUCCCGAUUCAUGAAGGAAGAAGUGCCCCCAAAACAAUUUCGGCUCUGGACAGGUGUACUGUUUGCACUGGACCAGGGUCGGCCCUGGCGAUAACGUCCCCCAAACAGCACAUAUACAGAUGCUAGAAAUAUAUAAAUGUAACCUGAAACUACUAGAACCAUUCAAUUCUAGCGUCUACAGCUUUAGCAUUAGUUGGUACAAGGGACAUUCUUCCAAAGAGGGAGAUGAACUCAUUGAGGCUCUUAUUUAUUCCUCCUCUUGAUGUGCCCUUUUAGGCUGCUAAUUCCACACGAUCCAAUUUCAUACAUCUUCCCUGCAAAAGCAUGUGUGCCUGACUUCAAGAUCAAAUUUUUCCAACAAAAGAAACUUAAAGAUCAAACUCGCUAGCGGAAUAAGUGGUGCACAAGGGUGUUAAAAUCUUGACAUAUGUAUAUUUUUGGCAGAUUUUAUGUGAGCAUGCAACUAAAACUGGCAUCACUAUCAAUGGUGCACAAAGAUUGGUGGAAAACUUUAACAGUUUGAGUUGUAACUUCUCCAUUGUAUUUGUUAAGGCAAGACGGAUGUCAUCUAUUCAUUUUUCUGUAAAACUUAAAAGGCUGCAUAGCAGCUCUUGUUCGUUGUAUUGAAUACCAUGGUUUUACUGAUGAAUGCAGAGUUUGCUGAUGAUUCAUACGACAAGCAAUUGAAAAUCCCAUCAUUAUGCCCCGCAUAUACCAGAAGAAAAAAAAGUCAUUUACACAAAUUCAGAGCGUUCAUCCACUGUAAUUUGCAGAUAUGGAAACGUUAAGAUAAAAGGAAAUGCAAAGUACCUUUCACCCAAAUUGGAGGAGCAACGGUGGCAUUAGCAAGCUAGCAACGGGAAUUGACAUACCAAUAUCUUCACAGUUUCUGCACAAGAACAAAUCAAAAGAAUCCGGCGGUGGAGUUAUGUACCUCUCCUUGGAAAAUGCCACCUCCUGGGAUUUCAAAAUAUACGGCCGUGGCUAGCCGUCUGACCACGCCAAUUCCACCAAAGCCGCCGCAACGUGGCGUAGUGUCCGGUUGAUUGCUUCAAAACAGAGCUUCGUAUCCAUGUGUUUAUCAGCAGAGAGUACCCAAAACCCCUGAAAAUUAUUUCUUUAUUCAGAUAAUAAAAUUUCCCAAAUUUCGAAUUUUAAUUCCGAACAAAAAAAAUAGGGUUUGAAUUUUGAUUACCUAGAAAUUGGGGGGUUGGGGUGGAGAGGGACUCGGGCCAAGACACAGAUAUGCAUCCGUGAUAAGGUGUGCAAGGCUUUUGCAGUUUCUCAGAUCUAAACACUGAAGCCCCGUAAGCCGUUCAAUCCAGGGGGAAAGCUCUUUAAUAGAUGUUCCAUCCAAGAAAAGAAAUCUUAAUCCUUCCAUAUUUUCUUCAAUGCUUGGAAACACCUCAAAUUUUGUACAACCGGAAAGAGAGAGAAAGGCAAGGGACUUCAGCUGACAAAUGCUACUUGGAAGACUCUUAAGUUCUUUACAAUUUUCUAGCUUCAAAUGAUUCAAUCCCAUGAGAUUAUUAAUUGAUAAGGGCAGUUCUUUAAUUUUCGACCCAGAUAAAUCAAGAACUUUUAACCCCUCAAUCACUUCUGAAAUCUCUGGAAACAUCUCAAGACUCCAGCAACCAUAAAGAUCAAAGGUUUUGAGAGAUUUCAUAUGAAUGCUGCUUGGAAGACUCUUAAGUUCCUUGCAAUCUUGUAGAUUCAAAUGACACAACCUCGUAAGAUUAUUAAUUGACGGGGACAGUUCUUUAAUUUUUGAGCAGGGUAAAUCAAGCUUUUCUAACCCCUCAAUACCUUCUGAAAUCGAUGGAAACAUCUCAAGACUGGAGCAGCCAUAAAGAUUAAAGGUUUUCAGACAUUUCAUAUGAAUGCAGCUUGGAAGACUCUUAAGUUUCUUGCAAUCUUUUAGGUUGAAAUGACUCAACCCCGUGAGAUUAUUAAUUGACAGGGGCAGUUCUUUAAUUUUGGACCCGGAUAAAUUAAGCUCUUCUAACUCCUCCAUACCUUCUGAAAUCUCUGGAAACAUCUCAAGACUGGAGCAGCCAGAAAGAUUAAAGGUUUUGAGAGAUCUCAUACGAAUUUUGCUGGGUAGAAUCUUAAGUUCCUUGCAAUUUGAUAGGUUCAAAUGACACAACCCCAUGAGAUUAUUAAUUGACUCGGGCAGUUCUUUAAUUUUGGACUCGGAUAAAUUAAGCUCUUCUAACUCCUCCAUACCUUCUGAAAUCUCUGGAAACAUCAGAAGACUGGAGCAGCCAAAAAGAUUAAAGGUUUUGAGAGAUCUCAUACGAAUUUUGCUAGGUAGAAUCUUAAGUUCCUUGCAAUUUGAUAGGUUGAAAUGACUCAACCCCAUGAGAUUGUUAAUUGACUCGGACAGUUCUUUAAUUUUGGACCCGGAUAAAUCAAGCUCUUCUAACCCCUCAAUCACUUCUAAAAUCUCUGGAAACAUCUCAAGGCUCACGCAGUUAAUAAGAUCAAGAGUUUUGAGAGAUUGCAUACGAAUUUUACUAGGUAGAAUCUUAAGUUUUUCGCACCCAUUCAGAUCCAAUAAAACAAGUUUUGUAAGAUUCGAAAUAGAUGGGUGAACCUUAACUAACCCUAUACAACCAUGAAGAAUUAGCCUCUCAAGAUUUGGCACAUUUGUGAAGUCAGGGGUUUCCUUAAGGUAUUCACAAUAACUUAAAUUGAUGAAUUUCAACUUUUCCUGCGUCUGUUAAAACAUUCAGGAAAACAUGCAUUACUUAAUAAGACAUCUCACUCAAAGCCCAAACAUUUAAAAGAAACAAAUACAUGUAAAUGAUUGUACAUACCUGGGUUCCUUCCCAAAGUCGGUCAAUG
Molecule: long non-coding RNA, 128369 nt
Filed under: Malus domestica (apple)
Lineage: Eukaryota; Viridiplantae; Streptophyta; Magnoliopsida; Rosales; Rosaceae
Description: long non-coding RNA (MDOM_LNC007116)
Source: RNAcentral